UUAUCGUCUUUUAUGUACUGAUGAAUAUAGAGAUGGAGCGAUCAGAGUUUGUUUAUGUACCAAAUUAGAGUGAGUUGAGAAAAAGUGGAUUUACACAAGGACGAAAUGGCUGGCUGCUGCUUGUUCAAAACUGAAAGUUAGGGUGACCUUGUUUCUCAUAGGGACUCAGCAAAUUAAGGGGCCUCCAAGUCUACUUCUUGUCUCAUUAUACAUGCCAUUAACCAUUCAACGUUGAAAGUCCAUAUCCCUUUUUCUACGGCCACCAAGGCUUCCUCCACGUCUUCCUCACAAGCCACAAAGAUCAUCUUCCAUACGUUGUUUACUUUAUCUAGCUCAUGAAUCACCUAAAUUUUCAAGCAUAAUGAAUUUGCCAAAUGAGAGAAAAAAUUAUGUAUAUACGACAAGGAAAUUGCAAGAAUUCACCCUAUCAAAAAAUAUUAAACAAAUUCUUGUUCUAGUCCCUAAAAUUUUCCAUCUUUUCCCAACUUUCAAAAUGCUUCCUAUGAGAUAUAUUCCAAUCACAUAUAGCAGAAAUGACCGAUGAGUAUUGGAUAAAUGAAUAUUAAUUGAUAAAAUAAUUUACAAAAUACUAAAACCGUUAGUUGGCUACGUUUUGGAAGCUCGAUGACUAAAAUGGAUGUUUUGAAAGUUCUAAGGCUAAAAUGGAAUUUAAAUCAACAUAAUAGUAAGUUCAAGAUCAAAGACAAGCUAAACAAUAAAAUGUUGCGAGCAGAAAACAAUCUAAUCAUAAUUAGAAACAUGGAUGUAUGUAUUUGUACACCAAAUCACAAAAAAUAACUCCAGAUUUUGAUCUAGAGACAAUUAAAAACUUGAACAAAUUUGAUAAUUAAAGAAACACGGAGAUGGCCAUAUGACCCCUUGUGCAUAGACUUUUUACAUUACAUGCUCAAUUCCUAGGAUCAAAACAAACAUAAAUAUUAAAGACUUAAGAAGCACAUACACACAAGUUUGGCUAGUGUAUCAAUAAACAAUAUGUAUGGAACACUCGGAGAACACAUGUUGAACACUAGUUAGUACAGUAGAUGUGUUAGACAACAAGUAUUCCAAUGCAAUAAAGGUCAAGAUUGGUCACACACACAUAUUAAACUCUUGGCUUUGAAUAAGUUUUGAGUGAAGGACAAGCUUAUUUUUAAGCAUAUAAAUACAUAAACUUAUUGACUUUGAAUUUCUAUAUAAAUAUGAUACAUACUUUUUAAAUUAUAUAUAUUAAAACUGUGUUCUAGCACUAUCCUAUAUUUUUAAGAAAAAAAUGACACGUCACCAUGUCUAUGAUUUAUUGACCCAUGUCUAGAAUUCGUAUACGUGCUUGUUUGUUGAGAACUUCACGUCUUCAUUAGAUGGGAGGAUAGCCAUAUUAUAGUGGUUGUAUAUGUAAUAUAGAGAACCAAACCUAGUACUCGAGAUUUGUACAAUAACAGAGAAAUUACAUUUCCACCGGCUGACUUGACUAUCAGGGAUAGAGUUUUAGGUGGUGGUUGAGCGUGAGCUGAUAUGCAAACAUCAUACCCUUCAAAUAAAGCUCAAGAACAUGCUUUUGCCCUGAGAACUGCAGCUUUUAGGCUGGCUCGAUACUUCGAUAUGUAGUCAUCAUCAUUUAGUAUGUAAGGCAACUCGUCUGCAGAUCCAUAAGGAAUUAAUCAAUCACAAAAAUUAGGUAGGAUGAAAAACAUAAGUGGAAGAAAAUACAUUACGCUUUGAUACUAGCAAGCCAUUCGAACUUACCAACAAAUCUGCCUUCCCGGUAGCUUUCCUUUAACCAACUGGAGGAGACAAUCCAAGCUCUGAGUAAUUUGCAAUUAUGAGCAAGAGCACACUGACACGCUUGAAGGCACAUGGUAAUGCAUAUGCUCGAUAAUCAUUGAGAACAUUAACAGGAGAAAAUAAAGUUAAGAACAGUAGCUUGAAGAACAAAAAACAUUCUACAACAUAAAAUCUUCAAAAACACAUUGCUUAAAAUCAAGUUUACUAAUAUAAAGGUAAGAUAUUACGUUCCACUCUCCACACUACUGAAGUUCAACAUUUCACAUGAAAGAAAUGAAAUACUAUUCUCAAAUAUAACUAAAAAAAAGCAUAAAUCGGUAAAGAAAAAGCAUAGAGAAAUGCAAAAGAAUCCUUGGCUUUGAUAUAUUGAAAGGUAAAGAAUAUCAACCAUAGAUGCCCGGAGAAGAACUCCUACAAAUACACACUUAACGCAGAUUAUCAUUCGCUAACAUGAGACCUUCUAGAGUUAUUCUGUUAGGAUACUUCCUAACAAGAACAAGAUCUUAAUUUAUUAUAAUGAACUAUAAGAAAAUACAAGAUAAAACCAAGUAUAAAGCACUUGGAACCUCCCUCUUGAGUACUCUCACCCAAGCCCUAAAUCACUCCCCAGAAUUCUCCCCUCACUUACCCUCCCUCCAUUUAUAAUAAGAUGUAACCACACUUACAUAAUAAUUACUAGUAACUUUCUAAAUAUCUAAUUACCCUUAUACCCCUAACCUUAUACUAAUCUAGGUAUCUAACAUUACCCGAUCCUUCAAAACACCUUGUCCUCAAGGUGUGCUUACAAACAUGAAAUAGUAAAACCCAAGAUUGUUCCUUUUGUCCUAAUCCUCUUUCCUACCAAUUUCUACCACGUCAUUGGAACCAUCAUGUGUGCAGCAACUUCUUCCUCGUCACGUGAUUCACCCCUAUUUCAGACCACCUUCUCGAGCCUCUGUAGACGGUAACUGUCGGCUUCUUCUUUCUCCAUUGCAACCAGCCAUUUUGUGUUUCUUUGAGCAACAAAUUUUUCUUCACUCGAGUCUUCAUUUCGAGCCUCACAAGUAAUCCUUAUCGACCUUCCUCUAUAGUUUCUUCUUGGUCACUCUUUGCCAUCCUCUUCACCUUCAUUGUAUAACCGUUGCAAUCGCGUUUUCCUCGAUUCUUCUAUGGAUUCAGCAACUUCUUAGAGUCCAUCGAUUUAUGGACCUGAAGAUUCCAAUCCGUUCUAAAUAAACACAAUCCAGAUCAGUGCCACUGAACACAGGCAUUUCAACCUUCUUGAAUUUGCUAUGAUCGUUCGAGUUUUUAUCCCCUUUCAAACUUGUUUGUUUUACCUUCUACCUUUGAUUUCCUUCAAUGUCUUACCUCCACCUUCGAUGAUACUCUCAAUCAUUGGUCCUUUGCUCGACGAUCCUUCCAUUCUUCCGGAGAUUGUCGAAUAAAAAGAACUUGACUUGGACCCUCUACUUCUCCCGAGCACGAAAGACGGCAGCCUCUACUUCUUUGGAAUAUUUUGUCCCUUUCUCCCUCCUCUUUCCUCCCUUUUAUUUUGCUUUACUAACAAACUAAUGGGAAAGAUCUCCUCCGAUAUUCUCUCCUUAUAAUCUCUCCUAUAUUCUCGUGUGGGUCAAUAUUACCCUUUUUAAUUCUUCUACUGUAUUUAAAUAAUAUUGGAGACAUAUACUUCCUAACAAGAACAAGAUCUGAAUUUAUUAUAAUGUAACUAUAAGAAAAUACAAGAUAAAACCAAGUAUAAAGCACUUGGAACCCUCCCUCUUGAGUACUCUCACCCAAGCCUUAUAUCACUCCCAGAAUUCUCCCAACUUACCCUCCCUCCAUUUAUAAUAACAUGUAACCACCCUAGUUACCACACUUACAUAAUAACUACUAGUAACCACACUUACACAAUAACUACUAGUAACUUUCUAAAUAUCUAAUUACCCUUAUACCCCAACCCUAUACUAAAUCUAGGUAUCUAACAAAUUCCAUAACAUAAUGUAUUAGGGGAAGAAGGAAAUCGAGGAUAAAAACACUAGCUAGCCAACAAAUAUCUUUCAUUAGUGAGCUUGAGCCAUUUUACACGUAAAAUGAGAAAAGUAAGCCUGAAACCCAAAUUAGCCUAAUGGUUGUCUUAACAACCACUACCCACCAUCACGAUAGAAACAACUGAAAAGGAAGAGCAUGAUACAAUCCAACUCAAACAUAAGAAUUGAUUUUGAUGUUUAACUAAAAGUAAACAGGCAGUAGAAUAAGAAACUAUACCCUUUUAGAUCUAGAAGGUUCACAACAAUUUCUAGCCUAAGCACAACUACGAGGCAAUGGAAGAAUAACGGCAAAGGCCUUGUGUGCAUGGAAUCGCUAACUUUUGUGCAAAUGAGAUAAUUAUCGGUAUUCAAAGGCCAAAAGGACACAUAGAAGAGUGUUCGUCUAAGGUGCAAGACUAACCCUAAAAAGAGAGCAAUACAAAAAUUUAGAGUUUUUCGCACUUUUCCUGUAAUGACAUGAGUGCUUGUACUCCCAUCAGCAGUGAGAGAACCACCAAGCUCCUCAAUCAUCUGAAUUAGAAAACAACUGCACAUUAGAGCAGUCACAAUUUGGAAUAAAUAGAACUUUUAAUUGUUAGAAUCUUAGAAUAUUUAUGAAAAGUUUAUGGGAAUAUUUUUCUUAAUUCCUAAAUAUUUUCCUUUUUUAUUCCUCUGUAUAUUCUAUUUAUUCUCCCUUGUACCUAUUGUAUUUUUCAUCAGAAAAUAAUAAGAAAAAAAUAUAGUGGUUUUUCUCCUGGUACACAGGUUUCCACGUAAAGUUGUGUUUGUUUGUCUCCCUUUCAAUAUGGUAUCCGAGCAGGUGGUCCAAGAAGGUCUUGUGUUCAAGCCUCGCAUUGUCGUUUCCUCCCCAAUUAAAAUCCAUUUCCAGUUGUUGGGCCUUUCAAAUAUUUCAAGCCCACAAGUGAGGAGAGUGUUGGUGAUAUAUAAUUGAAUUUUCUUUCUUUUUUUAAAAAAGGAUACGAGUCUCACUAUUAUUAAUAUAAAGAAAGAGACAAAGCUCAAUGUACAUGAGGAUUAUACAAAGAGCAAAAAGGGAGAGGGAAGAUCAACAGGCGCAUCCGGGCAUCUCAAACUAGGUUGACACCCCCUUAGUGCCCUCAAAACAUCCAAAAAGCGACAACACAAGAUCAAAACAAAAAGCCACAAAAACAGAGACAAACAAAAUGAUAAAAAGAAUCUUUCCAAAGCAAAAUCAUAAUCAAAGGCAGCAUGCUGAGAACAAAGAAGAAUAAGCCUUGAUUGGUUGAGCAAAAACUGUUUGAAGCAGAGGGCUGAUCCGAAAGUCCUGAUCAUCAAAGACUUCAAAGUGGGGAUGCUGUAAAGGCUGGCCAAUAUAACACAAUAUCCUACGUCGAAGAUCUUCUUUUGCAUUACAUUUUCUAAAAUUUCCAAUCCACUCUGUUAAAGGCCUUUUCAAGGUCUAAUUUAAUGAUCCAUCUUUUCUUUUUUCGGAUACUAUAGACCUCCACAGUUUCUUUUGCUAUUAAAAUAGGAUCCAAGAUUUGGCACUCUUCCAGAAAGCCACAUUGUAAUGGAGAAGUAUGUUAGAUUCUAACAAUAAAACACAAAAUAUCCUAACCAAAUGGCUAAACAGAGGCAGCACUCUGUAAUUCUUUAUUUAUGUAAAAGCCAAAACACAUUCAACAGUAGUAGAUAUGAAAAAUAAAGGAAGAACAACAUAGAAAACUUACCCAACUCCUUUAUACGGGGCUGGAUACCCUCAGGCUACAACAACCUUUACUCUCCUUGAAAUAACAAAAAAAGACCUAGCCUCCCCUACCCCAACAUUACAUAUUUAUACCUCUCUCUCUCUUCCCUCCUGGCGGGCCCCACCUACACGAUCCUCUCCCAUUAUUCUCUCAUAAUUGGUUGCUAAGGAAUUUCCCUUUCUACCCUUCCUUUUAUAGGUAUAGAUAAUAGGAGGUCUUACAAAGUAAUACCUGGCCUGACUUUCUUUAAUCUUUCUGCGAGAACCUUUCCAAACAACUUAUAAAUUAAUGUUGAAACAACUUAUAAGCCACACUGUAAUGACCUUCCUUCUCUUGACCGAACUUCAAUAAUCGACAACUUAUAUUUAUCCAUAGUGCCUUUAUAAUACAACUGGCAAUCUCUUCUCUUUUGGUCUCCGGAAUCAAUGCUCUAUCUGGAUUAGCUUUCUUCAAAAGAUUUUUAAUAGCCAAUUGUUUCGAAUGGCCCAUGAAUCCUCUAGUGUUCCAUGAUAUAAUCUCCAUCUUUGCUACCUCUGCCCUUAUAUCAAUUCAAUUUCACAUGCUGCCAAGAAAGGAACCAACUCUUGAGGGGGAAGGAUACUUGCUGACCUGCACAAAAUUUCUUUUUAUGGGGAGGAAAACAAUUUAAUAAAAUCUGGACCGAGAGUCACUGUCCUCUUGUUUCUCUGUCUCUGAUUGAAUUAUUUCUUCCUCAACUGUUUCAAAUUCUGCACUACUUACACUGGUGACUGAUUCAACUUCCUUGAAUUCAUCUUCUAGGUUCUCAACUUUUUUUAGAUAAGAAGUAUCUUGCACAAAAUUAAAGAAUGAACCAGAAAGUUUGGAGGAGGAUUGAGAAAAUUUAUUACUUAAGGAGGAAGGCAGUACUGACCUUUUGCCAACUGAAUUUUGAAUUUGUAUCUUCACACAACUUUCCUCUAAUAAAUCAGAAUUAGUUAAGCUCAUCCAAAUGUUGCGAAAAGUUCUCCCUUUGGUAUAGGUCUUGAGGUGCUUAGAAAAAUUUAUGGCAUGAAAUGGAAUAGCUUUCAUUGCAGAGGAUAUUUUAGUCUUGGGAGAGGCUGGUAAUUUUGGUUGAGAACUGAAAACAGGAGAUGGCCCGCAAGUGAAGUUCCUUGAUGGAGGAGAGGACUCUGAUUCUUCCUCCAAUUCGUCAGAAUACCAAAAGCCAUUGGAAUUCUGUUUAAUAGAAUUCUUGGGGCCUACCAUCUGUGUGUCAGCUUUAAAAAUGUCUGCAAAUACAUUAAGUUUGAAAAAAUUUGGUUGGGGAGGGCUAGGUGAGCUGUUUUUUGAGAUAAUAAAAUGCCGACUGGCUGCCUUUUCUUCUUUCGAGGUCUGUUUUUCUCUCUUUUCUGUUGAAGUCUUUUCCCCUUCUAAGUACAUGGAGAUGCCAGCUAUACCCAAAUUUGAAUUUUGCCUUCUGAAAAUUAUUUUUUUCGGCGAGGAUUCAAGGGCUGAAACUCUUUCCGGUCGAACAAGGUUUUCUUCUUCAUCACCCAACUUCCUAAGUGCUUCGAAAGGAUUUCUUGAGAUGGAUAAGCCAUUCUGUUUGAGAAAAUUAAGGUAUCUGGGAGACCAUCACUUUGGAGCCCUUCAUCUAAAAUCACUGAAUUUAUUCUACAUAAAUCAAUAGGAUUGGAAAAAUCACUUUGAAAUAGAUCAUAUUGGAUUAUUACAGGAGCUUCUAAGGGUUCAAAAUCCCCAAAAUUAAGGGAAAAAUUUCCUCAGUUCUCACUCUUUAAUUCUAUAGUUGCUGGUAAGAAUCCGCAAAGAUUUUUCCGAACUUUAAUUCUUGCUUCAGAGAACUUGAUCAGAUUGAGUGUUUCUAAGAUUAUACUUUCUAGUCCACCAAAGUAGCUUAAGCUUAAGGCUAUAAUUGAAUUUUCUUUCAACCAUCAGCUUAAAAUUUUUGGUGAAUCGGUGGUUUAAUAUUUAUAUUAAUAUUUUAUAAAAAAAGUAUACAGCUAAUGCCAUAUAAAAUAAAUAAAGAAAUACUAUAAAAUCUACAUCCAUAAAAUAUGCAUGUGAACACAUAUCAGAAGAUGGAUAUUCGUAAGUUAGAAAGACCGAUAACAAAAUGUCAUAAUUAAACAACAACAUUAAUAUUAUAGGUAGUUUCAAGCUUCAUUUGUCUAUUCUAGGUAGGGAUAUUGAAUAACUCUUAAAAAUAAUAUAAAGAUUGAAUCCCUAAACUUCAUGUUAAAGAAACUGAUUAAUCAUUUUUGGCAGGAUGUCAGAUUCGCCUUUCGAAAUCCUACAUGAGUAGAGCCAGCCAAAUAAGCCAAGCAAGAUAUGCCUCUUAAGGAAUAUGGAGAAGUUCAAUGACUGGGUAUGUAUAUGAUAAGCCUUAACCUCAAUUUUAUUUAUCAAUAAUGGAGGGAAGGAAUCAGAAGCUUCUCUAGCUCUCCCAAUUAUUCUAAGAAACCUGAUACAAGCUAUGCCAAAACAUACCCUCCCCAAACAAUCAUAAUAGUAUUUAUAUGAAAGCAUAAAAGACUCAUGGCCCCCUUAACUAGCAGCAUUCAGACCAACAAAACAGCUUCCCAUCCUCCUCUCCUGAAUCCUUUCUUGUGCCUACGGGUGUACACCUUCACUACCAUGGGCCUAUCAGUAUGUAGAGAUCGUAGAGGCUGUAUGAGCCAAGGAGCUGGAAGAGUAGGAUUAGGGAAGUGUGGAGUUUUCCGCUCUUUGUUUGGCCAAAAGUGUUUGUGGACUCCCGACAAGAAAAUUUCAAUUUUAUGCCUUAUUGACUUCGUAUGUCCUAGGCCCUAAGAGUUCAAAACUUUCUAGAUUUCACAACUUCUUGGACCACUCCUUGUGCCAAACACCCCUUUAAAGAAUACUAAGCCAAGGAUAUAAAACUUCAAUACUAUCAAUAGAAAAUCUCAUAAAAGAAACAUGAAUGAUGAAUAUUUUAGAAGACUAUAAAUUGGUACCGUACCUUCAUGAGCUGAGUUUUCUUAGUUUCGUCUGCAAUGUUCAUCAGCAUAAUUUUAAAUGGUUUUCCUAAUGUGUUCUCUUCAGAAUUGAGGUCCUCUGAUGCCACAUUUACACUUCCAAAUUCUUGACAGAAAUUUUGUGUACACUGAUUGGUUGGAUUUUUAGGAUAAAUACUUGAUAAAAUCUCAUGCUUUGAAUUGGCUAAAGAGCAUCCUUGAGAGCAGGUAUCGUAUACAUCACUUUCAGGAUCAAGAUUUUUGUUAGAGUGAGAAUGAAAAUGGUCCAGAUUGACUCCUUUUACUUUCUUUGACUUCAAGGAAGAAAGUGAUGCUUCCCAAACUCUCUUUGCGCUAUGUUUAGAGCAAGAACAAUGUGUCUCAUCCAAAUUACCAAGAGUAUUGGAUAAUUCUACAAUACUAGCUGUCGUGUUGUUCUCUAUUUCUGCAAAAGAAACCGGACCGUUGCUAUCAUGCACUGCAUCCUGGUUUAAAUAAACCGUUAUGAGAUAAUUAAGCAACAUAUGGAGAAUAAUUUAAAUUGUACUAUCUUGUGGAACAAAACCUGAAUUACAUAUACCCUGAAUUUCAUUUUCUUCUCCAAGGGGCACUAAAGUUACAAACUCGUCAUGUUGAAAAUUCAAAUUUUGAAUGGUAUGCUGAUCAGUUGAAUUUGAAACGUUGCAACCUCGAUUGGCAACACUGAUUCUUGCAGCAUACGGGGCUUCAGGCUUUAGUAGAGAAAGUAACUUUGGAAAGUCAGUCGAACACAUUGAAAUUCCCUGAAUGUGCGAAAUCCAUGGAUUUUAUUACACAUCCCAAAGGUUAUAAUCAAUUGGUUCUCGAAGUACGCCACCUUCAUCCCCAUUACAAAACUAUGUUCUGUCGAGCUGAUAGCACACUUGUUCUUUAAGAAUGUCUUGAAGUGAUGGGGAGUUCCAUCAAGCAUUGUGAGUGACAGGGAUGGUAGAUUCAUUGGUACUCUCCGGACCGAACUAUUCGCCUUCUUGGGGACACGCCUAAAUAUAUCCUUAAGCUGCCAUCCUCAGACGAAUGGCCAAACUGAAGGAUUCAAUUGUAUGCUUAAGGAAUAUCUACGACAUUUUGUUGAUUUUGGACAAAAGAAUUGGGCCUAGUUGAUGGAUGUGGCUCAAUUUUGUUUUAAUGCACAAACUAGUCUAUCCACAAGAACGAGUCCUUUCGAAAUCUUGAGUGGAAGACAACCUAUACUGCCUCAUAUUGUUGAUCAUCCUUAUGCAGGAAAAAAUCCUCAAGCUCAUAACUUUACGAAAAAGUGGGAGAAGACUACGAACAUCACUCGAGCAUACUAAGAGAAAGUCUCGAAGCGUAUGAUAAGAAGCAUCAUCCUCUCAAGUUUUGAGCUGAAGACCAACUCUUCAUAGAGUUUAAAGCAAAGAAAAUUUGAUUUAGAGGACAUCAACAUCAGCAUCUCACUAGAAAAUACGAAGGGCCUGUUGAAGUUCUGAAGAAAAUUGGAAAUGCAUCCUAUGGGGUAUCGUUGCCUGCAUGGAUAAAAAAUCAUCUAGUAGCUCAUGUGAGCAACUUGAAACCUUACCAUCAAUAUCCAGAUGACAGUAGUGCAACAAUGGUGUAUGGUCAUCUAGUGACCUAAAGCAGAAAGACGAUAAAGAAAUGGAAGAAAUCCUUCCUAAGAGAGUGAGGAAGGGUAUACCCAUGAAGAGGAUACAUGAAUUCCUACUGAAGUGAAAGAACCUCCAUGUGGAAGAAACACGUUAGGAAUGUGCUGAAGACCUUGAAGCGUGAAAGAAGAAGAUCGAGGAAUUCUAGCUUCGCCAGUCGACAGGGACGUCAAUUGUUUAAGUGGGGGAGAAUGUAACAAGCAUGCUUGUCCAGGGCGCUGUUUGCUUAUGGCCGCAUGCCCAAACACCCCCAAUUUACAUUGUUUUAAUGUUUUGUAUUUAGUUUUACUUUUUGCUUUCCUUUUUAUUUCAUAAACCUUGGGUGUGACUUGGCUUUUUCUUAUGCAAGCCUACCAGAACUAAAAAAGUCUAAAAUGUACUAUAGAUGGGACAUAGUAGUUGAGUCCCUGCCCAAGCCUUGUUGCACUCUUCGCAAUCAAAGUUUUUCUUUGCAAUUGACAGUCUUCAAUGCUUGCUUUAACGAUAUUUUCAUUGAAUUUCUUUCUCCUCACGUUUUAUAAAACAUUUUCUCAAGAACGUGAAGAGAGGCUACAUCGUAUCAUGUGUUUGUCCGUGGUUUUUGGAUUUUGAUCAGCUAACUUGUUGUCUACGUAAAACAAGUGCAACAUAAUCGCUCCUCUCGUGUUUGAAAGCUCGCGAUUGUGACACAAGAAAUGCACUAGCCAAGAAUGCACACGAGGAGGGCUACACAAAAUGCCAAGCACGCAACCAAGUGAGGUUCACAAUGUGCUUGUGUGUGAGGUUAGCACGCAGGCAUGCCCAACGCGUGUGAAAAGCCUCUUGUGAGAUUCACACACAGUAGCCAGCGCCCAACCAAGGCCCUGCCGCCCACCCAUUCGUGCCAGGCAAUGUCAUAUUGCGUGUUGAGCUAUUUUUGGUAAUUUUUUGAGUUUUUUAAGUAUACUUUUGAUAUUUUCUUGGCAAAAGAUAAUUAAUUGUACUAUUUUACCAUUAUUUCAGGACAUGAGAAGAUCGUACAAAUUUAUAAACCAAGGAUUUGAGCUUGUAUCUGUGAGUGGAAAAUGUUUUAUUUAAAGUGAUUUCAAGCAUGUUCUUAAGUCAUGAUUUAUGACGGAUUUAUGAUAAAAUGUUUAAGUUAUGUUAUAAAAAGUCUUUCAAGCGUGUUAUUGUUUAAAGGUAUUUAUUCAAGCAUAUUGUUUACUCUUCAAAAUGCAUAAUAUUCAAAAUGUUUUCCCACUUUCUAGGUAGAGAUCGUGUCCUCUAAGCCUAACUUGCUGCUACCUGUCUACUAAAGGAUUUCAUUUUGUUAUCGUAUGUGCCCUGUUAUUUUGCACUAAUGAUAAAUUAGUCUUUUGUGCUAUCAGACUUAGGCUUUUGGGAAGGUUUUAUAAGGUUUUGUUCUAGAUAAAUAAGAUUACGUUUUGUCUAUGUAAAACUUGUCUAAGGUUGUUAAAUGAAAAAGGUUUAGCCCAAUUGGUUUUAGUAAAAUUUAUGUGUUAUGUUUCCGCUGUUAUUUAGAGUUUAAAGGUUCAGGCUAAGGGUCAGAUGGUGUCGUUCUUGACGUGGGUGCUAUCGAUUGGCUUCACGCCAUAUCUCGAGCCACGCAAGUAGGUGCUCGUGGUGGGUGUGAUAGCCUAAGUUGGCUUAUUAACGGUUAAAAUGUAAACAUGUCCAUAACAAAAUAGUCGGGCAAGGCCCAUGUGGACCGACUGGUAAAGGUUGAAGAUCAAAUGCUCUACCUAAUGAAAGUUCCUAACUCAAUUCGCUUCUUGGAAACCCGCCUUGAAGAAUUUUUUAGAAAGCUGAUGCUAUUAAUUAAACCACCACCCAAAAUCUUAAGCUAGUGAUUAAAAGUAAAUUUAAUUAUAUAUCACUAACAAUCCCCCACUUAUGGGUUCGAAAUAUCUAAAAGGUCCAACAAGUGAAAAUCAAUUUUAAUUGGGAAGGAAACACCAAUACAGGGACUUGAACAUAGGACCUUUUGGACCACCUGCUCUAAUACCAUAUUAAACCCCAAAUUCACCCAAAAGCUUAAGCUAGUGAUUGAAGGUAAAUUUAAUUAUAUAUUACCAAAGUAUGAGGUUUCAUCACAAUACCAAUUGGCAAUGAGAGGAGUAGCUCAUCUAUUUUAUAAGGAGUCUAAGUUUCCUUGGUUUUUCAAUUGUGGGAACAUGCCCCUUCAAGAUGGUGCCUCUUUGGUUUCACCUAUCUUGAACCAAAUAUCCGUUUAGGCUUAAUGAGCUCUAAUACCAUAUUGAAAGCAAUAUAUACGAAACCAAAGCUUACGUGAAAACGCAAGAAUCGAAAGAAAAGCAUUGUGUUUGUAGUUUUAUUAUUUUUAUGAUAAUUACAGAGGUACAGUUGGUGGUUUAAUAUAUAUCACUAACACUAUUGCUGCAAUGAUCGAUCAUCUCGAUGGAUUACCCAUUUAAGAGUUGUUGACAAGAGUUGACACUCUAUAAUCAAAAGUUGUAAGAACUAGAUGUUGUAAUUUAUGUCCUAAAACUCGUUUUAAUCAUAAUCUAUUCAAUAAAGUCGUUAUUGAUACUAUAAUCUUAAACCUGUCAAAGCUCAAAAGUCUAAACUGUACUAUAGGAGAGACCCAAUAGUUGAAUCCCCAACCAUGUCUUAUCGUAUUCUUUAUAAUCAAAUUUUUAUUUGCAAUUGAAAGUCUUCAACGCUUUCUUUAAUGAUGUUUUUAAUGAUAUUCUCUCUCACAUUUUAUAAAACAAUUUUUUCAAGAACGGGAAGGGAGGUUAUAUCAUAUCGUGAGUUUGUUCAUGAUUUUCGAAUUUUACAUGACUGACUUAUUGACUGAGCAAAACAAGUGUUCUUCAAUUGUCCGUUCCAUGUUUGAAAGAUUUCGAUUGUGGCACACAGAGUGUCACAAGUGGGCUUGUCCAAGGCAUUAUUUGCCUAUGGCCACAUGCUCGAAUAUCCUCAAACCACUUUAUCUUUAUGCUUUAUACUUAGUUUAGUCAACUGCUUUCCUUUUGUUGUCACCAACCUAAGGUGCGUCGUUUCGCAAUUUUCAAAGCUAAAAAAGUUUAAGAUGUAUUGUAGGGGAGGCAUGGUAGUUGAAUCCCCAACUAAGGCCUAUUGUGAUUUUUGCAAAUCUAAGCUUUCUUUGCAAUUGACAAUAUUCAAUUUUUUCUUUAAAGAUGUUAUCAAUGUUUUUCUUUAUCUCUCACGUUUUAUAAAACCAAUUUCUCUCAAAAGAUGAAGCGAGGCUACAUCGUACCACAAGUUUGUCCGCAACUUUCAAAUUUCACAAGGUUGCCUUGUUCAUCAAUUUAGAACAAGUGUUGCACAAUCGCCCGUCCGUAUUUGAAAAGUUGCAUUUUGUGACAAGUGGUAUUAAAGCUUUGUUAGCUCCUUGGCUAAGCGAGAUGCAAUUAUGUCGACAAUGAAACAACUAUCAAAGUUGCAAUCUAAGCGACUGACUGAGAUUGAAGAGGAAUUCUUGGAUAUGAAAGAAUUGCCAAAAGAAGUAAGAUUUCUCCAGACCCGGCUUGAGAUGUUUAAAGAAAAAGUCAGAGAAAUAGACGCAUUGAAUGCCUAAAUAGACAAACUACCCAUAAAUGAAUUGGCGCUGAGGGUUGAUUCGUUAGAACAUAAAACCACCAAAGUAGGUAGUUUUGAACGUGGAAGUAGCUCUUCAAGUUCUAUCGCACAAAUGGAAGAGCGUGUCGAAGAGUUUGGCUUUUGACAAAAUCCAACAUAAUCAGUUAUAUUUCAAGAAAGAGAAAAGUGUUUUUGCUAAAUAGCGUAUAAAUUUUCUGGGUCACAUCAUCGAAUGUAGAAAGAUUUGAAUGGACGAACAUAAGUUGUGAGCUAUUAAGGAGUGGAGAGCCCCCACUUCCGUGAAAGAGUUACGUUUCAUCCUUCAAUAUAUUCUAAAAUAGGGUUCACCUACUAUCCUCUAGACUCAGUACCGGGAGAAAGAAAUAGAUGGAAAAAGAAAUGGGCUUGGUAAUUUUUUUUUCUAUGUAAAUAAGAAAAAGAAAUCCAAUUUGGUACAAAGCCCAAAUUCAAUAGCCAGCCCAUCAAAUGAGGUCAACGACCCUAUUUAUAAGGAUUUUCCAUACAAAAUUGCAUGUCCAUGGAAUACUAAAGCCCAACAACUCAAAGAUCUAUUUCUAAUAUGAAAUUCGAUGGCUAUAACACAUAUACUUGUCAGUUUCUCUCUCUUCUCCCAAUUCGAACAAUUCGACUUAUUCCAUCACACUGUUUUAAGUUUAUUCCAUAUGAGCUAGCAAGGGAACCUAAUGGACCUAUAUAUCAUGGACUCCAAUGAUUCAAGAUUAAUUGACUAAAUUCUUAUAGACUGAGUUAAUCAACAUUCGUUAACUAACGGGUCAUUCAUGAAUGUACUGGAACGAUUCAGAAUCACCUCAUUUGUACUAACUACAAAGCGGACGCAUCCACAGUUUCUCUGAAAAAAUCUGGGUUACUACAACAUCACCACGAUGUACAAUUUUCCUGAUAAGAUGGUACUUACGUUCGAUAUGUUUUCCCCGUUUACGACUUUUAUGUUCUCUUGAAUUUGCAACUGCACCACUUUUGUGACAGUAUAAAGUGAUUGAUAGAUGCAUAUUUGGAACGACUUCCAGAUCUGUCAAGAAUUUUCUUAGCCAUAAUGCUUCUGUUGUUACUUCAAAAGUUGCUACGUAUUCUACCUCCAUUGUGGAAUCAACUAUACAAGUUUGUUUUAUGCUUCUCCAAACUACUACUCUUCUAUUUAGAGUGAAUACUAAUCCUGAUGUAGACUUUCUAGCAUCUUUAUCAGUUUGAAAAUCAUAAUGAGUGUAUCCAGUAAGGAUCAAAUCUUUUGUACCAUACACGAGAAUGUAGUGUUUUGUUCUUCAAAGAUAUUUUAGAAGAUUCUUAACGGUUGUCCAAUGAUCACGUCCAAGAUUGGACUGAUACCUACUGACCAUCCCUACUAAGUAGCAAAUGUCAAAUCUAGUACACAACAUUGCAUAUAUCAAACUUCCAACAGCGGAAGCAUAGGAAAUUUUUCUCAUAUCCUCAAUUUCUUGAGGUGUCUUAGGACAUUGUUCCUUUGACAAAUGAAUUUCGUAGAUGUAUAAUAGCAUACCCUUUUUGGAAUUCUACAUUUUAUAUCUAGACAACAUUUUGUCUAUAUAAGAUGCUUGAGACAUGGCUAGUGUUUUGUUCUUGCAGUUCUGUACAAUUUGGAUCUUAAGAACGUAUUGUGCAUUUCCCAGAACUUUCAUUUGAAAUUGCAUAGCUAGCCAUUUCUUGAUAUUAGUAUGAAAUCCUAUGUCCUUUUCCAAUAAGUAGAAUAUCAUCUACAUACAAGACUAAGAAUACUACAAUGGAAUUGACGACCUUUUUUGUAAACAUAAGGUUCGUCAACCUUUUGUAUCAAAGCCAUAAGAUUUGAUCAUAGUAUCAAAUCUUAUAUUCCAGGAUCUAGAUGUUUGUUUUAAUCCAUAAAUGGAUUUUUGAAUCUUACAAACCUUUUGUUCUUGAUCUUGAUCUAUAAACCCUCUAAUUGAGUAAUAUAGAUACUCUCUUCAAGAUUGUCAUUCAAAAAAAGUUGUCUUGACAUCCAUCUGCCAAAUUUCAUAAUCAUAAAACGUGGCGAUGCAUAAGACUAUUCUAAUUGACUUUAGCAUGGCAACGAUAGAGAAAGUUUCUUCAUAGUCUAUGUUAGAAAGAGACAUGCGCAGUAGAAAAAUGGAAUACAAAAUUACCCUAAUUGCACCUAUUUAACUUGCAACCCUAAAUUAAAAGAAUUAGGGUUUAGGAAAUAUUAUACCUUUGUAUCUAUUCGAAUAUGAACGUCUAUACCUCUCACAAAAUUCCAAAAGUUUUUGAAACCAAAAUGUAACACCUUAAACUUAGGAUUUGGAAUUCGUAUCUCCAGCAUUCUCUGCAUCCCCUGCGACCUGGCAGCAUCAUCCUUACUAUUCUUAAAAACUUAUUAGAAUGAAAUUCCUCUUCACAAACCAACACGAAAUCUUUCAGCAUGCUUUUCCUCACUCACAUGCAUCCUAGGAAAAUUUCCAAGAGGUCACCCAACAUAGAAUUUCUUCAAGCUAAGCACGCUUAACUCUGAAGUCCCUAUAAUCGAGCCACCGAAAAAAAAAGGUUCACAUUGUUGGUAUAGGUAUUAAGUUUUAAUUCUUUUCAGUCUUUCUUAACAUGACUUUCAUGUCCUCAAGGUGCACCUUGUCGGUAUACUUGUCGAUUUCUCUCUUUUCUCUCAAUUCAAACAAUUCGACUUAUUCCAUCACAAUGUUCUAAGUUUAUUCCAUAUGAACUAGCAGGGAAACCUAAUGGACUUAUAUAUCAUGAGCUCCAACGAUUCAAGAUUAACUGGUUAAACUCUUUUAGACCGAGUUAAUCAACAUUCGUAAACUAACGGGUCAUUCCACUAAAGUCUCGCAGUUGCACUCCCUCACUAUAGAUAUAUUCUUGUCCAUUUAAUAUAACCAUGAUCAAUAAGUUAAUCCUUCACAUGUUAUUCGUAACCUCGAAUGGAUGAAAUUACUGUUUUAUCCUUGAGACUACAUCUUAUUUCUUAAGUCUCAUUGAUCCACUAUUGAACAAUUGGUUUAAGGUCCAACCUAUAAACUUAAUCCCUCUCGGGCUAAUGUGAGGGUGGGGCCCCUUGUUCAAGACUUGGAUUCAGUGCUUAAGAGAACAACCUAUCUACUAACCCUAAAACAGGUAGAAAUGAAUUUUGUCUUGCAUCCUAUGUUCCCAGCCAUUCAUCUGAUCUUACCCUUGAAAUAGGAGGCUUAUUGGGAGAACGUUGAUGAGAUACCCUCACCUAUGCAGAUGUAACCCUAAAACAAGUAGAAGUGAAUUCAGUCUUAUGUAAGUACUUUACAGUGCUUAAGAGAACAACCUAUCUACUAACCCUAAAACAGGUAGAAGUGAAUUCUGUCUUGCAUCCUAUGUUCCCAGCCAUUCAUCCGAUCUUACCCUUGAAAUGAGAGGCUUAUUGGGAGAACGUUGAUGAGAUACCCUCACCUAUGCAAAUGUAAGGAUAAUCUCAUGUGAACAGGAGUUCAUAGUUAGCUUAGGAUUAAGAUUAAGCUACCUAAGUCAUCAAUAAACGAAAUAGUCAGUUCUAAACAGUAAACGGUGUUAUAACGUAAAAGUGACUAUUUCAUGGAUCAGUCUUAUGUAAGUACUUUACAUAGGAUGCCCCCACUUUCAUGUCUCUACAUGAACAAUUUAGGAUCACCUCGUUUGUACUAAUUACAAAGCGGGUCACAUCCGUAGUUUCUCUAAAUAAGGCACUAUAGACUAUUUAGGCUAUACACUCGAACUUGAUCCACGUUUAUGUCUCGACAUAAAGUUCAAAUGUAUUAAAAAAUAGCAUUAAGACUUAGUUUAUUGGAUUUAAGAUUAUAAUUUUAAAUUUUUCAAUAACGAUUUUAUUGAACUGAAUAUGAUAACAAACUACGAGUUUUAGGACAUAAAAUCCCAACAUAUGUAUUUUUGCCUCUAAUAAUAAUGUUGAAAGAUGUUUGUUGUCAUUUCAUAUGGGUGAUAUCUCUUCUGGUUGGACAUAGUCAGGUUUUGUAAUGGGUGACUUUAACGCUAUCAAAAUGCAUUUUGAGGCUUUUGAUAGGUCUUCUGUUCCUAUGGAUAUGGAGGAGUUCGAUAUGGCUAUUUGCGAGGCUUAUUUAGUUGAACCUACAGUACAGGGUAACUGGUUCACCUGGACUAGAAAGGUUCAUGGGUCUGGUUUGAUAAAACGGUUUAAUCGUAUUCUGGUUAAUGGUGUUGGAUUACCGCAUGCCCUUCGGGUAUUUCUGAUCACUCCCCUUUUAUUUAUAUCCCAACUUUUAGCAGAGACAGUGGGUAGUUUCUUUUUGUUUCUUCAACCAUUGGGUUGAGGAUUCUUUGUUUAUUGAUGUUGUCUCUUCGAUUUGGAGUCACCAUGUAGGAGUUUCUCUGAUUGUGAGUUUCGUGAGAAAUUUACAUAACCACAAGCCUACCCUCCAUAGACAGUUUGGUAAGCACAUUUAGAGCCUAAGUGAGGAGGUUCGUAUUGCUAAAGAGUCCAUGGAUAAACCUCAGAGAAAGGUUGGGCAAAAUCCUAUGUCUGAUGUUUUGAGUCGCCAAGCAGGUCUUGCCAUUGAGGCCUUUUGGACGGCUGUUAGAUUGGAGGAAGCCUUCAUGUGUUAGAAGUCCAAGAGGUUUGUGAUUUGCCUUAGAACUUGUGUUACCUCCUCGAUGUUCUCCAUUAUGAUUAAUGGCUCUUUCAAGGGUUUUUUAAUGGGAGGAAAGGUUUGCGGUAGGGUGAUCCUUUAUCUCCUUUCCUUUUUAUCAUGGUGAUGGAGGUCCUCUCUCGUAUGUUCAAUCGGCCUCCUCCGAGCUAUCAGUUUCACAGGCAUUGUGAGAAGGUUAGCUUAACUCAUCUGACCUUUGCUAAUGAUCUUAUGAUUUUUUGUACUGCUGAUGAUUCCUCUCUGAGUUUUAUUAACGAGACUAUUCGAAAGUUUGGUGAUCUCUCGGGGCUAUUUACUAAUCUUAGUAAAAUUUCUAUGUUUGUUGUAGGGGUUAAUAGUGAUGAUGUUUAUCGUUUGACUACCAGUUUGGGUUUUGUCCUCAGGCAUCUCCCUGUUCGUUAUCUUGGGCUUCCUUUACUUUCUGGGAGGUUACGACCUACUGAUUGUGCUCUCUUAUUCAACGUAUUACUAGUCAGAUUCAUUCUUGGUUUGCUAGAGUUUUAUCAUUUGCAGGUAGAUUGCAACUGGUUCGAUAUGUGCUUGAUAAUCUUCAGGUUUACUAGGCUAACGUGUUUGUGUUGCCUGUGAGUGUGCAUCAUGAGGUUGAUAAAAUCUUGAGGUCUUAUCUUUGGAGGGGUAAGGAGGAAGGUAGAGGAGGUGUUAAGGUGGCGUGGGCUGAGGUGUGUUCCUUUUAGGAGGGUGGUCUUGCUAUUCUUGAUGGGCCUUCUUAGAAUGUUGUGAGUACUAUGAAGAAUCUUUGGUUGUUGCUGACUAGUUCGAGUUUUCUACGGGUUGCUUGGGUGGAGGCUUAUAUUCAUAAAGGAAGGUCAUUGUUCGAGGUCGAUUCUUGUGUUGGUCGGUCUUGGUGUCUUUGCGCUAUCAUGUGUAAACGAGAUAGUCUAAAAGAGCAUGUUCAGAUGGAGGUUGGGGAUGGUAGGCAUUGUAAACUGUGCCUGGAUCCGUGGUUGCAGGGUGGUCAUAUCCUUCAACAAGUUGGUGAGAGAGCGCUUUAUAAUGUAACGAGUAGAUAGGAGGCUAGGCUCUCUAAGUUUAUUGGUUCGAAAGGGGAGUGGAGGUGGUCGAGGGUAUCUUUGGAUUUGAUUAAUUUAUCGGAUAGGGUUCAAGUUGUAAGUUCGUGUCCUAAUGUUGGUGAUAGGUGGGUUUGGGUUCUUGGUCGUCAUAGUGGUUUUUUGAUUGCUAGUGCAUGGGAUACUAUUCAUCCUCGUAGUGUUAAGGUUCGUUGGAUAGGUUUCUUGUGGGGUGGGGAUUGAGAGUCUCGUUAUCAUUUGUUUUUUCAUGUCCUUUUGGGUGUGAUAUUUAGUCUCGGGUCCUUUAGGUUAUGGCUUCCUCUCACAGGAUUGGGUAUUGGGGGGUUGAGUUGUUUGGGUUUGUCAUUAGAGUAUUGGUAAGGGUGUGAGAAGGAAGUUGUGGUAUGUUCUCUGGUGUGCUAGCGAUUUAUUUUAUUGUGAAAGGAGCAUAAUCAUUGUCUCCAUGGUGGUCAAGCUCGUGAGCUCAUUGUUCUGUUUCAGCUUAUUCCAUAUUGUAUCAGUGCUCGUGUUGUUUAUUUGCGUGAGGAUGCUCAUGGUAUUAUUUAACUUGUUUUCUUUUGAUUUUUGUUUUAUCUGCUUGUUCUCGGGGCUGUGGGGUUGUUUGGACUUUUUAUGUUUUUGUUGCUCUUAAUUUUGUUGGGUUUAUUAUUGUUCUUUCUUUUGAUACUUUGGAUUCUUCCUGUUUUUGUGAGCAUUGUCCGCUCUUGUGAGGUCAUCCUUGUUGUAUUAUGAUAUUAACUUUUCAAAAAAAAAAAAGAUAAUGCAAUUCAACUUUAGAUAGAAACAUGAUUCGAAUUUUCAUUUCAAGAAAAUACAAGGGGACAGAACUCAAGGAUUAUGUGGAUCACAAAACUUGAAUUACUAGAAUCUAAAUUUCCAUAUGUUAGAUAUCAUUAGAAGCAGUUAGACCAAAAGUUAAUUAUCAAUAUGUUAGUUCACAGGAACUGCAUAAUCAAGCACAUAAACAUCCACAUUGUCAUUCAUUGUAGGCAGCUUUGAUACACAAAAAAUAUGGAUAUUUUCAGAAGUUCAAGCAUACACAAAAAACAUAUCCUUGUCAGAAAAUAGCCAACUAAGAAAGAGAAGUUCAAGAUUUAUAUACAAAGUGCAGCUGCAAAAGGACAAGCAAGAUGCCAGAAUCUAUAUAUUAUGCAGUCGGAUAUUAAUUGGCAAGUACUAACAGCAAAGGUACCAAAAUAAAACUGUAUCAAUUUAUCUUGUCUAAAACUAAACAGUAUAUGUAAAUCUUGCAAACAAACAAGUUUUUUGAAUCAAAACUGUCAAAAGAUUUUGAUUCAAGUGAUAUGUGGAUUGUGAUCUUUUGUGUCACCCAUCCAUUCCUCCUGUUUUAACCAUUUAAAUCAAUAAAUAAUUUUAUGUUCAAACAUAAGUUGGACAACCUUUGUUAAAGAACUGCUUCCCACAACAAAUAGCAUUAACCACCCUUUUUUAAUUCAACAGAUGGGAAUAGAGAUCGAAUCUCUGAUUUUUUGGUCUAAGGUACCUUUCCUAAACUUGUCGAAUUCCAUUUUCUACACCAACUUUAGAACGAGUAUAUAUACAUCAAGUAAUUUCAUGUUCAACUCAAAAUUGGACAACCAUAGUAUUACUCCAAAGCAAACAAUACUAAUUGUUCCAUUAAAUGUUUUUUUAUAGCUCUUGAUUGUCUCACUUUUUUGUAUUUUGAAUUUACAAGCCUCUUUUUUCUUUCUUUGGUAUGAAAGGUGGCAACUAGGCCUUGCUAGAACGAGUGGGGUAACCUUUCUAUGGUUCUACACUUAGUUUCGAAGUUCGAAGUUUUCCUCCUACAGUGGAUCAUCGCUAUUGAUUCUUCUACUGUUAAUUCGACCUCCCACGAAUUCUCUUCUUCUAAGGAUUCACUUUUCUCUAAGGCUAUGCACUCUACUAAAAAGCCUUGAUCUUCUUCCCCCAAUGUUUUCAUAAACUUCUUAAGACAGACCCUGACCUUGGUUAGGCUCGGAUCUCCUUGGAUUAUCACCUUCUUCCCCUGAUAUGUAAAUGUUAACAUCAUAUUCUUCCAAUCCACUCCAGUCGUUCCCAAGGAAUACAAUCACUGCAUUCCAAGUAUGGCAACUACCCCUCCCAACUUCAAGGGUAAAAACUCAUUCACUACCUUCUAGUCUCCCAGCAUUAACUCAACAUCUUCACAAAUUACCUUCCCUUUGACUACAGUGCCCGAGCCCAAAAUAACUCCAUAAUUCGACGUUUCUCUUAUACUCAGUUGCAACUCUUUCACUAUUUUUUUCUGAAAUGAAAUUGCGUGUGACUCCACAAUCAAUUAGUACUAUAGCCACCUUCCCUUGUAUCAUCUCUUUUACCUUCAUUUUCCCUAGGUUGGAUAAUCCCACCACAUAAUUAAUGGAUAAUUCCACCAUCACUUGACUCUCCUCUACGAUCUCAGGGGCAUUCAAUUCUUUCUGAUCAAUUCCUCCUUCUUCAAUAAUUUCAUACUCCUCGCCUUCUUCCUUCACAACAAUCAUUCGCAAUUCCCUUUGCUCUUUCAUCUUGCAUUUGUGGUCAUGAGAAUAUUUCUCAUUACAGCGAAAGAACAAUCCCUUCUUUCUAGAUUGAAAUUCAGCAUCAAAUAAGUGCUUCGUCUGUCCCUCUUUCCGUACUUCCUCUUUUGUUGUUCCUCGUAGAGUAAUAGUUCUCAUCGGCCAAUUCAUUCCUCCUUUACUUUCUUCUGUAUUCGCAAUGGUAUUAGGCUUGGUGCUAUUAUGGGAGUUUAUCACCUUUUCUCCAGAAUAUCUAGAAAGAUUUGCUUCCUGACAUAUAUCUUCCUUGUUCUCUACCUUUUGCGCGAUUCGUAUCAUUUGUUUUUUUCUUGUCAUUUUGGGUGGGAGAUUUGGUCGAGGAUCCUUUUGCUUAUGUCAUCUUCUCAUAGAAUCGGUUAUUGGGGGGUUGAGUUAUCUUGGAUUUAUAAUCAGGGUAUUGGGAAGAGUGUGAGGAGAAAACUGUGGCGCCUUCUCUGGUGUGCUACAAUUUAUUUCAUUUGGCAGGAGCGAAAUCAUCGUCUUCAUGAAGGUGCUAUUUGGGAGCCUAUGGUUGUAUUCCAGCUCAUUUGGUCGUGUAUUAAAGCGCGUGCUGCUUCUUGGUCGGAUGGUGUUCAUGGUCUUAUUUAAUGUUCUUUUCGUUUGCUUGUCCCCGGGUUAUGGGGUUUCUCUUCUCUUUAUUAACUUUGUUGUCUUUCUCUCUUCUUCUUGUCCUUUUAAUGUUUGGAACACUAGUUGGUUUCUUUUGGUUUUAGUUCUUGUUCCCAAGAUGUGGGGUUGUUUUGGGUACUUAUGGGUUGUUUUGUCUAACUACUUGUUCUGUGAGUGUUGUUCACUCUUUUGUCUUGACCUCAGGAUGUGAGGUCCACCUUGUUGUUGUAUAAUAUUAUCAUUACCUUUUCAAAAAAAAAAUCAAACUCAAUGCUAAGUUUGACUGCUCCCUUCGAAGUGACAACAAGCCUCAUUUUCGCCCUACUGUGGAUCGAGGAGGAUUCCUCCUCUUUUCAAAGCCCUCAAUCAAACUUGACGUUAUGUUUAAAACACUAUGGUCUAGUUUUGGUUAGGCCAAAAGCGAUGUUUUCCCCCAAAAGCUCUAAUAGCUAGGGAACUCAACAUGUUCUACUUGACCUAACCAACUUGACUCUGUAUUUUUUAUGAGCUUUUUUUAAUGCAUAUUGCAUAUGUUUUUUUUAUAAUUGUUGAUUGUCUCACUUUUUUAUGGUCUGCAUUUACGAGCCUCUUUUCUUUCUUUGUUAUGAACUGCGGUAACUAGGCAUUGCUAGAACCGAUGGGGUAACAUUUCUAUGGUUCUACACUUAGUUUCUAAGUGUGAUUGCUCACCUCUAAUUUUCAAAACACUUAAUUUCUAAGCACAUACAAUGUUCACCUAGAAAAAAAUGAAAAUUGUUGUACUUAAGAUCAAAACUAAAUAGUUAUGAAAUAAGACAUAAGAGAUUUGAUUUUAACAACCUUCUCGUUGUACUUGGGAUCCACUCUGGCUUUGUGCUGGAAAAUUGGUUUGGAGCUGAUCAUAAGCUUUCGGUUGCUCUUCUGUAACCUUUAGAUACUCUUCAAAGCUAUAAGCUUUGCUUCCUGACGAAGAAUCUUCUACUAUUACAAUACAUAAGAAAAUUCUAUUUCAUAAACCAUGUAUCAUAAUUGAGGCUGAUAGAAUGAUUAUUCUAUAACCCUACCGAUAGUUUCAUUCUUAACAUUCAUAGACACGAUGCAUGGCAGCUAUCCAAUUCUAUUUCAUAUUCUCGAGAAUGGCUCGGUUUAACAAUAAUGUUAAUUUUUGUUUUCUAUUUUAAAAUAAUAACGCUGCUUACUAAUCUUUUUUUUUCCAUUUGGCAUUCUACUUUUUCUACUCAGCUUUCUUUCCCUAGUGAUAACAAAUAAUACGGGUGAUAAAAAACUUAAUCACUCACUUGUUUCAGCCACCGAAAGCCCUUCUGCUUUAGAAAUAGAAAUACGGGUGAUACGGGUGUGCUGUUCAUUGAACUCUCAAUUUCAUCAAGACCAAUUUCUCACUCAAACAUGGUCUUGCAUUCUCUAGAAACGUCCUACAAACAAAAAUGAAGAACAAAAAACUACAAUAAGGUCUAUGAAAAAAUUACAAAGGAAAAUCUCAAAAACUGAUAUGUAAGUCAUAACAACCUUAAGUCCUCUUAUCAUGGGUUAAAAUGCACGUAAGGUUUUUCCAAGAGUCCGAGCAACCAGCAUGUAAAUAAGUUAAGUCAACUAAAUUUGCUAUAAAUUUACUCGUAUUAACAUUAUCAUUGUUAUAGACUUGACAACUUCAAAUUUAUCAAUAUAAAAUAUGCUUUAACAAAACGUACCUUGAGGUUCCUCAAACCUUAUUAAAAAAGCAAAUAAUACAACAAUUUAACAAAUUUAUAGUGCAUAUUAUGUAUAUCAAUUGAUCACAACAAAAUAAGAUCGAACAAAUACCCAUGAGUAAUAUUUAGCCACCAAAUGAAUAAUGAUGAAAACCUGAAAACAAAAUCGAGAAAAAAAAGGGAACAAUUCAUCAACAAAACAAAUUUAGGGGACUAAAAAAUUGCUUACCUUAUUACACACUUCAAAAUAUUAAGAAAAGUGGAGGGAAAAAACCAACCAAUAAUCAACAAAUAAACUUCAACACAAAUAGCCAUAAAUUUUCUUCUUUAAAGGUAUCACAAAUAAGUCCAUCAGUAAUACCAAAAUAAAAAAGGGCAACGUGCAAUUGAAUUCUGCAGUCGUAAAGCUAUGCUAAAGGCAGUAUGAAAUCAAACUUGAGCACUAACAAGAAAAUUUGCAAAACAAAAAUUACUAGACAUCAUUAACUAAAGUACCAGCACAACAAUGAAUGUGUAACCUCCGCAAGAGCAAACCCGAAUGGAGAAGAACAUGAAGAAAUAUAUAAAUAGAAGAAACAUAAAAGACAAACAUGAAACACAUGGAAAUAUACAAAGGGGAUAAAUAAAAGUACAAUUAUAAAGUGAUGAAGCACAAAUAUAGGUAUCAACAGAACCAGAAUACAAGUCUUACCCUAUCUCGACUGUCGAGGAGUGUUAACCAACCGUCGGAAGGUUGGUUUUAUUUUUUAGAAAAAUUAAUGUUGUCUGAACUCUUUUCCAAGCCACUAACCAGCCCCUCCUUAUCUAUGAUCGACGAUCAACUCCUCAACCUCUAAUUACAUUUAAAAGAGUGAUGCGAACAUUGUGUGAAAUCCCAAACCUUUGAUGGAUCCCACCAUCACUCUCUUUCUAUCCCCUUCAAAACCUCAUUAUUUUCAAGAGAGGCCUCAAAGCUUUCUUCCAAUUAACAUAAAAGAAGAAUGAAAGAGAAGGAGAGAAAGGGAAAGUGGUUCAAAAGCUAUGGAAAAAAAAGUAAAAGAAAAUGGUCUACUCAUUGGCACAUCUUACACAGAUGAUAAUGUUAGGGCAAGGCAAUGAGAGACAGAAUGCUUUUGGAGCCUUCUCCUCUACUUUCGAAGAUUUUAACAAACUAAAAUAUGCAAAUGUUACAAGAAAGAUCUUUGGAGAUUUGAAAUAAUCCAAAAUAAAGAAAAAGGAAAACCCCAAUAUGUACAAAUUUCAAAAUCUAAAACUUGAAAAGUGAUUGAAUGAUGAGAUAUGUUUGUACAAUCAAUUAUAGAGACAGUGAAAUAUUAAAACAAAAAUGAAACGUACCAAGAUAAAAAGAAUAGCAACUAGUAUUAUGACCUUUGUAUGUCUUCAAAAUACAAACAUCAAAAUGAAUCAAGAGAUCUACCACACAAAUAAUGGUAUCAACACAAAUAAAGCAAUUGUUUUAGUAACAAUAUUUGAGUACAAUUAAACUAAGCAUGCUAUUUUCCUUGACAAAUUUACAUUCUUCUAAUCGAACAAAAUCUGACCUUUAAAUAGUGAUAGAAACUGAAGAUGAAAGCAAGUUUAGCUACAACUUCAGACCGUGAUAUAUAUGACAGAAUCUAUAUAAAAAAAAAAAAGAGUACCUAACUAUAUAUACACAGAGGAGAACUGAUGCUUACUAGCACAUCAGAGGCUCAAUCGAUUUAUAUUUAAUUGAAAAACAAUCCCUAUAUUUUAAUGCAUACACAUUGAAUAGCCCCUGUUUCAAUCCAAUUUACAAAACUACCUCCAUAAAAUUACAUAAUGGGGGAAGUUCGACCGGAUGCACUGUGCUUUACCAGAACCACAUGAAAUUAUUGGAACAUAGUUCAUUCAAUUAACUUUCUAUUCAAUAAUUGAAACAAAUGGAAAGAGGACAUAUGAAUAUUAAAUAAAGAUGGAAUUAAUUGGGAACUCACGGAGUAAUGCGAUUUGUUCGGGGGCUCACUACUGGAGUUGGAAGAGAGACAAGGAUUAGAAAGGAAAGGAAGAGGAGCGUCUGAUAAUCCAGCGGAUUCUUUGAUGAGUGGAGUACUAGUAGUAGUAGUGGAGGUUCCAAGGACAUUGAAGUCAAUCCGGUGAGAGUGAGGGAAUCCAGAAGGUUGAGGUUGAAGAGAGUAGAAAUUGCAACCAAAAUCGGUGACGAUGGUGGAAUCGAAAUUGCGAGGGAAGAAGAAAAGAGCAUCACAGGUCGAAGUAGAGGAGGAAUCAACACUGGAGAAAGGAGGAAGAUGAGGAGAACCUGCCAUUAAUGGAAGAGGGAGGAAGUGAGAGAGAAAGGAGAGGGAAUUAAUUAAUUAAAGAGAAUUAGGGUUUGAGAAGAGAAAGGGAAAAUGGAGUGUACGAACAAAGAAGAAGAAGAAGAAAUGGAAAGGACGCGCUAAGAGAAGAAGAUGGAUCGGUGAAAUGGGUAUGAUAGGGUUUCUUCCUUAAAGAAACGGAAAUUCAGAGAUAGGCCUUAGGAUUUUGAGAAGAGAAAGGAAAACUGGAGUGUACGAAGAAAUGGAAAGGACGCACUAAGAGAAGAAGAUGGAGAUUGGAUCCGCAACUAAGAGAAGAAGAUGGAGAUGGAUCCGCGAAAUGGGUAUGAUAGGGUUUCUUCCUUACAGAAACGGAAAUUGAGAGAUAGGCCAAAGAAGACAAGAGAGCAAGAGAGAAUGGGGGAGGAGAGGGAGGAGAGGGAGACUUGGCCGUUAGAGAAGAGGAUAAAGAAAUUUUAAAUGAGAGAGACUGUACAUGUAGGGUUUUUAUUAGAAUUUUUUUUUUUGAAAUCUUGCUUAAUUGGAUUUAGAGAAUUUUGUGUAUUCGGUUCACUGACUCGUAUUAGCUGUCCAUUGGUCCAUUGUUUUGUCAUUUUUUUUUUUCAACAAACUAAAUGUUUUAAUCCAUUUACAAAUUAGAUUUCGAUAAAUCGAUAAUCAUAUUUUUUUACAAUAUAGGACUAAAAAAGAUAACUAAUUUAUAUAUAUAUAUAUAUAUAUAUAUAUAUACAAUACAACAGUAUUUAGUUAAAUUACAAAAAAUUUGAAUUUUGUAGUUUGUGUAAAAAAAUAACCUUAAACUUUGAAAUGUUAAAAAAAAUUGUUUUGAACUUUUAAAAAUUAUUCAUAAAUACAUCUACAUACGUAGGAUGAAGGUAUUGGCAUGCUUCUCUAAAAAAACUUUCCAAAAAGAUGUUGUGUGACUUUUGAAAAGAAAAAUUACAAAUGGGGUCGUUUUUAAACAAAUUAGAUAUAUCGAGUUAUGUUUCUUUAAUUUUUUUUCCUUUUUUCACAUAUUAUCAAUCACAUCUUACUUUUUUUCUUUUUUCUUUGGAACCCUGCAAAAAUAACAAAAACAUUUAUAAUCACAUGACUCAUGUCACUACAUUUUCUAAAUUUUAAAAGUAGUAAAUUUAAAAGUUGAUAACCCUAUGAUUAUCGUUUGAUAGUCAUCUAAUAUCACUAAUUUUGUCAUAUUCGUAAUAUCCAAAUAAGGUUUCUUGGUGAGUCUAGAGUCGAACGUGAGGACUUAUACUAAAAAUAUAUAUUAUAUUUUGAAAUGAUCUUAAGGUGAUUAAUAACAUACGCCUAAGAACCAUAGCGGUAUCAUCCACUUGUAGGGUGGGAGGGGAGUCAUCCACUAUAGAUAAGGUCCACUUGUCUCCCUCACCCAACUUCAUAAGGCUGCCAAAAGAGUUAGGCAUAAUCACAUCCACACGUUUACCCUUCUCUCGAACAUAAACCAACUCUCUUUUCUUCCUAAUAACGAGUAAUUUCAUUCCGAUUACCUACCUCCUUUUCCUUAAUAUGCCUAAUGGGGGAGCUAUUAGUCUUACUUUCCUCCAACUAUUUAAAGUCUAACACCACAUCCAACAAGACACAAUUGUCCGUUCCUCCUCUUUGUUUGAAACCACCUUGCUCACAUCCUCUCUCUCGAUGAACUUUGUUUUCCACAAUCUUAGGACACUUACCACUAGAAUGCCCAAAAGACCGGCACAAAUUACACCUUCGAGGCUUCCACUCAUAAUUCACAGUCAUAACGAAAUCCUCUCCCCUAAGGUGAAUUGUAAAUUCAGCAGGCAUAGGAGAGUCCAUAACUAUAGUUUGCCUAUAGCACUAGCCACAACAGUCAAUCUGACAUCUGUCCAUAACUCCAUUGGAAUCCUACCUAGUUUAAUCCAUAUAGGAACAUAAUAAAAAGCAAAGGAUUUAGGGACAAUACCUAGAGUCCAUUUACGGAGGAGCAUACUUUUGCCAGCAAGAUGUCGCGAUCAACGAGAUAGGAUCCAUUCAACAAGUUUUGGGCAUCUGAAUUGGAAACAGAUGAGUCCGUUCUCAAGAAUUGUAAUCGUUGGCAUUUUAAUUUUAUCAACAAUAACAACGAGCUAAACAAAAUCCUCUAUCCAGGACGCACUAAUGAAAACUAAAAUGUAAAAUAAGUACGAAGUAAUUAAUUAAAAUAGAAGACAAAAGAAACCCAAAGUAAGUUGACAAAAUGCCCCACAAUAAGCUUCAAGAUGAGUGAGAGGGAACACCAAGAGAAACAUGAAUAGCCUUGCUAACUUUUCACUACUAGCCAACUACAUAUUUUUUUACAAUACGUGUUAGGGAAAUCUUUCCCUUUGCAAAAUCGACCAAUAUAUAUAAUCAAUCAUUGGCUCCUUAUGGGAAAAUACAGAAGCCCUAUACAUGUCUGUUUCAAGCCUGUGUUGAACAACUUUUAAUUCCCUAAGAUAAGGACAUUUAUCUGAAGGUUCGAGAAUAAUGACAUGACCUAAACUAACCCACCAUUUCGCAACAGUGAACCAGUUUGAUCGUUAGGGGACAACUUUUGAUAAUAAGCGCACAACCAUGCCCCAAUUCCAAUGUUGCCCAAAAGUAAAGGCCUUUCUUCACAAGGCUCCAUAAAAAAAAAGUUUGACUUUCACAUAAAGAUCUUAUUUCUUUUUUAUUGCUCCAAGAGAUCUAAUAGAUCUAUUCUCACCACGCAAAUCCCUUUUGUUAUCAUGGAAAAUAUGUUGGUUGUGCUCAAACCAAAUCUCUGCUAGCAACACUUUUAUCAAAUUAACCCAUAUUUUUUUUUUAAAAAAAAGGAUAUGAGUCUCACUAUUAUUAAUAUUGAAAUAUGAAGAGACAAAGCUCAAUGUCAUGAGGAUUAUACAAAGAGCAAUAGGAUGGAGGAUCAACAGACGCACCUGGACAUCUCAACUAGGUUGACACCCCUUAGCGCCCUCAUCACAUCCAAAAAGCGACAACACAAGAUCAAAACCAAAAGCCACAAAUAGAAGGCUUUUUUUGUGUUUGUUUUGCCUUUGGACAUUACUCCUUUGUUAUGGGUUUUAGCUUGGUUGGAUAUGAUGAGGGUGCUAUGGGGGUGGCAACCUAGUUGAGAUGCCAAGGUGCACCCCCUGAUCCAUGGUUACAUGUUCAUUGUAUAACUCUCUUGUACUAUGAGCUUUUGUCUAAUUAUUAUUAUUAUUAUUAUUUUAAUAUUAAUAAAGAGGUUGUCUCCUUUUCAAAAAAAACAAAACAAAACAAAACAAAACAAAACAAAAGCCACAAAUAUAAAACCAAACAAAAUGAUAAAAUAAUAUAUCCAAAACAAAAUCAUAAACCAUAGGUAGCAGGUCGAGAACAAAGAAGAAUAAGCCUUGAUUGAGCAAAAAAAACCAACAAAUAUUGAAUGUUUGGAGAAGACGGAACCAACAUUUUGAUACAAAGACAUAGUCAAUUAAAAGGUGCUAAAUAUUUUUCAUGUUAUCAACACAAAUGGGGCAGACAUGAGGUGAGAGGACAUGAGAGGGAAGUUUUCUUUGAAGUACUAAAGCACAGUUUAAUUUUCCAAACAACGUAAUCCAUAUGGGGAUAUUUAUCCAAAGAGUGAGCUAAAUAGCCCAAUGAGUGAUUGUUUUAUAAAACAUCGUUUUGAAAUAAUAAGUAUUUAACAAUUAACUCUUAACAUAAAUGAAAUCAAACUCAAACAAUAAACUAGGCAUAGAAGCCCUAUCCCGUGAUACGAUACUUACGAGAUGAAAAUCUAGGCAUCAAUUGUGCCCUAUCUCGUUAUAACUACAAUGAGAUGGAAAACUAGGCAUUCGUACAGGCUUUCGUCCCUUGAGAUGGGAAACUAAGCAUCUUUAGAAGUCUUCAUCUCUUAUCUAAUACCAAUGAUGGAAAGCUAGGUAUUUACUGAAUAUCCAAAUCAAAUGACCUCUAUGCACAAGAAAAUCUCUCCCGAAGGGUUGCUAUAUAUCUUAGAAUAUUUUAGGUAUAGACUAAAACAUGCUAAUAUUAUUUUCAAGCUUAAACAUUUUGAAAACUUAGCACAAUCAUGAUUGCUUAUAAUUUUCAUUAGUAAAUUCAUGAAUAAAAACAUGUUUACCAAAAUGUUUCUAAAUUCAUGCUUUGGAAAUACUUUAUAAGUCAGUAUCCUCAAAUAUUCAAACAUCAAAGCAUGCUUGAAACAUUUGAUAGUAAAUUCAUGUAUAGAAAUCAACUUUAAACUCAUUUUUGUCACUUAUAGAGAGUAGCUUGGACCCUUGGCUUAUAAACUUGUUCGAUCUCCUUCAAAUCUAAAAUAAUGAAAAAUAAUGGGAAAUAAUUCCAUUUAAUUCCCGUUGAUCAUAAAAAUAUCAAAACUUUGCUUAAAAUUUCCAAAAACCACAAAAACAGCCUAAAGACAUUAGCUUGCAUACAAAAUAUUGUGGCAGAAGUUGGCAGGCGCGCGUAGGGCUUGCCUUGCCAUGUCUCGUUCUAACCUCAUGUGCAGCGUGUCACAAUCACAACUUUUCAAACACGGAACAAACUAUUGUGCGGAGCUUGUUGUAACUCGAUGAACACGUCAGUUGUAUGAAAUUGGAUACGAUGUAGCCUCUCUACAGGUUUUAAGAGAAAUUGGUUUUAUUAAACACGAGAGAGAAAGGAAAGCAUUGGAAACAUCGUUAAAAAAAACUUUGAAGACUGUCCAUUGCAAAGAGAGCUUAAAUUGCAAAGAGUACCUCUGUGAUGAGAUUGGUUUGUGGAACCAAUUGGGAUGGGAAAAAGUUUAGAGAUAUUUGAGAGAAACUCUUUUCUUUUUGCAAAGAGCAAUAGCGUUAGCCUUAUUUUUUCAUUUUUUAUUAAUUCAUUUUUUUAAGAAAAUUGUUUUCUUCUAGAUAUUAUAACUCUCUUUCCUUCUAGGAAUAGAAAAUGAAGUAGAAGAGAACCAUGAGAUUCUAUUAAUUUACAAAUAAUUAAAUUAAUAUAUAUUUCAAAUCUACUGAUUAAUUAAACAUUAAUCAAUUAGUUAAUAAUUAAUGAAAUCGAAUUUAAUUAAAUAAUAUUAAACUAAACUAUUAAUUAAUUCUCCAAUUAACUAAUAACACUAAAUUAUUUAUCUUAUAUUUAACUUAAAUUAAAUUUGAAUCAUAUUCAAAUAUAAGUUUCUCUCAAUAAUUUUAAUAUGAAUCCAAUUCACAUUAAAUUAAUAUUUGAACUCAUUCAAAUAUUUUAACUCUCAUAAAUUAAUUUUGAAUCAUCCCCAAAGUUAAAUUUAUAUAGUAAAGUUUGAUAAACUUUAUAUUACAAUGUAUCACUAUACAUUAUACUAAUUCCCAAGUUAAAUUUAAACAUUUUAAAUUACAACCAAUAUAAAUAAAUCUCAUUACCCUUUACGAGCUAGGAAAGGGACCUAAUGGACCUACAUAUCAGAAGCUACAACGAUCUAAGAUUAAUUGGCUAAACUCAUUAACCACAUUAAUCAAUAUUCGUUAGCUGUGUGUACACUCCACUAAAGACUCACAACUGAACUCUUCUCACUAAAAAUAUAUUUAUGUGUCCACGGAUAUAGACCAAUAAUAGUAAGUUAGUCCUUCACGAGUGUUUGUAACACCAGUUGGAUCAAUUUACCGCUUUACCCCUAUGUUACCUCUAAUCCUUAAAAACCAGUGCUCCUCUAAUGAACAACUUGUUUAUGGUCCUACUAAUAAACAAAAACCCCUCUCAUGUCAUAGAGAGGGUACGGGCCCUUUGUUCAAGUUUUGGAGACACCAUUUAAGCUAACAUUCAUCUACUUACCCUAAAGUAGGAAAUAAGUGAAUUCCAUUUUGUGCAAUUAUAAUCCCAACUCCCCACUCAGUCUUGUCCCCAAAAACACUACUACAAAAACAGGCUUUUUUUACGUUUAAAAAACGCCAAGAAUAUUUACGAAUUCAACAUUCUUGACGUUUUUUAAAUGUCAAUAAUAUAUAGUUUUCCUCGACGUUUUAAAAACAUCAAGUAAUUUAUAAAAAAUUCUUAACGUUUUUAAAAUGUCGAGAUAAUUCUAAAAAGUUCUUGACAUUUUUAAAAACGUCAAGAAAUUUAUAAAAAAUUCUUGACGUUUUUAAAACGUCAAGAUAAUUCUAAAAAAUCAUUGAUGUUUUUAAAAACUUCAAGAAAUUUUAAUUUGUUUUUGACGUUUUAAAAACGUCAAGAAAUUUCUAAAAAAUUAUUGUGUUAAUAUUCUUUUACAAAACUCAACGUUUCAAUUAGAUCACUUUCCCUUUUCUUAAUUAAACCUAAUUCGCCGCGACUCUGUCCCUUCUCCACCCGAAAUCAAAAGUGUCGUUCACCUAACCUUCCCUUUGCGUUCAUUUGUGCAUUCAUCUGCGUUCAUCGCCGAAAAAGACUUCCCUUCGCGUUCAUCAGCGUUCACCUUCAUUCAUUUGCGUUCAUUGUCCGUCACCGUUCGUCUGCUUUUCGUUCCCUUCACCUUCGUCGAUUUGCGUCCGUCUGUUCACCGUUCGAAAUGCGUAAACACAUUCUCUGUUCGAAAACGAGUAAACACGUUCACCGUCCUUCUGUCGCAUUCCACUUUCGCUAAACCUCUAUUCGUUUCCAAAUCCUUCAUGGUUACUCAUUCAUUUUCUUCCCUUUCUAAAGGUAAUAAUUUUCCUUUUUUCCUUUGUGAUUAAAAUUUGUAAUUUGUAAUUUAAAAUUGGAAUGCAAAAUUAAAGAAGAGGAAAUAUGCCUUAGAGAAUGGAAGAAAGGUUUUGCAUUUUAGGCUUGAAAAUGGGGGAUACAAGUUAUUAUAAUUGUAAUAUAUAAUAUUUUGAACAAGGCUACCAAGCGUGCGAAUAUGAUUCAUUGGUUAGUUUAGGGAUUGGAAAGAGAAGGAUUGUGGAGUUUGUGAUAAUAUUUUGGUACACUGGAGCUGGAAACAGAGAAUAUUAAAAAACACAUACUGUUAUACACAGUAUUAUAAUAAUACGAAUCACUAGCUUUUCUUCUUCGUUUUCUUUUUCUUCUCCUGGAAUUUUUGUUAUGGGUAUUGUAUUGAGUUUUGUGUUUUAGAUUGUGAAGUAUGGGGUAGCUAAACUCUUAAUCCUAGGGAUAGAUGUAGACAAAGUUUAUGAAUUAUUCUUUGUAAUGCAUCUGAUUAUUUGCUCUUAAUCUUUUCAUGUUUUUAUGUGAAUAACGUUCAUAAUAUCUUAAUCACAGAUUAAUUGUUGAUUGGCCAUGAACCUUAAUCUUUGCAUGACUAGAGUGGUUAUGAACUUGGAAAGAGAUAAUUAAGGAUCCUUGAGGAUGUUGUUGAAAGAAGUGGACCUAAAAACUUUUGUUUGUUAAUAAAAAGAAAAAUGAACAGAGAUUCAUCUUCGUCAGGGGUCUUGAUGUUUAAUUUAAUUUAAAUUGUGUAUGAAUUUUUAAUUACGAGAAUUUUAAUAUGUUGCAAGAGCACUAUAGCCAAGGUAUAGAGUGAGGGAGAUAAGGUUUAUAUGUCUUAGAGAAUGGAAAGAUGGAAUUUGUGCUAAAAUCAUUAGUGUUCCAAAUACAAUUAUGAAUUAGGUAUAGUUGCAUUCCCCCUUCUGGAUUGCAUAGCACAUAAAUAUACUCUCAUGGAUUGCAUAGCACAUAAAUAUACUGUAAAAAACAAUAACAUAAAACACAAACUUGAUUUAGUUUCAUUCACACUUGUACACCAACAUGUUUCAAGUAAUGAUCAUAUAUUAAAAAUCAUUUUCAAAUUUGGUAAUAUAAAAUGGAAGAAGUGAGACCUUGAGGUUUUGACCACCAAUACUAUCUAACUGAUGAGUUUAUGAUUUUUGUUUCUACUGUGUUCUUUCCUUAAGCUUUAACUUGUUUUAGGGGCAAGAUGGUGAAGGUCUAGUCCACAACCUUUCCCAAGAAUUUAAUGAUGUUUGGGUUGACCCAAUUAUUGUUAUUGGACACCGUUUUAUGGUAAUUGGUUGUUAUGGUUUUUAAGUGUGUUUUGAUAUCUUGUGUUAAAAAAUAAUUGCAAAAAGUCGGAAAAGUUUGUUAAAGAUUAGGUGUUUUUAAGUUUGUCAUUCCACUUUAAUUCUCACCAGUACUUGCUGAAUGGAAGCCUCUUGUCUAAGACAAUUCGAGUGGAAUAACUCUCGUGACUACCACAACAUUUGGGAACUCACCAAAUGUAAGACUAUUCCUUUAUCCUAGCAUUUGAUCUCUCUCUAUAAUUUGGUUUGCUAUCGUAAGUUUGAUUAAAAUAAAUGCUGAUAAUUCAACUCCAAUGUUCUUAUUUUCUUAACUCCCAUUCAGUCAGUUAGAAUCAAAACUCAUUUAUUUAUCUUGUCUCCAUAAUUUGGAUUCAAAGAUUCAUCACAAUAAUCUUCUCAACAACAUUCUUGAAAAGGUAUUGAAUUUUCAACUGUGUGACCUUUAUACACAAAUUUCUUCAAAGAAAUUUACAUUCUUUAGAGUUUAGAGCUUUGAAUUCUAGUACAACUUAUAAAGCUUUUGAUACUUGUUAGACUUUUUUGCUUGGUGCGGAUAAAACCUUAUUUACAUUCUUUCUUUCCUGCAUGUUCUCUUUUGAUAUUUGUUAGACUUUUUUGCUUGUUGUCCUUAGUGUUUUCCUCUUUAGCUGAAAUUUCUCUAUCUUGAAAAAAAUAGAGCUUUAAAAUUCAACUUUAACUUUAUUUGAUACUAUCUUAGUCCAUACUUAUUUUGGUAUUUCUUUCAUUUCUCACAAACACAUCUAAGAGGUUGCCUUCACAAUAUGGCCAAAUUAACAAUAUGGCAACCUUUUUCAUUGCAAAACAUAUUAGAGGUUGGUUACUUAGUUAGCCUUAUUGGGUAAAUAAUUGACAUUUAGGUACUUUUUAGUUUGUAUAUUUAUAGAUGCCAAAUCGAUAUGUGAAUUUUAAUUGUUGCUUAUUUGAAACAUUGCAACCAUUUGAUAAAAUGUUGCUAUGUGAAUCCAUCUUAACUUGAUAUAUUAUUUUAUUUUGGUUUAGGUUGUGGAAUCCAAGUUUGUAUUUGAAGUCAAAUUCAUCCAAGAUCAUUGAGUUUCAAAGCUUCUUUAAUUAAGAUUUUGUUUCUUGAACUAGAAUUGUAGUCUUGUGAUUUUUGGAAUAGCAUAGUUGGAUUGGUUUUGUAAUUUUGGGAUUAUCAUAUUAGGUUGGGGUUGACUGAAGUAGUGUUUUGUAUAUGACAAUAUCGAACAAACAUGUAAAGUUUUCGAAAUGUUCAUACAUAUAUGAUUAAAUGUUAAUAUAUGUUAAAGUUUUGGAAUUGUACUCGUGCAUAUUUAUGAGAUUGUUGGGCCACACUACAGGAAUUAUAGAGACAAUACAGGAAAAAAAUAUAAAUAAAUUAUAAUUUAGAAAAAAAAUGAAACAAGCUUGACGUUUUUUAAAUGUCAUAAACAAAUACAUUCUUGACGGUUUUUCAAUGUCAUUAACAAGUAAAUUCUUGACGUUUUUUAAACGUCAUAAACAAUUGUGUUCUUGACCGUUUUUAAAUGUCAUAAAUUACAUUCUUGAUAGUUUUUAAAUGUCAUGAAUACUCAUUCACUUGACGAUUUUUAACUGUCAUGAAUAUUUGUAUACUUGACGUUUAUAAACUGUUAAGAAUCGCUAUUCUUGACGUUUUAUUAACCGUCAAGAACUUUGACUUUCUUGACGCUGGCUUCAAUGACGGUUUUAAAACCGUCAAGAAUAGUGAUUCUUGACAGUUUAAAAACGUCAAGAGAGUCUGUUUUUGUAGUAGUGAAUGAUAAGCUUAUUGAGUCGGCGAUCUAGCCACUCUCACUCGUACAAAUCAAAGGACAAUCUCUCGCGAACAAGAGUUCAUAAUACACUCAAGAUUAAGACUAAGUUAUAUAGGUCAUCCUAGUGAAAUAGAAACCUAACUAGUUAAUGUAGUAACACCAAGUGGUUACUAUUUCACGGUCUGGUCUAUUGCAAUCUCAUUGCAUAGGAUACCUUCACUCGCAUGUCAACUACAUGAGCACAUUGGAUCAUUGUAUUUGUAUCAAAUACAAAGUGAGUCGUAUUCAUAAUGUUACCAGGAUAAAGGUACCCAGUCUUAUCCCUAUACUAUAGACCCUUUAAGCUAAUCUCGAACAUUGAUCCAUGUAUGUCUCUACAUACUAUUCAAUACUUAUUAAACAGUUUAGGAUGUUAGUUUAUUGGAUUUGAGUUAUUAAGACAAAACUAAUAAUAUAAUCAAUAACAAUUAUUACAAUAAUAACACUUUAUUAACAAUGGUCAAUGGAUUAUAUUUACAAUCUACGAGUUUUAGGACAUAAAUUCCAACAAACUCCCACUUGGACUAAAACUCUAGUCUCUUUGGGAUGUUCAUAAUAAAGUAAUCCUCUAACAUUGAAAAUGGUAAAAUGUACAAGUGUAUUACAUAAAAUGUGUAUAUACAAAUACAAUAAACUAGGGCAUCCUCAUACCCAUUACACAUCUGCCACUUUUCCUAGAUUACCUAAUGUACAUAACUCGCAGAUCUAGACUUUCUAGAAGACCCUCGAACACUUUAGCCAUGAGAGUCUUUGUAAAUGGAUUAGUAAUAUGCCCCACUAUUAUCACAAUAUAAAGUGAUGGGGCAUGUUCAUGUUUGGAACAACUUCCAAAUUAUGCAAGAACUUCCUCAGCAAAACUGCUUCUUUUGCUGCUUCACAAGUAACAAUAUACUCAACUUUCAUAAUAGAGUGUGUAAUGACGCGUGGCUCAGGCUGCUUGAUCAUGCCAGGACAUGCUUCUUGCAUGUCCCAAGCCUAAAUAACCUCUUUCGCUCAAAACACACGCUCAUCUCACCUUGUCAUCCUGGCAAUCAACCCACCCUUGGCCUUGCCUAGAAAUAUGAUUUUUCUACCAGAAACUUAACUCGACUUUGAAGCUUAAAUCAAUAAGAUUCCUUCUACAAACUUACUUAGAAUGUCUUCACUAGCUUACCACAAAGUGUCACUAACAAAUUCCAAAAUACUCUACAUUGUUCAAGUUUUUUUUUUUUUUUUUUUUUCUGAAAAUGACCUUUGAGUCUUUCUUCACUUCAAUGCCUUUCUUCCUGGUAGCCUUUCUCCUGAUACUACACUCAAUUUAGGAGAUUUUCGAAGUAGAGUUACCCAAUUAACACAAGUUGCUUGUUAACAUAAUUCGUCCAAAGUUGUACAUAUAGUGAUCCUUGCAUGCUCUUUGGUUGACAACUUUUAUUCUCACCUCUUACGCCCAUACUUGGCACUUUCCACCUCAUGCAAGACACUUAUUUGGCAAAACUUAGGUAUCUUGUAUGUUGUCCACUUGUACUCUACCGCACAUCUUACCUCAUAUUGCUUAAGUCAUCCUUGGAUGCAUAUCCCUUUUUCUAUGAGGGUUCUUUAGUAAAUUCUUACUGCCAAGAAUGCCUAAGACUUUUUUUUCUCGCCUAAUCUCCCAAACAUCCCUCAAUGCCUUCAACAAACCAUGCCAUCUUGACUAGCAUUUGGUUGAAUUGCCCCAUUGGCCGCAUGGCCUAUGUCCACAUAGCCCACCUCUUUGUUGCAUGACAUUCCUUAUCCACGUUCUAACUUCUUUAGAGUUUCUUGACAUUUCCUAGAUGCUUAGCUUCCUUGCCUAGCGCAUACCCUUGGUCAUAUAGCCUUGUCUUAUAGAGGUUGUCUUGACACCUUUCGGCCAUACCACAUCUCAACCUUUGGCCACCCAACAUGUCUCUUUAGAGGUUCGCUUGACACUUUUGGCCGCCUAGAGUAUGCAACAUGCCCUAGACAACACUUAGCCAAUUUUCGAACACCCUUUAUGCCUUUCUUUGUUACGAUGACACUUUUCUUUUGUCAUCUUAAAAAUAUUAACACAUCUUUCAUAACACUUCAACUAAACUAUCCAAUCUUAAACCAUCUUUCUCCUAACAUCAACCCCUAAUGUCCUAUUGAGUUCUUUAGAUGAAUUAAGGAUUAUUAGGUAUCGGGGUUUACACGCGAGAUGUAAGUCUUCCUCCUUGGAAUUACGUAUAUAGUAGUGUGCGGAGGGAGAGGAAUGUGAUGCAGGUCUUCCUCCUCAACCCUAAGGAAUUCUUCUUCGCUAACAAUGCCCUUUUGAUCGGGUAAGGGCUUGUUCGGUCAGGUCGUGAGGUGAAGGAUGUUGUUAUAAUGAUGGGGGAUUUGGUGGUGAGAGGAUAAUAGACAUGCGAGAAGACUUGGGUAAGAUUGAUGACAGGGAGUUUCAAUUUUUGGAUGAGGACUGGAAUUGAAGGAUUUGGAUUUUGGAGGAGGCGAUGAGAGAGUUAGGGGUCGGAUUGCAAGAGGUUUAGGGUCGAUGGCCACGUCUAGCUUUCGUCUUUUUUCCUUUUUAUACGAGUUAGACGCGUCAUCGUGGACCUUUCUCCUCUUUAGCAGUGGUGGCAACGGAGAAGCCUCUUCUUCUUCUCUGCCAUUCCAUUCUUCUCCCUUAACUUUAUUAAAGGUUUUGAGGUGUCUCUCUUCUUCUUUAUUUUGAUGGAGUGUUAUGGUUUGGUUGAGAUUCGCCUGAGAACAUGCAUAAGGGGUGAUUGCAGAAAAGCUAAAAGCUUAGGAACCGUCGGAGGAAGGGCAGAUCAUUAAUUGUAUGUUACGCCUUCCUCUGACGUGGUGGCAGCAACGUUGAGAAUAGAUUUAGGGAUUCCCGACGUAUCAUUAAUUGCGUGGGAAUAUGUUUAGGGAUUUCUGACGUUUAACAAAUCAGGUCAAGAAUAGGGUGCUAUUCCCGACGUUUUCGUUGUGCGUCAGGAGUUCUCUGUCUUUUUUAACUCCAUUCUUUAUAUAAAUGAAACAUAAAGAGAAAGAAAAUGAGAGAGGGAGAGGGAGACCGAGAGGAAGAUUAAGAAGAAGAGGGCAUUGUCAUCUCCAUUGCCGUCCCUGUUGUCGUCCUGUCGUCGCCGCCAUCGGUAAGUGGUUUAGUUUAGUUAUUGUUUUGUUUUAGUUAAUUAGUUUUAGUAUUUAGAUUUCAAAUUUGUUUUAGGUGUUAGAUUUUAGAUUUCAAAUUAGUUUUAGUAUUUAGAUUUUGAAUUAGUUGUAAGUUUUAGUAUUGAAAUUUAAUUUCAAGUGUUGUUAGAAUUUUGAAUUAGUUGUAGGUUUUAGAAAUUUGAAUUUGAAGUGUUGAAGUUGAGGUUGAAGUGUUGAAGUUGAGUUUGAAUUUAAAGUUUUCAAUUUGAAUUUAGGAAUUAAUUGAAGUUAUUUUUUUUAAAAAAAAUAGAGGAUCUCCCGACGCAUGGUUCCUAGACAUCUCUCGAUGCUAUAUUGACAACAUCUUCGACGUUCAUACAACGUCAGAAGAUGUCUAGAAACUCUCGACGCACAACAUUGUGCAUCGGGAGUUCCUCUCCCGAUACAUUUUUCCUGACUUGUGUUCCAACGUAUAUUAGUAUGUCAGAAAAGCCUUUUCUGAUGCUUUUUAUAUAUCUCCCAAUGAUUUUAUGCAUCGAGAGAGCCCUCAUUUCUUGUAGUGUUAGACAAAGAGCUUCAAUGUGGUAGAGGGGAAAGGCAUGACACCUUUAGGUGCUUUCAUCAAAGGGAGGAUUGAGGUUCUGAUUAUGGCGCUAAGGUUAACUGCCAUCUUCUUCUUAAUGCAAUAAAUCAUCAUUGUGCACUCUAGUGGGAUGGUGUUGUUGUCAACCAGGCAGGCGGUUUUGUUUUCAAGUCUUAGUUCUUAAUCCUUAACAACCUUUAGUAUUGAUGCUCUACCCCAACCCUCAUCUAAAACGAUAACUAACACAAUGGUUUGGAAGUUUUUGUGAAACAUCAUCUAUACUUUUUCUUUAAUGGUCGAUGAAAAAAAAGUCAGGAAAAUGGUAUUUCUGACCAUUUUAAGUGUUACCAAAAUAUCACAUUUGGUGUAGUAUGGUAUUGUUUUGAAUAUUUUUGUAAAAUAGUGGAUCAAGAAGUUUUACUAAGAUAAAGUUUCAUGUUGGACAAGAGGAUAGUGGAUGGGAAUUAAGUUGAAUGGUCCACUUUUUUUUUAAAUCCUUUAAGGUUUUAUGAAAACCUUUCACAAUACCUUUUCAUAAUCAUUUUGUAAAAAUAAUAUCAAAUCAUUUAAAUAUACCGAAAAAUUAUUUCAUUUCGAAUAAACCUUUCUUUAUGCUUAAAAAAUCAUUUCAUUUUGUCAAGGAUCCCGAAUCAUUCUCUACGCUUGGUGUCAUUACCUCGCGUUUAGACUACUGUAUCAACAGCAUCUGAGAACAUACAAAUUCGUCUUUGUUGCUCAUACCGCUAAGCUUUAUACGCUCAUUUCAAUGCAUAAGUCAGCUUCUUAUUACCAUGUAGUUCGUACACUCCAUAGUUGCCUUCACUCUUUAUGUGCACACAAAAGUUAGCAUCAUCUCAAAGAAACAUAAUAUUGAAAUCAUAGUCAUCAAAUCAAGCUUUAACAUUAUCAAUAAUGCUUGAACACAUAACUUUUCAUAGAAAUCUUUCUGAAACAUUCUCAUCUGAAUUCUUCUUUCAAAUCAGUAAAGAGAAAUCGUAAUAAAGUUUCUUAACAUAAAUUCUUUUGACUGAAAAGCACUCACCAAAAUUUACUAAAGAAGUCCUUCUCACAACCAUCUUUUCGCGUGGCUAAACCAACAACACUUUAACAUUUCAACAAAACUCUCGUCAUCCCCUCCUUAGUUACCUAAAUUCUCCUAUUUUAUAGAUCCCUUAUACUAACUUAGUCAUGCAAAUCCUUAAUAUUUAACCUAGUCAUGCUCAAAUCCUUAAUCUUACAUGUUAACCCAUGUCAAAUCAGAUUUGACAUUUUCUUUACAAACCUUGCUCCCCGCCUAACCCAAACCGUGAAUAAAUUCAACCACUUAACAUUUCUCGUGAAUAACCUUAUCGCUUGAUUAUAUUUUUAUUAUAAGAAACGUUCCACCUGAACUAACCAACUUUUACUCGCAUAAAACUCUUAUCACGAACUUAAACUCCAAGGCUUCCUCGUAGACUUCUUCUCCACGAAACACUUGGUUCUUCUCGCGAAGACCACCCAAAACUCCUAGUCUAACACUCAAAACUUUCAUUUCCUAACUUACGCAAAGACUUUUUCGCUUCUUAUCGCACAACUUCUUUCGCGAACUACCCACUUAUCGCAAAAAAGUAUACUUAACCGUAAAAGAUCUUAUCACUUAAUCUUUCCAUGGAUUUAUUUGAACACCAACUUCUUAAUUCUUAGCCGAAUUUUACUUCCUUACUCGAAUUAGAAAUGGGUCGCACAACUUCCUUCGCGAACUACCCACUGAAUCGCAAUAACGUAUACUUAACCAUAAAUUUUUUUAUCGCUUAAUCCUUUUCGUGGAUUUAUUUAAACGCCAAAUUCUUAAUACCUAGCCAAAUUUUACUUCAUUACUCAAAUUAGAAAUGGGUCUCAAAUUUAGAGCCUAUCGCUUCUUUAAGAUACAUGAUCUUACCGAUUCAGAGAAAUUAACCACAAGCGUUAUUAGUUUUGAUGAUCUGGCAUUGGAUUGGUACCAAGCACAAGAAGAGUUGGAAGUUUUUAAGAAUUGGGCUGACCUGAAAGAACGAAUGCUUGUACAGUUUCGAUCAAUUCGAGAAGGAACUUUGGUUGGAAGAUUUUUCUCAAUCAAACAGAAAAUGAAUGUAGAAGAAUACCGCAACCGAUUUGAUCGAUAUUUAGCUCUGGUAGCAUUUCUUCAAACGGUAGUGUUAGAGGAGACUUUGAUGAUUGGGCUUAGCCCAUGAAUAAAAAUGGAAGUGGAAACCGUGGAACCGAUUGGGUUGGCCCAGAUGAUGAAAUUUGCGUUGAAUAUUGAGAAUAAGGAACUAGUGAGAAAAGAGUGUGGGUUGAGCAGUGCAUUUCAUGUAAAACUGCAACUCACCCUAUCUAUUGUGGAAAACAACAAUAUAAUGAUGACUAAGGAAGAAACCAGCAAUGGAAAGUCUGCUGAUGAGAGUUAUCACCCUGAAGGGAGUUACUGAUAGAACUAAGACAUGCACAACAGAAAAAGAAUCGAAAUUCUACCCUAAUUGGGCUUAAUUAACGAGACUAAACCAAAAAAUAAGGUUUUUAGAAUACUUACAUUUGAAGUUGCGUUUUAUUCGAACAACCACUAAGUUUGACUUAGUACUUCUAGACUCAUAAUCGAGUUGUGGGACCGUUGGAUGAAAGAACCGGACGAAAGAAAUAGAUGAAAAAAAUGGGCGUGGUAAAUUUUUUUUUUUUUUUUUAAGUAAAUAAGAAAAAGAAAUUCCAUUUGGUGUGAAAGCCCAAAUUUAAUAGGAAAAUGAAAGGGAAUUCCUUGGAAAGUUGGUUUGUGUGUCAUUAAAAGUCAAGGUGGAAAACAAAGUACAACAUAUGGCUAAAUGUGAGAGUAGGCGUGCAAGUAUAAUAAAUACCUACCAAGAUGUUUAUUAAUAACAUGUGUUUGAUACAUAAUUACAACACUUUGACCAAACAACCAAUGCUUAACUAUUUUCAAAACGUCUGGUCAUCUCGCUGCAAAUCCUUCAACCUUCUUCUCUACUUGGCCUAAACACCUCAUCUUGGAAGAUGAAUUUUUGAAAGAAUGUCUAAAAGACUAAGGUUUUAUGAAAUCCUUUUCGCAAUACCUUUUCAUAAACAUCAUUUCGCAUAAACAACAUCAAAUAAUUUUAUCUCGCAUAAACCUUUCUUUAUCCUUAACAUACUCAUUGAACAAUUUCACAUAAACACACAUUAGUUAACAUUCAUUCUUUCACCAAGGAUUUUGAAUCGUUCUCUACACUUUGAUGUAGAACAUCUCCCUUCUUGAUGUUUCUUGAGUUUUAUCCUAGAGGAGGGUUUGAAUUACCAUUUUUAUAGUUUAGGAUUAGUUAUUUGAAUUACCAAUUUUGUAUCUUGAGUUAGUUAUAACUAACUCAACUCCAAGUUAAACUAACUCAACCCCAAGUUAGUUUAACAACAAUUAUAAUCUCCAGCCUAUAAAAAAGCUUCUCAUUUUCAUUAAUAAGACAUAAAAAAAAAGAGGCAUUAUACAUAAAGAUUUCUAGCUUUGCAAUUACUGCAAUCAAUUGGUAUCAGAGCGUGAUCCUAGCUCACUCUUCCCUAAAAAAACUUGGAUCCUACCACUCUUAUCCAUGGACGCGGAAGCCUCCUUCAACCAACGCUUGCAGUUGGUAGAACAAGCUAUUGAAGAACUUCGAAAAGGGCAGUCAGAUAUACAGCAAUCGUUAGUAGAAUUAACAAACCUUUUUACCCGAUUUCAUGUCCAACCUUUAGAAGAAGCAAUUCAGCCCCCAAGAAACCCAAUUGCAGCAAACCAAGAAAGACAAGAAAGACCAAGAAACCCAAUUGCAGCAAACCAAGAAAGACAAGAAAGACCAAUAAACCUGUUGUAAACUAAGAACUACUAAGAAAUCAACCUAUUCACAUCACAAUAAUCGAUUGUAUGGAAACAACGUACUGAAAUUUCUUAAACGAUUCUGACUCUUCGAUGAAGACAACUUGCUGAACAUUCAUCAAGAACCUCAACAAAGGCUUGGACUUCGACCAUACUUUCAAGAAGAUCAAGAAAUACGUAUGAAAGUGGAUCUCCCUACCUUCAAUGGUCGAAUGGACGUGGAGAAGUUUCUUGAUUGGAUCAAGAACGUAGAAAUUUUUUUCGACUAUGCCAAUACACCCGAACACAAGAAGGUUCGAUUAGUUGCUCUCAAACUUCAAGGUGGCGCAAGCGCUUGGUGGGAUCAAUUACAAAACAAUAGACGAUUAUUUGGUAACCAAUCUAAAGAUUAGCUGAAUAUCUUAUAAAAAGAUGUUGCCGUAGGCUUAGUGGUGACAGGUGAGAAAGUAAGUUGUGUCUUUUAUGACUCUUAAACGUUGAAGUCAAUCAAUGAGUUCCAAAUGCAAUAUUGGAAGUUUUCUUAAAUAUUUUGAUGCUUUUGCAUGUUGUGAAAGAACUUGGUUAGAUGUGAGAAAGGGGUUUAUGAGAUUAGUUACUUACUAUUCCCUUUUUCACUGUCAUUGCUACUCCGUAGACAUGCUAUGGGCUCGUGUUUCUGUAGAAUAUAAUUUAUAUGUUCUCUCUACAAAUUUGAAGUAAUUUCUACUGUUUUUGCUAAUAUUCUCUAAAGCUUAUUCAAAAUGUAGUUGUUUAAUGACUGUUCAGAUUUAAAAUAUAUUAUAGAGUUAAAUUUAACACAGUUAAUCAGCUUAAGCAUUUGACUCUAGUGUUCUUAAGAUAUAAAUUCAAAUCCCUAUAAUUUUAUCAUGUUGAUCUUUUCAAUCUUCUCACAUACCGUCUUCAUUUCAUAAUCUUGCCUACUAGUUGCGUAUCAUCAAUGAAAUUACCAUAGGAGUCCACAUGUGGUAAUUAUGGAUCUAGCACGAUAUACUGCGUAUCAUGUUGUUGGAGAUCAUUUUAAAUGAUUAACCAGUCUAUUGGUGGUUUGAGUCUUUCCUUUUGAAUCUAUAGGUUGUUCAAUGGUCUAAUAUUAACUGUGUUUAGAUUUAUGGUAAUUUUCAUUCUUUUACAGCCUUAAUAACCAAGAAAAGGUGUGCUUUUAUAAUCUUUUCUUUCUCUUCGGCAGGUUGGUAAUGUAGAAAGAUACAUGUAUACUAUGCCCAUGGACUAGAUAGCCCAACCUUUGUUCGCCGGUGUUAUUGGCUCCUAGAUAAGUAUGUUAUGGUUGAAAGAAAGUUGUUAAAUUGCUUGCUACCAGUUGUUUCAGUGGGGUCUAUCCCCAUCAUGCCACAAGCAAAGAAAAAUGAAAUUAGAUAGUGGCAGUAUAUCGUGUUCUACUUAUAUAAUUUAUGACUUGCUUCUGCUUUUUGUUCAGGACCUUUGAACACAUUGUCCUUGUUCAUUACCGUGAAACACAAGAGGUUAGGUUCAACACAAUGCAUUUGCAGUUAUUGAAAUAUUAUCUUGAGACAAACUUUUAUCAUUUGGACUACUACAUCUAUUUAAGAUUUGCUGAUUUUUCCUCCAUGGUUGCAAUAUUAGAACUUCACCAAAAUAAUGUUGUCAUGUGUGUCUUUAAAUUUUUACUGGCAGUAUGGCACCAUAUAGAUCUAAUAGUUGUGCAUGCAUGUCUUCCUCUCUAUCCUCCAUUGAAAAACUCGAUAAUUAUCUGUUUGUGUUUUAUUUUGAUGAUUUAAUCCAACAUUUAUUAUGGAUAAAGUCAGCCAUAAAAUACAUAUGUUUACUACUGCUCUUUAUACAUUUUAAAUACUAGAUUUCUUGAUGACUGUUGUCUUUAAGUUGCUCUUAAUGUUGUUGCAUAUCGAGAAAUGCACUGUAAUUUAUGUACCAAUUUUAUCACUGCUUUUAACUAAAUCUUCAAAAAUCAAGGCACCACCGAAUGUAGACUGCUAUAUGGUGAUUCAAGUGUUGAGAGUUCUCUUUCUUCUGCUAUCCAUAAAUUUAUGGAAUGGAAAGGCAAUGAUCAUGACACUAUUUUUUGUCAGAUAAACACUCGUUUCAUAUGCUUCAACUCUGUGGUGCUUCACAGCACACAGAUAAAACUACCAAACAUUCUGCACCCAAUAUUACCAUAAUGCAUUUGGACACUUCAUUAACAACUUCUUACAAUUACCCUUUCUAUAUUAAAAAUAAUUCGUUGUCUUAACUUCCUGUUGCUCCUAGUUUCAGAAUUUUCCAUCCACAUCGUUGAACUCAAAUUCUGGUUCUGUCUCUAACCCAUUAAUUCCGUGGCUUUUAUCGAAGGAACUUGAUUCCAAGGCUACUCAUGUUUAUUUUCUUGGUGAAAAUGAAUUGUCAGGUAAUACUGGCCGAACCUGUCAAAAAUAAAUGAGUCAUAGUUUGUUUGAUCAUUCAUUUUCUAAUCUUUCUUCUUUAUAUUUAAUUAGUUGUUUAAUUUCUUAAAAAAGAAUUAUGGUUUAUUUAUAGUAUAUUUGGUAGUAUGCAUGCCUCAUGUCACGUGGUUAAGAUCUGAAGCUAACCAUACGUGCGACACUUGGCUAACUACAAUGCCCACGUAGCCAAGUAAGCCUUUCCCGGAAGGGGUAGUGCGCCAAGCACUAUGACAACGGGUUGCAGCGGAAGUACUAAGGUUGGUUGCAAGACACGAGAGAGGUUGGAAGGAUGAGGGAGUUUGGAUGGAUACGUCUUUGGAAUGAUACAUUGCAUUCCAACAAUAGAUGAAUACAUAUUUGGGUACAAAUAUGCUGUCUUCUUGUCAUGGGGAUACCAUGGGCAAGGAGACUUUGGGUGGCAAGGUGACCUUGCUUGGCUAAGACAUGCCAAGAUGCAAGGUUGCAAGGCUUGAUACAAAUGAGGCCAUCCCCAAGUAUUUAUAGACCAUCCCCACCGACCUUGGGCCUUAGAAGGUCGGCCAAGGGAGAUUCUAGAGAUUACAAGUUCAUUUGGUACAUAACAAGGAAGCCUAGAACAUUCUAGAGAGGACUAGACCUUUCAUGACACUCGCUGACGGUCAUAAUAGCCUUCUAGAGUGUUUCAGCACGUUCCAGCAUCAUCCAGCACGUUUCGGGGCCUUCUCGGGAGCCUCCCGCGCAUUCCAGCACAUUCUGGCACUGUCUCGAACGUUCUAGAGGCUUCUGGGGUUGUCUAGAAUGAGCAUGGGCGGGGCAGCACGCACAUGGGCGUGUCUGGAGCCUUCUGGAAGCAUCUGGGGGCGUCGGGCGCGCGCAUGGGCCUUCCAGAGCCUUCCGCGCGCGCGCGCGUUGGGGCGCACCUUCCCGAUUCUUCUGGAAGCUUCUCGGAGGUUCUGGGGCGGUCUGGACGUUGGGCAGACACGGGCGCGCGCAUUGGGUCCGAUGGUGGGCACUGGUGCUGGGCGCCUAUGGCCGUGUCAACGGGCAUCUGGGCGUGCUAUGGGGUUGUGUCGUGGGCUGACACUCGGCUGUCAUGGGCACUCGUCGUGGCACGCAUGCGGGGCUUGUGAGCUGUCCUCGAGAGGUGCAUGCCAAUGUCGUAGGCACAUGUCGUGGUCGCCCUUAGGCUGUCUUAGGACCACGUUGGGCUGCUCCUGGGCCUUGCUGAAGGAGUCGUGGCAUGAAUUGGCACAAUUUUAGGGGUGAUUUUUGGGGUCAAAAUUUCACACGUGACACUCAGCUCCUUUAAUGCAUGUCUCUUACAGUAUAUUUGGUAGUCUUUUAUAAUGUUACACCCUUUUUUUUAAUUCCUAAAACCUUUUAACUUUCCAAAUUUUCAUUCAUUCUUUUAGAAAAUUAUUUUCAUUAUUUUUUUAUGGUUACAAAACCAUCCAUUAACUACAUUAAUUAUACAAUUCACUCCAAUAAUAAAUAAAUAACUUUUUUGGAUCUAAGGUCUUUUCUCAUUCUACAAAUUUAAUUUACUAUAUAAAGGUUAUUAUGCUAAUUGAAAAAUAUAUUUCUCUCAAGUAUGCAAUGACAGAAAAUUAGGUUAUAAAUAUAAAAAAAUUAUAUUUUUAGGUAUUAUAAUUUUUUUUAAAAAAAUUAUAUUUUUAAUUUUUAAUAAAACCUUGCAUUUGGGGAUUCACAUGUUGUUACUUGUCGAACCAAAAAAAAUUUAUUCGCGGUGAAAACUCUUUAAAAACCCAAUUCGUGGAAGGAAAAAUUGAACUGUGGCGUUGAGUUAUUUUGUUGUUGAAGAAGAUCAGUAAAAAACCCACAGCAUUAAAACUUCUUUUUGUUUCUUUAACUAUAUUUUAGAUUGCAACAUAUUUUCUAUUUGCGUUUAGUUAGGGUUUCUCUUGUUUAUUCCAAGAUAUGCAUGGAUAGUUCAUGUUAGACUAUUUGGAAAGAGGGAUUUAUGUAGCACGGGUAUUAUAUUCUGGUUUUGGAAGUGUCGAGAUAAAUUAAGGACUUUUUUAAUCUUCUUCAAACAAACCUAUACGAAGGCGAAGAAUAAUUUGUGCUUGUAUUUUAGUCGGAAUAAGAAGAAACAUGAAGAGAAUGCCCACGAGGAAAAUGACACGAGAAAAAGUUGUGUAUUCCUCCAUCCAUAACUGAGCUCUCUAAUGUGUAUUCCUCCCUCCAUAACUGGCUUACUUUGGAUUGUUUGGAUAGAAAGAAACAAUAGAAUUUUUAAGGAUAAAUCAAGGUUUAUUGUUAACUUGUGGGAAGACAUAUGUAACUUGAUCGAAGUUUGGUCUAGGCGUCAUUCAUCUUGUAACUAAUAUGAUGUUACUACCAACUCUUAACUUUAAGCUUUGUUAGAUUAGGUUGUUUCAGGCUUCCCUCUAGCCUUCAACCUUGUAACUUUAACUCUAUGUGAAUAGAUAAUGACUUUUAUCCUAGGUUUAUCCUAGUUUGAAGGAUUCGGUUUCUUCUUCUUAAAAAACAGUUGUAUUUCGACUACUAUUUGGGAGGAAAAUGUGCUUAACUAACUAAAAAUCUAAUGACACUUCCAAAACCAGUCAUUUCGAAAGAUGUUUCCUCAAUAAUAUAUUUAUAAUGCUCUUCCUUUAUAGAGUAAAACAGUAAAGCAACAAAACCUCCAUUCAACAUUCUUCAAAAUUUUCAAACGUCAAGAAAUAUGUACUUUUACUUGACAUUUUAAAAACGUCAAGAAUUUUUAUAAAAAUCCGGAGAAGAGUUAUUUUUUAAAUUUCUUGAUGUUUUUUAGACGUCAAGUAAAAUCGUUUUUCUUUACGUUUUAAAAACGUCAAGUGUUAUUAAAUAUAUAUUUAUAUAUAUAAAAGAAAAUAUUGGGUUGAAUCCUUCGAAGCCCUAGACUUGUCUCUACCGCAUUCGAAAAUGCCAAAUUCUCUAUGAGGAUCUCUCACUUCUGCCGUGUUCACCGUCCGUCCAUCCGCGUUCACCACGCCCUCUCCAAAAAUGCGUACUAGGUCCUUCGCUUUCAGUCGUUCACCAUCCACUGAGUACGAGAUCCCUAAGACUUUCGCCAUCUACCAUCCCUAAUACUCUGAAAUCGUCGUCUGUUGUCCCUCAAAAUUGUCGUCUUUCUCUACGAAAACGUCGCCCUUCUUUCGAGUCUUCAUUCCCCUUUAUGUCGUCCUUCUGUAUUUAGAGGUUAUACUUCAUUCCCCUAAAACUUCCAUUGGUUUCCAUAUUUCAAGAAUUUGAAAUUUUUAUAGGAUAUUGCUAGUGGAAAUUAAGUCAAUUCUGUUUGCUCCCAAACUACCUCCUGAUUAUGCUGUCUGGUUGGGAGAAAUAAAGUCUUCAUCAUAUUUCAAGGUAGUGUAUGUUAACCAACACUUAGUGCAUUUUCGUGUUUAUGAGCUUAUUUUAGUUAAUAUGUUUUUGUAGGAAAAAUAUGCUGUCAAUAUGGCAUAUUCUACGAUGAAAUUGUAGUCGUUUAGCACAAAAUUUUGAGGUUCUUUUUCAACUAAUUAUGCUUUAUCUAAUAUAUUUUUCCAAAUCUCAAAGAAGAACUUUUGAUUUCAUUGGAGUUUAUCAUUAGAGGCAUUACUAUAUUGGCUGACUCUUAGUGGGCUAUAGGUUUUCCAAUGGUCAUUUGAGACUGGUUAAUAAUAGCAAAAGUUAGAGCUUGAGAAGAAGGAGCGAAGAGAGUAGUGAAGACAAAUGAAGAAAGAAAGCUGAGUGAAAAACGAAAAUUGACAAGGUAGAGAUGUGACAUGAAAAUGAUGAUGAGAAGUGAAGGAGGCACGACACAAUACAGGUACACAAUAACAAAGCCUUGAUAAUUAAAAAAAGGAUGGUGCCAAGAAAAUUUAAAUACAAAAAAAAUGAAGGUUCUUGCAAGUGUAUUGAGUGAAUGGGAGAAAGAAAGGAUAAAAAAGGUAGAAAGAGAGAAAGAGAAGUCAAGGGUAGAGAUACAUAGCUUUGUAUAUAGAAACUUUAUGUCAACAACGACGCGCUUAGCACAGGUACGGAACCGGACACCAUCUUCUUGGUGUUUGUAUGUGCAAAAGCCUCGAGUGGCUAUGGUCUUCUUCUUCUCUUUGAGGGAAAUGGUUGAAAUUGCUAGACUAUUUCAAUUACUAUGUGAGAGGUGGCUGAAUUUUAUUGGACCUCUCUUCUUGGGCUUACUUUUUACAAUUGUUUAACAAUCUCUCUCCGAAUAUACCUUCGUCCCCUUAGCUGCUUCCCACUUUGGUAUGGAUACAUUUGUCACUACUAGUAAAAUGGAUUUUAAUCAAGACAUUGUGUCGUUGAAAAUAAAAGAAAAAAGAGGUGGGAUGAGGUACAUUGUGUUGUUGAAAAUAAAAAUAUGGAUUAUUUCUUAAAACAAUUCUAUUGACACAAUUUAAUUUAUUUCCACACAAUUUUUGCGUCAUUAAUUAACGACAAUUUUUUUGUCAUUAAAAAAAUUUUCAAAUGAAAAAACCUCAAAUUUCAAAUGUUUUUUAAUUUCCCUCUCUCACACAAUUACAACUAAGUAAAACAUCAAAUUUUCUCUUAAGCAAAAACGAUGUCGUCGAAUGAAGUCUUAAUGCAAUUUUUUUCUCACUCUACCAAAAAUGCAAAAAAAAUCUCGUCGAACGAAGUGGGCUACCGAGUCAUUAUGAAGAACCCUUGCCUUCCAAUUUUUGCCACUUGUCGUCGUCGAUUCCACACUCCAACCACUGUUGUCGUUGCUGCCACAACAAGCCUUUCGCCGUCGAACCCACCAAUCUAGCCACUUUCGUCGAAUAAAUUUAUUUAGAAAUAUAAGUUUUAAUGACACUUGAAAUCAAGAAAAAGGGACAUGAGGGAAUAAAAUGUGUCGUUAAAAAUAAAAAUACAAAAUUUUUCGUGACACAAAUUGAGUUUUCUUGACAAAAUUUUCGCAUUGUUAAUUAAUGAUAUAAAUUAUGUGUCAUUAAAAAUUACCCUAAUAAAAAAUAAAUGUUUUCCUUUAAUCAUUACACCUUUUGAUUUAAAACAAAUAAUUCGAAGCUUUCAUCCCACUUGUGAACAACGACCGAAAAAAACCUUACUUCAUCCCACAUCGUCGCUGUCUUUAGCUCUCUCGCAAAUGCUCUCUGGCGACGUUCCCCCCUCUCUCGCAAAUACUCUUCACGACUUUUCCUCUCUCUCAAAAUUAAGCUCUUCGCCCACCGUUUGAAGGAACUCACAAAUUUGCAAGUAAUUGAAGAAUUCGUGGUCCAUGAGAUCGAUUAAGUCCAUUUAUGAGUUAGUUUGAUUAGAUUAUGUCACAUAUACAUGUAUUACAAUUAAGGGACACUUGCGAAAAUGGCAAAAUAAGUUAUAAUAAUUAAGUCCAUAGAAAACAUACUUUAUUAUUUGAGAAAGUGACAAAAACAAAGACCAGCUCACACAUCAAGAGGUAAAAUGUCACAAAUGCCCUCGUUAUUGAUGUACAUUUGAUACACCUUAUACACGUCUGAUACACCUAAUACCUCUUGAUACAUUAAGUCCAUUUAUGGGUUAGUUUGAUUAGAUUAUGUCACAUAUACAUGUAUUACAAUUAAGGGACACUUGCGAAAAUGGCAAAAUAACACUACUACAAAAACAGGCUCUCUUGACGUUUUUAAAUUGUCAAGAGACGGCUCUCUUGAUGGUUUUAAAAACGUCGUUGAAGCCAGUGUCAAGAAAGGCAAAGUUCUUGACGGUUGAUUAAACGUCAAGAAUAGUGAACGUUGACGUUUUAUAAACGUCAAAUAUACUUAUGUUCAUGACGUUUUAGAACCGUCAAGACUGGUAUUGUUUAUGACAUUUUAAAGCCGUCAAGGAUGAACUGGUUUAUGACAUUUUAAACCCGUCAAGAAUUUUACUAUUCAUGACAUUUUAAAACUGUCAAGAAUGUAAUUGUUCUUGACAUUUGUCAACCGUCAAAAAUGCAAUUGUUCAUGACAGUUUAAAACCGUCGAGCAUGUUUUAAUUUUUUUUUUAAAAAAGAAAUUGUAAUUGAAUUAUGCUGUAAUGGAAAGAAAUAUAUUCUGAUUGUCCUGUAAUUGUCCUGUAAUUGUCCUGUAAUUGUCCAGCAACGGUUUCAUAGAUAUUUGAUAUUCAUCAAAUAUAGUUUCAAAUCUCAAAAUAUAUAAUAAAACCAUUCACCAUAUAUAUUCAAUUCCAAGACUUUACAUAUACAUAAUGAAAUAGGCUUUACAUUAGAUUUCAUAUGGCAUUACAUUGCCAUGAAUCCAAAUCAACUUAAAAAGUCACAAAACAUGCUAGCUAUAACAAUAAUAAAAAAUAUAUACGAAUGAACCCCCCCCCCCCUCCCCCUUCCUCCAUAUGAACAAUUCAAAAGAACUAUCGGCUAAAGUUUCUAUACAUAAAGUUUAGGGUCAUAAAGAAGCGACACAACAAAAAAUUUCCUACUUCAGAAUCACAAAAUAUUGGUCAUAAUCAUAUGUAAGAACCCAAAAAGUCAGCUAACUCAACUCACACCUCGUGUAGUUCUGCCUGUGAGUAUGAUCUUCGUGUAUCAAUCAAUAAACAUACAAAAUAAAUUAAAUGAAUUAACUAACUAUACAAAUAAACCAAUUAACUCACAAAACCAAUAGUUUGAUAUAUAACAUACCGCAUCGGAUAUGACAAUGCUUCCCCUAGUCACAAUUUCUCUCAUAUACCUCAUCACAUAGUAUCCACACUCAAUACUUCCGACUUGCAGUGGACACUAUAUAAAAGCAACAAAUUUGAAUAACAAAGUAAUCCUAAUUGCUAGUAGUCUACAAAAAUUUAAUGACUUUAAAAGUUGAUACUUACCUUUACUGUUAACCAUAAAGUUUGUUUUCUACUUUUUUAAUGUUCUUUUGUGACUGAAACAUCGCUAUUGCUCUGUUUUGACAAGAUAAGAUUGAACAAAUAGUUUAAAUAUUGUGUACAUGCAUAUAAGAAUCAACACUAAAUGAAAUACUAGAUUAAGUUACAUGUCGGUGACGUAUCUUAUAGUUGACUUCGAUGUUGUCCUUAGUGAGUCGAGGUAAAAUACUAUAUCAUCAUAUGCAUUUAUGGCCAGUAGUGUCCAAUGACCCCUAAUUAUACAAAAUAUUAGUACUAGUUUUUUGCAAUGCAAGUAAUAAAAUAACUUGACUUACCCAGGAUUAAAAGGAGCAAGAACUAUUUCGUUAAUCUUUGAGACCAUCAAUCUACUGCAUAAGUGUCGAACUCGAGAUUCUUGUGAGUGUCCGACAGAGGUGAGGGAUGGAUCUACAAAGACAUACUGUAUAGUUUCCUUCGAACCAAGAACAGAUGAAUACAAGUACCUACAAAAUAUUAUAAACUUGUAAACGAGAUACAUAAAUUUAGAUCUAAAGAAAUGAAAUUGAUACUUACGUCAUAUAGGCCACCAAUGUAAAUGUUUUGACCUCAUUCAUGUUACAAAGAUCAAUGAUGUCCUCUCGGAGAACAGAAGUCUUUCGACUAAUACCAAAAAUGCCAAUAGGUAGUGGAAUAGUGAUACUAGAAUCUUUCUCCAUUAUCUUCUCAACGUAUAUGAGAAUCAACUUCAUUCCCAUUGGCAAAACUGACGUCGAUUCACAGACAACCUCUUUUUCCUUAGUCAUUUUUAUUAAGGCUCUCUCCUAAUUCAAGAAAAACAUUCACUUUCAAUAUGAUAUGAAUAUUAAGAAUUUGAGUUUAUUCGAGGAUCGAUCACAUACCUUAAAGAUGUCCAACUCUACUUUGUCGUCAUUUACAUUGAUCUCCUCCACCUCUUUCCCUUCGAUUUUAUCCAUCAACUUACUCUUCCCUUUGAUUAUUUUCAUCGAGUCACUCUCUUCUAAGAUAUUUGGCUUCGAACGCUACCAUGUCCAGAUAAUGGUCUAGACAAGUUUGAGUGGUUAUGUGCUUCUAAUUCGCUUACACGCCUUCGAAGUUCUUUAUUCUCAAGUAUAAUCUCAUUCUCACGUUUAGAUGUCUUUUUUACAUAAUGAAAGUAAUUGGUAGGAGUAACAUAUUCUGAUAGGGGCAAGCUCUGGUCGAAGUUUUAGAUCAACUAAAUCGCGUCUAGCAUUCAAUCCAUCCUUACUUUUUCCAGGAAUAUCAAGAAAUGUACCUAAGAUAUUCAUGCAAACAUUUUUUUCAAUGUGCAUCACAUCUAAACAAUGUCUAACAUGAAGAUCCUUCCAGUAUGGCAACUCAAAAAAGAAGAUAAUCUAUUCCAACAAAUUUUGUCACUUCUGUUCAUCAACCGUUUCUUAUGGUUCUUCUUCCCUCUAGAAAAUUCAAGAUCUUUCAAUUUUAAAUACACAUCCUCCCCAGAAAGUGGCUCUGGAAUUGUAUCAAGUUCUUUUUUACCAUUGAAUGACUUCUUUUGUCAUCGAUACAGAUGAUUUCGUGCCAAAAAUCUACGAUGUCCAAGGUAUGCUAUUUUCUUCCCAUACUUUAACCUUAUAGAAUUUGUAUUAUCUCCACAAAUUGGGCAUGAUUUAUACCCUUUCACACAACAUCCACUAAGGUUACCAUAUGCAGGAAAAACAUUGAUUGUCCACAACAAAACUGACCUUAAGUUGAAUGGUUCUUCUCGAUAAGCAUCAUAACAUUCAACACCACUUUCCCAUAAAAGUUUUAAAUCUUAAAUUAGUGGUGCUAAGUAUAUGCCUAUGUCAUCCCCUGGUUGUUUUGGUCCUGAAAUUAGCAUUGAUAGCAUCAUGUACUUUCUUUUCAUACACAACCAUGGUGGAAGAUUGUAAAUAACCAUCACUACCGGCCAACAACUGUAUUUAGAACUCGUGUCACCAUGAGGAUUUACUCCAUCGGCUGACAAUGCUAAACGAAGAUUUAUGGGUUCAGAACCAAAGUCUUGCCAUUUCAUGUCUACUAACUUCCAUGCUGGAGAGUCUGGCUGGAUGUCGUAACUUACCAUCAUUAAUUCUUUCAGUAGAAUGCCAAGUCAAGUUUUCAGCACAUUCAAUGCUUCUGAAUAGCCUUUUAAAUCGUGGAAUGAUUGGAAAGUACCAUAUCACUUUAGAGGGAAUUUGCUUUCUCCUUUCAUUUGUAUCCUUGACGUUUUUCCACCUUGAUUGACAACAUUCAUGACAUUCAAUUGCAUUAGCAAAUUCUUUUCUAUAGAGACAACAAUUAUUCGGGCAUGCAUGAAUCUUUUCAUAUUCCAUUCCUAAUGCACCUAAUGUUUUCUUUGCUUCAUACAAUGAAUUCGGGAGCUCAUUGGUAUUAGGCAUAAUUUCCUUCAAAGUUUCAAGUAAUUCUGAAAAACUAGUAUCACUCUAUCCAUACCUAACUUUUAAAUUAUACAAUUUGACUAAAGUAGACAACUUUGUGUACUUUUUGCAUCCUUCGUACAAUGGUUUUUCAGCAUCAAUAAGCAACUUCUCAAAUCCAGUUGGGUCUUUUGAAUACUCCUCAUGAGCAACUUCAAUCAUUUCUUUUACACUUCCAACAUCCUGAUCUUCACAUGUAUGGGUGUCAAACUUUGAAGAUUCAUCAUAGAAGGAUGAGUUAGGAAGUUCUUCCCCAUGCCAAAACCAAAAUUUAUAACUUUCAUCAAUACCAUUAACAUACAAGUGAUCUCUAACACCCUUUCUACUAUGUUUUUCACAAUUCCCACAUUUCAAACAAGGACAACGAAUAUAGGAGCUAGUUGUAUUAGAAAAUCCAAAUUUGAUGAAGUUUUCCACACCCAACUCAUAAUCUUUAGACAAUCUACUCUUGUGCAUUCAAGAUUUAUCCAUCAUUGUAAAUCUAAUGAGAAAUAAAGUUAUUGUCACUAUUGAUAAUUAAAGUGGAAGGACAAUGAUAAGUAAUGUCCUGUAUAACCAAUGUUGAGAAUGUGAAUCCAAUCUAUACAAAUCUUCUACAAUUAUGCUCUUCAGUUUCUACUGCUAAGAGAUUUUCAUGCAUUACAAAUGAAACUUAAGAAAAUUAAAAGAACUAACUAAACUCAUUUCUUUUUUAAAGUGAUCAUAAAAAAGAAAGCAAUUGCACGACUGAGUAAAUCAAACAAAAUGAGCUUCACUAAACAAAGGUUCCAAUCAUGAAGAUCGUAAUCAACCAUACAAUAGAAUACCUGAGGAAGACAAGGCAAUUACAACACCAAGUCUUUCAAUGGAUAAUACAACAUAAUCAUUCAAAUAAGAGUGGUUUUACUUUUACCUUAAAAUGAAAUCUAUAACCAAGAUCAAGGUUAUGGUUCCAUAGGAAACAAUUAAUUAUAUUUAGCUUAAAAAAAGUCAAAACAGAAUUCACCCAAUAGAAAAAAGUAAAAACACACAAUUGAAUUAAAAAUCUCAAGCUGCACACAAAAGCAACAAUGGCAAAAAGAGGGUGAAUGAAAAAAUUAGUUAAAACACCUCCAAAUUAUUAAGGAAGAAGGCAAAACCUUGGACAACAUAAGGUAACAAACGAAGAGAAUACAUGAUCUUUUUUUCUUUUUCUUUUCACGAAGGGAGAAGAAUUGACUCAUCCUCCAAAGCUCUCAAUUAGUAGUAUUGUUAUAUGAGAUCUUCAAAAUUACUGAAAGAGGGAAGUUGAUUAUAUGACAUGCACUCUCAAAAAUUUGUUCAUACAUUCAUUUGUUUUCUUUAAAUCCUAAUAAAAUUUGAUGGUGAAGAAAAACUACAGUACUUUAAAGAUUGAAUAAAAGUAUACGAAUUUCAAUCAAUUCGAAGUUUACACCUCCAUCCUUCCUAUCUAUUAUUGCCAAUCAUGCCAUCUGAGUUUAUAUAAUGAAGAAUAAUGAAAUUGUUAUAUGUUUUAGGGAAAUAAAAGCCUAACCUCAACUUAGUGGAUGAUGGAUUUUGAAGCAACGAACGUGAGGCACUCGUUGGUGAAGUCGAAAUGACGGGCACGCAGUAGCGUGAGGCACUGAGGGAUUUUGGAAAGAUGGAAUGCAGCGGACGAAGGACUUUGAAACGACGAACGUGAGGGAUUCGAAGAGGUGGAACUCGACGGUGAAAUCGAACGGACAGACAUUGAAGGCAAACGGAUAGGCGUUGAAAGCGAACGACGACUGCUGAACACACUUUUUUCGAAUGGGAAGGAUUUCGGCUGGAGAGGGAAAGGGGAACACGCGUGUUUUGAGUAGAAAGGGGCUAGGGCUUUUUAAAAAAUAAUAUUUGCACAAUAAUUUUUUCUAUAUAUAUUUAAAGUGAUUCUGAACAAAUAAUAUUAGUACAAUAUUUUUUUUUCUAUAUAUAUUUAAUGAAAUUUUUAUUAUUGUAUCUAUAUAUUUAAAGAGAUUUUUAUUAUUGUAUCUAUAUAUUUAAAGAGAUUUUAAAGAAAUAAAAUUAGCCGAAUAUAUUUUUUCUAUAUUUAUUUAAUAACACUUGACAUUUUUAAAAUGUAAAAAAAAAAUGAUCUUACUUAACGUUUAAAAAAUGUCAACAAAUUCAAAAAAUGACUCCUUCGAAUACUCAGUCGUGAAGAAGAAAAAAGUAGAUUAGGAAAAAUGUUAGAGCUGAAAAUUAAAAUUCGAUACCUUCUCAGUGUAAUUUAAAAAAUAUUCUUGAAUAUUUUAUGAAUUUCUUGACGUUUUUAAAACGUCGAGUAAAAUUUUAAAUUCUUGACGUUUAAGAAACGUCAAGCAUGUCAAAUUCAUACGCUUCUUGACGUCUUAAGAACGUCAAAAAAUUAAUAGAUAUUUCUUGAUGUUUUAAAAACGUCAAAGAAAAAUUUAUUUUACUUGACAUUUAAUAAACGUCAAGAAUGAUGUUUCAAAAAAUUUCUUGACGUUUUUUUAUUAAAAAUGAAAUCUUUCUUGACGUUUUUUUAAACUGCAAACGUCAAGAGAGCCUGUUUUUGUAGUAGUGUAAGUUAUAAUAAUUAAGUCCAUAGAACACAUACUUUAUUAUUUGAGAAAAUGACAAAAACAAAGACCAACUCACACAUCAAGAGGUAAAAUGUCACAAAUGCCUCGUUAUUGAUGUACAUUUGAUACACCUUAUACACGUCCGAUACACCUAAUACCGCUUGAUACACUUGAUAUUUCUUACUGAUACACUUGAUACAUUUGAUAGAUAUAAUUCAUGCACUCGAUACUCAUUGAUACACUCGAUACUUUUUGAUACACACCUGAAACAUCUUCAUACACAUAAUACUUCUCGUUCCACAUAAUACUUCUCGUUACACUUGAUUCUUCUUGAUACACUUGAUACCCUGAGGCCUUAAUACACUUGAUUAGUUUGAUACACUUAAAGACUUCACUUAUAAGUUUGAUACACUUGAUACACCACUAAUAAACUUGUUAUACUUCAUUGGUACACUUAACAAAUUUGAUAUGUGUGCGUGUGUGUGCGCUCGCGUGUGCGCAUGUCCACGUGUGCUUGGGUGUGUGUAUGCGCACAUACAUGUGUACGUGUUUGCGUGUGCAUUUGUGUGCGUGCGGUUUGGUGUGCGUGUGCAUGUGUGUGUUUGUGUGUGUGUGCCUACAUUCGUGUGUGUGUGUGCGUGUGUGCACGCGUGUGUGUGUGCGUGUAUGGGUGCACGUGCGUGCAAGUGUAUGUAUGUGUGUGCGCGUGUGAUUGUGUGUGAAUAAGUUGAUAUUUUUUAAUGUUGAGUUUCUCCCAAUUUUAAAACAAUAAUUUAAUUAUCCUUAUAUUCAAGCCAUUAAUAUUAUUGUGAGAUAAAGAUAGUGAAUAAGUUGAUAUUUUUUAAUUUUGAAAUUCAAUUAAAGUUAUUUUGAUACAAAAUCUAUUGCUGAGAUUAUCAAAUUCUGAAAAAUAAUAAUUUUGCUAUGUUGAAAUUCAAUUUGGUUAUUUUGAAAUUCAAAUUCAAUUAGGUUAUUUUGAAAUGAGUAAGAUUAAAUAAAGUUAAAGUCUUGAAUCCAUUAGUUGAGUCCCGAGAUAUUAAGAAAAAAGUAUAAUAUGAGUUUAUUUAUCUUUUUCAGGUAAAAAAUAAUUAAAAGUUGAUAAAUGCAUAAUAUAAAUUAAUUACAACAUAGAAACAAAAUAAUUUUAGUUGGAGAAUGUGGAUAUUUUGGUAUUUUAUAAAUAUUAUGCACAUGCAAAAAAUGUUAUUUGCUCAAAUUUAAAAAAAAAUAGUUUUGCCAUUUUUCAAAAUGACCCAUAAAAAUGUUCCUAUAUCUCUUAUGACAUAGUGUAUAUCUACUGGUUCAUAUUCGACCUGUUUGUUGCAAAUAGAAUUGGAUAAAAUCGCAUUAUAUUGAAAUAAUUACACGAAUGACACUUUUAAGCCAAUAUUAAUAGAAAUUAUAGUUUAAUUAAUGUUAUUAAGUCAAAUGAACAUGAUUUAAAAGUCCUUCUAAACACAAUUAAUGUAGUUUUUUUUUUAUUUUAACUCAUUUAUACAUCUUUAUGCAUAUGUGCGUGUGUACGUGUGCGCGUGUAGGUAGGUGUGCGUAUGUGUGUGUGCGUGCGUUUGUGCGAGUGUCCGUGUGCAUAUAUGUGUGGGUGUGUGCAUGUUUGUAUGUGUUUGUGCGUGCGUGUGUGCGCAGGCUAUUGCAUGUGUGCUUGGGUGUGUGGGUGUGCUCGCGCGUGCGUGUUUGUGCGCGUGUGCGUAUGUGUUUACGUCUGUGCGUUUGUGCGUACGCGUGUGUGCGUUUGUGCAUGUGUGUGUGCUUGUGCGUGUGUGGAUAGGUGUGUGUGUGCAUGCGUGCGCGUGUGCAUGUGUAUGUGCGUGCGUUCGUGUGUCUGUGUGUAGAUGUGCGUGUGUGCGCGUGUGUGUAAGUGUGCAUGUGUACGUGUGUGCGCAGUGCUUCUAUGCUUGUGUGCGAACAAGUUAAUAUUUUUUAAUGUUGAGUUUCUUCCAAUUUUAAAAUAAUAAUUUAAUUAUCUUGAUAUUCAAGGCAUUAAUGUUAUUUUGAGAUAAAGAUAGUGAACAUGUUGAUAUUUUUUAAUUUUGAAAUUCAAUUAAGGUUAUUUUAAUACAAAAUCUAUCGUUGAGACUCUCAAAUUCCGAAAAAUAAUAAUUUUGUUAUUUUGAAAUUCAAUUUUGUUAUUUUGAAAUUCAAUUUUGUUAUUUUGAAAUUCAAAUUCAAUUAGGUUAUUUUGAAAUUAGUAUGAUUGAAUAAAGUUAUUAAUAUGUGAAUUAAUUAGUUGAGUCUCGAGAUAUUAAGAAAAAUAUUAUGAUAUGAGUUGAUGUAUCUAUUUCAAGUAAAAGAUAAUUAAAAGCUGAUAAAUGCAUAACAUAAAUUAAUUACAAUGUAAAAACGAAAUAACUACAGUUGAAGAAUGUUGAUAUUUUGGUAUUUUAUAAAAUACCAUGCACGUGCAAAAAAUGCUAGUUGCUAAAAUUCAAAGGAAAAAGUAGUUUUGUCAUUUUUCAAAAUGACCCCUAAAAACGUUGUUAUGUCUCUUAUGACAAAGAGUGUAGAUCUACUGAUCCAUAUUCGAUUUGUUUUUUGUUGGUAAAAUUGGAUAAGACCGCAUUAUAUUGAAAUAAUUACACGAAUGACACUUUUAAGCCAAUAUUGAUAGAAAUUAUAAUUUAAUCAAUGUUAUUAAGUCAAAUGAACAUGGUUUAAAACUCUUUCUAAACAUAAUUAAUGUAUUUGUUUUUUAACUUUAAUUAAUUUACACAUCUUUGGCGUGUGUGCAUAUGUGCACGUGCGUGUGCGUGUGUGGAUGGGUGUGUAUGCGUGCGUGUGCGUGCGUUGUGCACGUGUGCGCGUGUGCGCGUGUGCAAACAAGUUGAUAUUUGUUAAUGUAAAAUUUCUCCCAAUUUUAAAAUAAUAAUUCAAUUAUCUUGAUAUUCAAGGCAUUAAUGUUAUUUUGACAUAAAGAUAGUGUACAAGUUGAUAUUUUUAAUUUUCAAAUUCAAUUAAAGUUAUUUUGAUACAAAAUCUAUCGUUGAGAUUCUCAAAUUUCGAAAAAUAAUAAUUUUGUUAUUUUGAAAUUGAAAUUUAAGUAGGUUAUUUUGAAAUUAGUAAGAUUGAAUAAAAUUAAAAUCUUGAAUCAAUUAGUUGAGUCCCGAGAUAUUAAGAAAAAAGUUAUGAUAUGAGUUGAUGUAUCUUUUUCAGGUAAAAAAUAAUUAAAAGCUAAUAAAUGCAUAACAUAAAUUAAUUACAACGUAGAAACGAAAAAAAUUACUGUUGAGAAGGUGAAUAGUAUUUUAUAAAAUAUCAUGCACACGUGCAAAAAAUUCUAUUUGCUAAAAUUUAAAAGAAAAAGUAGUUUUGCCAUUUUUCAAAAUGACCCAUAAAAAUGUUGCUAUAUCUCUUAUGACAAAGAGUGUGCAUCUACUGGUACAUAUUCGACUUGUUUUUUGUUCGUAAAAUUGGAUAAGACUGCAUUAUAUUGAAAUAAUUACACUAACGACACUUUUAAACCAAUAUUGAUAGAAAAUUAUAAUUUAAUUAACGUUAUUAAGUCAAAUGAACAUGUUUAAAAGUCUUUCUAAACACAAUUAUUGUAGUUAUUUUUUAAUUUUAAUUCAUUUAUACAUCUUUGUGCAUAUGUGCGUGUGUGCAUGCGUGUGCGCGAGUGCGUACGUGUGUGCGUAUGCACGUGUCCACGUGUGCGUAGGUGUGUGUGUCUACGUGUGCGUGGGUGUGAGUGUCCACGUGUGCGGGUUUGUGCGUGUGCGUGUGGGUGUGUGUGCGUAUACGCACGCGUGCGUGUGUACGUGAGUGGGCGUGUGAGCUUUUUGUGCUUUUCUUCCAAUUUUAAAAUAAUAAUUUAAUUAUCUUGAUAUUCAAUUCAUUAAAAUUAUUUUGAGAUAAGGUUAUUUUAAUAUAAAAUCUAUGGUUGAGAUUCUCAAAUUCUAAAAAUAAUAAUUUUGAAAUUUUGAAAUUCAAUUUGGUUAUUUUGAAAUUCAAAUUCAAUUAGCUUAUUUUGAAAUUAGUAAGAUUGAAUAAUGUUAUAAAAUGUUGAAUCAAUUAGUUGAGUCCCGAGAUUUUAAGAGAAAAGUUAUGAUAUGAGUUGAUGUAUCUAUUUCAAGUAAAAAUUAAUUAAAAGUUGAUACAUACAUAACAUACUUUUACACUUUCAAAAUUUUAUUUGAAAUAGAGCCCGAAUAAAAACUCUUUAAUGUUGUUAAAAAGUAUAUAUUUUUUUUAAAUUAUAAAGUCUUAUGGUUAAAGGAUGAAUCUAGUCUUAAAGUAAUAACUUCAGCUUAAUUAAAAAAAUUAGGUCGUUACAAUCUAUUUUCAGAAAAGAAAAUCAUCGAUUUUAUUUUGGUUAAGAAAAGCUGUUUUCUUCUACAGCUUAUAACUCUCUUUCUUUCAUUGAGUAGGAGACGGGGUAGGAGAAAAUCAUAGGAUUCUAUUAACUUAAAAAAUAUUAAAUUAAUAGAAGUUUUCAAUCAACUAACUAAUUAACCAUUAAUCAAUUAGUUAAUAAUUAAUUAAAUCAUAUUUAAUUAAUAUUUCGUUUAAAUCUUAUUGAAUGAAUAUCUCUCCAAUACCUUAUACUUUCAUAUUAAUUUAAUUAAAUAAUAUUAAAUUAAACUAUUAAUUAAUUCUUCAAUUAAUUAAUAACUAAAUUAAAUAUUUAUAUUUAACUUAAGUUAAAUUUGAAUCAUAUUCAAAUAUAACUUUAUCUCAUAAUUAAUAAUUUAAUAUGAAACAAUCCACAUUAAAUUAAUAUUUGAACCCAUUCAAACAUUUUAUCUCAUAAAUUAAUUUUGAACUUUAUCUAAAAUUAAAUUUAUAUAAUAAAGUUUCAUUAACAUAUACACUUUAUAUUAUAAUGUAUCACUAUAUAUUAUACUAAUUAAACUAAUUUCCAAAGUAAAUUUGAAUGUUUCAAAUUAGAACCAAUAUAAAUAAAUCACAUUACCAUUUUGUAUCAUCCAUUAUUUUGUAUUCAAUCAUACUAAUUGAUCAACCUAAUACAUAAAACAAUAUAGAAAAAUUAAAAAAAAAAGCAUGCACAAAUAGAGAACAAAUAGACAUUGAUAGCUAUCUAUCUCUAUCUAUCUGAAACAAGCACACAUAAAUUUUUAUAUUUCUCUAUCGGAUGGACAAAAAUAGCAGUCUAUUUAUAUCUACCUAAGAUAUAAACAUUAAAAAAAAAAAAAAAAACCUUACCAAUAAAAUUCUUGACUUUUCAUGUUAUUCUAAAUGCAACACGUUCUCAGCCCAAGAAGUCAAACAACUCUUCAUUGUAAAGUAGCUUUACUUCUUUCAUCAAACCACUUUUGCAAUACAUCUCUAAUUGAACUAAGCAUGGUAGCUACAGGUAGUUCUCUAAGAUCUUUAAAAACUAAAUUUACACUGUCUACACAAUUUGAUGUCAUCAUUCUAUAUAUGAAACUCAUUAUACCUGAGAUAGAUUCAACCAAUUUAUCAAAGAACCUUGGAAUCAACAUGUAUGAUUUAACUGUGUCACCUUUUAAUAUCUUUACUAUGUGUUCUUUUGGCCUCCAAGCUUUCUGCUAACUUGUAUUAACUCCAAGAUUUGUACAUGCUUAUGCACAAUUGCUUUUGGAAUGAAACGAUCAGUAGACAUGAACCUUAACUCAUCUAUCAAGCAACUGUCAAUUACUGUUGAAGAAGCUUUGCAUGUGACAACUAGUAUUCAAUGAACAGUCAUGUUCAUAAAUGUAUUUUCAUAGCAUCCACAACUCGCUCUUCUUAUCGUGUAAUUGAUAAUGGUAACUGAUCGUGUAAUUCCAUGUAAUUGAUAAUGAUUAAUGGAUCGUUGGAAGGUUUUUCCAUGGGAGGAAAGGACUUAGACAAGGUGACCUUUAUCCCCGUUCUUAUUUGUGAUGGUCAUGGAGGUGCUUUCUCGCAUGUUGAAUAGCCCACCUCAGAAUUUUCAAUUCCACCAGUUUUGUGAGAAGGUCAGAUUAACUCAUCUUACUUUUGUAGAUGACCUGAUGAUCUUUUGUACUGCUGAUAAUCAUUCUAUUAGUUUCAUAAAAGAGACUAUUAAGAGGUUUGGUGAGCUUUCAGGACUGUUUGCUAAUCUUGCUAAAAGCUCAAAUUUUCUUGUGGGGGUUAAUAGUUCGAAAGCUUCUUGGCUUGCUCCUAACAUGGAUUUUUCCAUUGGUCAUCUCCCUGUUCGUUAUCUUGGGCUUCCUCUCCUCUCUGGAAGAUUGCGGAGCUCUGAUUGUGAUCCCCUUAUUCAGCGUAUUACCAGUCAUAUUCGGUCUUGGUCUGCUAGAGUGUUAUCUUUUGCAGGUAGACUUUAGCUUGUUCGCUCAGUCCUUAGGAGCCUUCAGGUUAUUGGGCUAGUGUGUUCAUGCUUCCUAUGAAAGUCCACAUAUACGUUGAUAAGAUCUUGAGGGCUUUAUCUGUGGAGAGGUAAGGAGGAGGGAAGAGGUGGUGCUAAAGUUGCCUGGGAUGAGGUUUGUCUUCCUUUUGAUGAAGGAGGUCUUGAUAUUCGCGAUGGAUCUUCUUGGAAUAUAGCAAGCACGUUGAAGAUAUUAUGGUUGCUACUUGUUAAAUCUGGUAGUUUGUGGGUUGCUUGGGUGGAAUCUUAUAUCUUAAAGGGAGAUCGCUGUGGAGAUCAAUGCUGGGGUGGGUCGAUCUUGGUGCUUUAGGGAAAUCUUGCGUAAGCGGAUAUCCUUAAAGCUCAUGUUAAGAUGAAGGUGGCAAUGGAAGGAAGUGUAGAGUGUGGUUGGUUCCAUGGAUCAGGGUGGGCCGAUUAUCCAGCAGUUUGGGUAGAGGGUGAUCUAUGAUGCGGGUCGUCGGUGGAUGCGAGGCUGGUGGAUUUCAUGGGUCGGAAUGGUGAUUGGAGGUGGCUGCUUGUUUUCUUUGGAUUUGAUGGACAUUUGGGAUAGGGUUUAGGGAGUGAGGCCGAGUCCGAGUGUUGAGGAUAGGUGGGUCUGGGUGCUGGGGAGUCAUGAUAGUUUUUCGAUCACCAGUGAGUGGGAGACUAUUCGUCCUCAUAGUAGUAGGGUUGACUGGUCGGAUUUACUAUGGGGUGGGGGAAAUAUUCCUAAGCACUCCUUCUGUGCUUGGUUGGCCAUCAGGGAUAGGUUGGGUACUAGAGAUAGGUUAAGUCGGUGGGAUAGGUCGAUUCCUUUAUCGUGUUUGCUUUGUGGAGGGAACUAUGAGUCUCGUGAUCAUUUGUUUUUUUCUUGUCAUUUUGGGUGGGAGAUUUGGUCGAGGAUCCUUUUGCUUAUGUCAUCUUCUCAUAGAAUCGGUUAUUGGGGGGUUGAGCUAUCUUGGAUUUAUAAUCAGGGUAUUGGGAAGAGUGUGAGGAGAAAACUGUGGCGCCUUCUCUGGUGUGCUACAAUUUAUUUCAUUUGGCAGGAGCGAAAUCAUCGUCUUCAUGGAGGUGCUGUUCGAGAGCUUAUGGUUGUAUUCCAGCUCAUUCGGUCGUGUAUUAAAGCGCGUGCUGCUUCUUGGUCGGAUGGUGUUCAUGGUCUUAUUUAAUGUUCUUUUCGUUUGCUUGUCCCCGGGCUGUGGGGUUUCUCUUCUCUUUAUUAACUUUGUUGUCUUUCUCUCUUCUUCUUGUCCUUUUAAUGUUUGGAACACUAGUUGGUUUCUUUUGGUUUUAGUUCUUGUUCCCGAGAUGUGGGGUUGUUUUGGGUACUUAUGGGUUGUUUUGUCUAACUACUUGUUCUGUGAGUGUUGUUCGCUCUUUUGUCUUGACCUCAGGUUGUGAGGUCCACCUUGUUGUUGUAUAAUAUUAUCAUUACCUUUUCAAAAAAAAAAAAUCAAACUCAAUGUUGUGAGGUCCACCUCGUUUUCGCCCUACUGUGGAUCGAGGAGGAUUCCUCCUCUUUUCAAAGCCCUCAAUCAAACUUGAUGUUAUGUUUAAAACAGUAAAAAUAGAUGGUCUAGUUUUGGUUAGGCCAAAAGCGAUGUUUUCCCCCAAAAGCUCUAAUAGCUAGGGAACUCAACAUGUUCUACUUGACCUAACCGACUUGACUCUGUAUUUUUUAUGAGCUUUUUUUAAUGCAUAUUGCAUAUGUUUUUUUUUUUAUAAUUGUUGAUUGUCUCACUUUUUUAUGGUCUGCAUUUACGAGCCUCUUUUCUUUCUUUGUUAUGAACUGCGGUAACUAGGCAUUGCUAGAACCGAUGGGGUAACAUUUCUAUGGUUCUACACUUAGUUUCUAAGUGUGAUUGCUCACCUCUAAUUUUCAAAACACUUAAUUUCUAAGCACAUACAAUCACCUAGAAAAAAAUGAAAAUUGUUGUAGUUAAGAUCAAAACUAAAUAGUUAUGAAAUAAGACAUAAGAGAUUUGAUUUUAACAACCUUCCCGUUGUACUUGGGAUCCACUCUGGCUUUGUGCUGGAAAAUUGGUUUGGAGCUCAUCGUAAGCUUUCGGUUGCUCUUCUGUAACCUUUAGAUACUCUUCAAAGCUAUAAGCUUUUCUUCCUGACGAAGAAUCUUCUACUAUUACAAUACAUAAGAAAAUUCUAUUUCAUAAACCCUGUAUCAUAAUUGAGGCUGAUAGAAUGAUUAUUCUAUAACCCUACCGAUAGUUUCAUUCUUAACAUUCAUAAACACGAUGCAUGGCAGCUAUCAAAUUCUAUUUCAUGUUCUCGAGAAUGGCUCGGUUUAACAAUAAUGUUAAUUUUUGUUUUCUAUUUUAAAAUAAUAACGCUGCUUACUAAUCUUUUUUUUUUCCAUUUGGCAUUCUACUUUUUCUACUCAGCUUUCUUUCCCUAGUGAUAACAAAUAAUACGGGUGAUAAAAAACUUAAUCACUCACUUGUUUCAGCCACCGAAAGCCCUUCUGCUUUAGAAAUAGAAGAUGGGUUUGAGUAGGUAGAUUUACUUGCAUUGUAUGUGCUGUUCAUUGAACUCUCAAUUUCAUCGAGACCAAUUUCUCACUCAAACAUGGUCUUGCAUUCUCUAGAAACGUCCUACAAACAAAAAUGAAGAACAAAAAACUACAAUAAGGUCUAUGAAAAAGUUACAAAGGAAAAUCUCAAAAACUGAUAUGUAAGUCAUAACAACCUUAAGUCCUCUUAUCGUGGGUUAAAAUGCACGUAAGGUUUUUCCAAGAGUCCGAGCAACCAGCAUGUAAAUAAGUUAAGUCAACUAAAUUUGCUAUAAAUUUACUCGUAUUAACAUUAUCAUUGUUAUAGACUUGACAACUUCAAAUUUAUCAAUAUAAAAUAUGCUUUAACAAAACGUACCUUGAGGUUCCUCCAACCUUAUUAAAAAAGCAAAUAAUCCAACAAUUUAACAAAUUUAUAGUGCAUAUUAUGUAUAUCAAUUGAUCACAACAAAAUAAGAUCGAACAAAUACCCAUGAGUAAUAUUUAGCCACCAAAUGAAUAAUGAUGAAAACCUGAAAACAAAACCGAGAAAAAAAAGGAAACAAUUCAUCAACAAAACAAAUUUAGGGGACUAAAAAAUUGCUUACCUUAUUACACACUUCAAAAUAUUAAGAAAAGUGGAGGGAAAAAACCAACCAAUAAUCAACAAAUAAACUUCAACACAAAUAGCCAUAAAUUUUCUUCUUUAAAGGUAUCACAAAUAAGUCCAUCAGUAAUAACAAAAUAAAAAAGGGCAAUGUGCAAUUGAAUUCUGCAGUCGUAAAGCUAUGCUAAAGGCAGUAUGAAAUCAAACUUGAGCACUAACAAGAAAAUUUGCAAAACAAAAAUUACUAGACAUCAUUAACUAAAGUACCAGCACAACAAUGAAUGUGUAACCUCCGCAAGAGCAAACCCGAAUGGAGAAGAACAUGAAGAAAUAUAUAAAUAGAAGAAACAUAAAAGACAAACAUGAAACACAUGGAAAUAUACAAAGGGGAUAAAUAAAAGUACAAUUAUAAAGUGAUGAAGCACAAAUAUAGGUAUCAACAGAACCAGAAUACAAGUCUUACCCUAUCUCGACUGUCGAGGAGUGUUAACCAACCGUCGGAAGGUUGGUUUUAUUUUUUAGAAAAAAUUAAUGUUGUCUGAAUUCUUUUCCAAGCCACUAACCAGCCCCUCCUUAUCUAUGAUCGACGAUCAACUCCUCAACCUCUAAUUACAUUUAAAAGAGUGAUGCGAACAUUGUGUGAAAUCCCAAACCUUUGAUGGAUCCCACCAUCACUCUCUUUCUAUCCCCUUCAAAACCUCAUUAUUUUCAAGAGAGGCCUCAAAGCUUCUUCCAAUUAACAUAAAAGAAGAAUGAAAGAGAGAGAAUGAAAAAGAGAAAGUGGUUCAAAAGCUAUGGAAAAAAAAGUAAAAGAAAAUGGUCUACUCAUUGGCACAUCUUACACAGAUGAUAAUGUUAGGGCAAGGCAAUGAGAGACAGAAUGCAUUUGGAGCCUUCUCCUCUACUUUCGAAGAUUUUAACAAACUAAAAUAUGCAAAUGUUACAAGAAAGAUCUUUGGAGAUUUGAAAUAAUCCAAAAUAAAGAAAAAGGAAAACCCCAAUAUGUACAAAUUUCAGAAUCUAAAACUUGAAAAGUGAUUGAAUGAUGAUAUAUGUUUGUACAAUCAAUUAUAGAGACAGUGAAACAUUAAAACAAAAAUGAAACGUACCAAGAUAAAAAGAAUAGCAACUAGUAUUAUGACCUUUGUAUGUCUUCAAAAUACAAACAUCAAAAUGAAUCAAGAGAUCUACCACACAAAUAAUGGUAUCAACACAAAUAAAGCAAUUGUUUUAGUAAUAAUAUUUGAGUACAAUUACACUAAGCAUGCUAUUGUCCUUGACAAAUUUACAUUCUUCUAAUAAAAAAAAAAUAUCCCUAUAUUUUGAUGCAUACACAUUGAAUAGCCUCUGUUUCAAUCCAAUUUACAAAACUACCUCCAUAAAAUUACAUAAUGGGGGAAGUUCGACCGGAUGCACUGUGCUUUACCAGAACCACAUGAAAUUAUUGGAACAUAGUUCAUUCAAUUAACUUUCUAUUCAAUAAUUGAAACAAAUGGAAAGAGGACAAUUGAAUAUUAAAUAAAGAUGGAAUUAAUUGGGAACUCACGGAGUAAUGCGAUUUGUUCGGGGGCUCACCACUAGAGUUAGAAGAGAGACAAGUAUUAGAAAGGAAAGGAAGAGGAGCGUCUGAUAUAUAAUCCAGCGGAUUCUUUGAUGAGUGGAGUACUAGUAGUAGUAGUGGAGGUUCCAAGGACAUUGAAGUCAAUCCGGUGAGAGUGAGAGAAUCCAGAAGGUUGAGGUUGAAGAGUGUAGAAAUUGCAACCAAAAUCGGUGACGAUGGUGGAAUCGAAAUUGCGAGGGAAGAAGAAAAGAGCAUCACAGGUCGAAGUAGAGGAGGAAUCAACACUAGAGAAAGGAGGAAGAUGAGGAGAACCUGCCAUUAAUGGAAGAGGAAGGAAGUGAGAGAGAAAGGAGAGAGAAUUAAUUAAUUAAAGAGAAUUAGGGUUUGAGAAGAGAAAGGGAAAAUGGAGUGUACGAACAAAGAAGAAGAAGAAUAAAUGGAAAGGACGCGAUAAGAGAAGAAGAUGGAGAUGGAUCGGUGAAAUGGGUAUGAUAGGGUUUCUUCCUUAAAGAAACGAAAAUUGAGAGAUAGGCCUUAGGGUUUUGAAAAGAGAAACGAAAAAUGGAGUGUACGAAGAAAUGGAAAGGACGCACGAAGAGAAGAAGAUGGAGAUUGGAUCCGCGACUUAAAGAAGAAGAUGGAGAUGGAUCCGCGAAAUGGGUAUGAUAGGGAGGAGAGGGAGGAGAGGGAGGAGAGGGAGACUUGGCCGUUAGAGAAGAGGAGAAAGAAAUUUUAAAUGAGAGAGACUGUACAUAUAGGGUUUUUAUUAGAAUUUUUUUUUUUUAAAUCUUGCUUAAUUGGAUUUAGAGAAUUUUGUGUAUUCGGUUCACCGACUCGUAUUAGCUGUCCAUUGGUCCAUUGUUUUGUCAUUUUUUUUUCAACAAACUAAAUGUUUUAAGCCAUUUACAAAUUAGAUUUCGAUAAAUCGAUAAUCAUAUUUUUUUACAAUAUAGGACUAAAAAAGAUAACUAAUUUAUAUAUAUAUAUAUAUAUAUAUAUAUAUACAUACAACCUAUUUAGUUAAAUUACAAAAAAAAAUUCUUUUGAAUUUUGUACUUUGUGUAAAAAAAUAACCUUAAACUUUGAAAUGUUAAAAAAAAUUGUUUUGAACUUCUAAAAAUUAUUCAUAAAUACAUCUACAUACGUAGGAUGAAGGUAUUGGCAUGCUUCUCUAAAAAAACUUUCCAAAAAGAUGUUGUGUGACUUUUGAAAAGAAAAAUUACAAAUGGGGUCGUUUUUAAACAAAUUAGAUAUAUCGAGUUAUAUUUCUUUAAUUUUUUUUCCUUUUUUCACAUAUUAUCAAUCACAUCUUACUUUUUUCUUUUUUCUCUGGAACCCUGCAAAAAUAACAAAAACAUUUAUAAUCACAUGACUCAUGUCACUACAUCUUCUAAAUUUUAAAAGUAGUAAAUUUAAAAGUUGAUAACCCUAUGAUUAUCGUUUGAUAGUCAUCUAAUAUCACUAAUUUUGUCAUAUUCGUAAUAUCCAAAUAAGGUUUCUUGGUGAGUCUAGAGUCAAACGUGAGGACUUAUACUAAAAAUAUAUUUAUAUUUUGAAAUUAUCAUAAGGUGAUUAAUAACAUACGCCUAAGAACAAUAGCGGUAUCAUCCACUUGUAAGGGGGGAGGGGAGUCAUCCACUAUAGAUAAGGUCCACUUGUCUCCCUCACCCAACUUCAUAAGGCUGCCAAAAGAGUUAGGCAUAAUCACAUCCACACGUUUACCCUUCUCUCGAACAUAAACCAACUCUCUUUUCUUCCUAAUAACGAGUAAUUUCAUCUCGAUUACCUACCUCCUUUUCCUUAAUAUGCCUAAUGGGGGAGCUAUUAGUCUUACUUUCCUCCAACUAUUUAAAGUCUAACACCACAUCCACAAGACACAAUUGUCUGUUCCUCCUCUUUGUUUGAAACCACCUUACUCACAUCCUCCUCUCGAUGAACUUUGUUUUCCACAAUCUUAGGACACUUACCACUAGAGUGCCCAAAAGACCGGCACAAAUUACACCUUCGAGGCUUCCACUCAUAAUUCACAGCCAUAACGAAAUCCUCUCCCCUAAGGUGAAUUGUAAAUUCAGCAGGCAUAGGAGAGUCCACAUUUGAUUCAACACAUACUCAAGCAUGUGACAACCUUCGUCUUUCCUUAGUAGCUAGAUCUAAAGAUAAGAGGUUUGCCUAUAGCACUAGCCACAACAGUCAAACUGACAUCUGUCCAUAACUCCAUUGGAAUCCUACCUAGUUUAAUCCAUAUAGGAACAUAAUAAAAAACAAAGGAUUUAGGGACAAUAUGGAGUCCAUUUACAGAGGAGCAUACUUUUGCCAGCAAGAUGUCGCGAUCAACGUGAUAGGAUCCAUUCAACAAGUUUUGGGCAUCUGAAUUGGAAACAGAUGAGUCCGUUCUCAAGAAUUGUAAUCGUUGGCAUUUUUAAUUUUAUCAACAAUAACAACGAGCUAAACAAAAUCCUCUAUCCAGGACGCACUAAUGAAAACUAAAAUGUAAAAUAAGUACGAAGUAAUUAAUUAAAACAGAAGACAAAAGAAACCCAAAGUAAGUUGACAAAAUGCCCACAAUAAGCUUCAAGAUGAGUAAGAGGGAACACCAAGAGAAACAUGAAUAGCCUUGCUAACUUUUCACUACUAGCCAACUACAUAUUUUUUUACAAUACGUGUUAGGGAAAUCUUUUGUAACGACCGGUACUUUUCUAGGUAAGUCGAGGUCAUUAAUUUUUAACAAAGGUAAUAAAGGUGGCAAACCGGCGAGGGGCAGGAAGGAAGCGUGAUUGCCAUAGGAAACGUGUCAUUUUGCUUCCGCUUAUGGUUUCUUUUGAGGUUUAAGAUGUAUUAAAAACUUAUUUUACAAACUUUUAUUUGUAAAUAGUAUUAUUUUUAAGUUUUCUUGAAUAUUUCGAAAAAUCAGGCCUGACAUAAAUUUGUUUUUCAAUUGACUUACGUUUCAUUUUGUAUCAACCAAAGUCUUUUGUUAAAAAUUAAUGACCUCGACUUACCUAGAAAAGUUGGGUCGUUACAGUUGGUAUCAGAGCCUAAGUUUUAGGUUCUGUAGACUGACUUACGAUGUAAGUCUAUGUUUUUGUGUUCCUAUGGCUAACGCGACCCUUCGUCUCUCGUCAGGUAUGCUUGAUGCUUAUAUGUAUGGUUUAUUUGCAUGACUUUGCCUAAAUUAAACUAGAUUGCAUGACGAUAAAGACUUGCUUAUGCUUAUGAUUAAGACUUUUUUUAAAGAGUGUUGUUGGUGGAUAAUAGGAAUUAUGCCGCCAAGGGGAGGUGUACGUAGAGGAGGUCGUAGAGGCCGAGGUAGAGGAGCAGGUCGUAAUCAGCCUACUGAGGGUCAAGCUGAACACGAAUUCCUGCACCCGUGACUCACGUCGAGUUUGAUGCACUGUCUGCUCACAUGGAGCAGAGGUUUACGGAACUUAUGACGGCUAUAGCUCGAAACCAGCAGGCACCUGCAGCACCUGCACCUGUGGUUCCCCCUGUACCAGCAGCUCCACCUGCACCAGCAGCCCCUCCUGCACAAGGAUUGGCUGCACAACAGCCGCAGAUAUUACCGAACCAACUUUCUGCUGAGGCGAAACAUUUGAGGGACUUUAGGAAAUAUGACCCUAGACGUUUGAUGGGUCACUGGAGGAUCCUACUAAAGCUGAGUUGUGGUUGUCCUCUGUGGAAACCAUAUUCAAUUACAUGAGAUCUCCGAGGAGCACAGAGUUCAGUGUGCUGCUUUUCUACUGAGGGACAGAGGCAUUAUCUGGUGGAGGACUACAAUGCGCAUGCUAGGUGGAGAUGUGAGGCAGAUUACCUGGGAUCAGUUUAAAAACUGCUUCUAUACCAAGUUUUUCUCGGCUAACCUUAGAGACGCCAAAAGCCAGGAAUUCUUGGAGUUGAAGCAAGGACAUAUGACAGUCGAGGAGUACGACCAGGAGUUUGAUAUGCUGUCACGUUUUGCCCCUGAACUUGUUGGUAACGAGCAGGCUAGAGCUGAUAGGUUCGUCAAGGGAUUGAGAGAUGAGAUUAGGGACUUUGUGCGAGCACUAAAGCCCACUACCCAGGCUGAAGCGCUGCGUCUGGCAUGGAUAUGAGCAUUGGGAAGGAUGAAAUACGGCCAAGGAGCUUUGAUAAGGGAUCGUCGUCUGGUCAAAAGAGAAAAGCAGAGCAGAGAACUGUGGAGUUCCUCAGAGGAACUUGAGACCAGGCGAUCCUUUUCGCAGUUUCCAGCAAAGUUCUGGCAGGAGACACUACUCGAGAGAGAAGCCAUUAUGCAAUACGUGUGGGAAACGUCACCUGGGUCGUUGUUUGAUGGAACGAGAGUCUGUUAUAAGUGCAAGCAAGAGGGACACAUGGCUGAUAGGUGUCCCUUGAGAUCUACUGGGGCUGGACAGAGCAGUCAGGGAGAGAGACCUCCACAGCGGGGUACAAUCUUUGCCACUAAUAGAUCAGAGGCAGAGAAGGCCGGCACAGUGGUGACAGGUACAUUACCAGUGUUAGGGCAUUUUGCCUUGACCUUGUUUGACUCGGGAUCUUCUCAUUUAUUUCAUCGCUUUUUGUGACGCAUGCAUGCUUAGAGGUGGAACCCUUAGAUUAUGUUUUGUCAGUGUCUACACCGUCUGGAGAAAUUAUGUUGUCUAAGGAAAAGAUUAAAGCGUGUGAAAUUGAGAUAGCUGGUCGUGUGCUGGACGUAACCUUGUUGGUAUUAGAUAUGCGUGACUUUGAUGUAAUUUUAGGUAUGGAUUGGCUAGCUACUAAUCAUGCUAGUAUUGAUUGUUCUCGUAAGGAAGUUGUGUUCAGUCCCCCUACUGCAUCUAGCUUUAAAUUCAAGGGGGUAGGAACAGUAGUACUGCCUAAAGUAAUCUCAGCUAUGAAAGCUAGUAAACUACUCAACCAGGGUACUUGGAGUAUUUUGGCAAGUGUGGUGGAUACUAAGGAAGAUGAGACUUCUUUAACUUCAGAACCUGUGGUAAGAGAAUACCCAGAUGUAUUUCCAAAAGAUCUUCCAGGACUACCGCCACAUAGAGAGGUUGAUUUUGCCAUUGCGUUGGAGCCAGACACUACUCCUAUUUCUAGAGCCCCUUAUAGGAUGACUCCUGCUGAGUUGAAAGAACUGAAGGUACAGUUACAGGAAUUGCUUGACAAAGGCUUUAUUCGACCUAGUGUGUCACCUUGGGGUGCACCAGUAUUGUUUGUGAAGAAGAAGGAUGGGUCGAUGCGUCUUUGCAUUGACUAUAGAGAGUUGAAUAAAGUAACAGUCAAGAACAGAUAUCCUUUACCCAGAAUCGAUGAUUUGUUCGAUCAGUUACAGGGAGCCACGGUGUUCUCUAAGAUUGACUUACGGUCAAGUUAUCACCAGUUGAGGAUUAGAGACCGUGAUGUUCCUAAGACUGCUUUUCGUUCGAGGUAUGGACAUUAUGAAUUCAUAGUAAUGUCUUUUGGUUUGACUAAUGCACCUGCUGUAUUUAUGGAUUUGAUGAACAGGGUGUUUAAGGAUUUCUUAGACACUUUUGUGAUAGUCUUCAUUGAUGAUAUUUUGGUUUAUUCCAAGACUGAGGCCGAACAUGAGGAACACUUACAUAAGGUGUUAGAGACUCUUUGAGUCAAUAAACUGUAUGCUAAAUUCUCUAAGUGCGAAUUUUGGUUGAAGCAGGUGGCUUUUCUUGGUCAUGUGGUUUCCAGUGAGGGAGUUUCAGUAGACCCUGCAAAGAUAGAAGCGGUUACCAGUUGGUCUCGACCCUCUACAGUUAGUGAGGUUCGUAGUUUUCUGGGUUUAGCAGGGUACUACCGGAGGUUUGUGGAGGAUUUUUCACGUUUGGCUACUCCCUUGACUUAGUUGACAAGGAAGGGAACUCCGUUUGUUUGGAGUCCAGCUUGCGAGGAUAGUUUUCAGAACCUUAAGCAAAGGUUAGUUACUGCACCGGUCCUUACAGUACCAGAUGGAUCCGGAAGUUUUGUGAUUUACAGUGAUGCUUCCAAGAAAGGACUGGGUUGUGUUUUGAUGCAGAAAGGUAAGGUGGUUGCUUAUGCCUCUCGUCAGUUGAAGAGUCACGAGCAGAACUACCCACACAUGAUUUGGAGUUGGCAGCAGUGGUUUUUGCAUUGAAGAUAUGGAGACAUUAUUUGUACGGUGAAAAGAUACAAAUCUUUACUGACCAUAAGAGCCUGAAGUACUUCUUUACUCAGAAAGAGUUGAAUAUGAGACAGCGAAGGUGGCUCGAGUUGAUAAAGGAUUAUGACUGCGAGAUAUUGUACCAUCCUGGUAAGGCAAACGUGGUGGCUGAUGCUCUUAGUAGAAAAGUAUCACAUUCGGCAGCACUCAUUACUAGACAGGUACCAUUGCAUCGAGACUUGGAGAGAGCUGAGAUUGCAGUAUCUGUGGGGAGAGUCACCUCACAGUUAGCUCAAUUAACGGUGCAACCGACUCUGAGGCAGAAGAUUGUUGAUGCUCAGAGUAGUGACCCUUAUUUGAUAGAGAGACGUCGCCUUGUUGGAAUGGGACAGACUGAUGAGUUCUCCAUAUCCUCUGAUGGUGGGUUGAUGUUUGAGAGACGUUUGUGUGUGCCAGCGAACAGUACAGUUAAGAUUGACUUACUAGAUGAAGCCCAUAAUUCUCCAUUUUCCAUGCAUCCUGGUAGCACGAAAAUGUACCAGGAUCUAAAACGUUUUUAUUGGUGGCGAAUAUGAAAAGGGAAGUGGCGGAAUUUGUUAGUAAGUGUCUAGUAUGUCAGCAGUUAAGGCACCUAGACAGAAACCAGCAGGUUUGUUACAACCUUUAAGUGUGCCAGAGUGGAAGUGGGAGAAUGUGUCGAUGGAUUUUAUUUCAGGGCUGCCUAAGACCCUGAAGGGUUUCACAGUGAUUUUGGUUGUCGUAGACAGGCUUACGAAAUCGGCACAUUUUGUACUAGGGAAAUCCACUUAUACUACUGGUAAGUGGGCACAGUUGUAUUUAACUGAGAUUGUGAGACUGCAUGGAGUGCCUGUAUCGAUUGUUUCUGAUAGGGAUGCACGGUUUACUUCCAAGUUUUGGAAGGGACUUCAGACUGCUAUGGGUACGAGAUUGGAUUUCAGUACAGCCUUUGAUCCACAGACUGAUGGUCAAACUGAACGUUUGAACCAAGUUUUAGAGGAUAUGCUACGAGCUUGUGUUCUAGAGUUUCCAGGUAGUUGGGACUCUCAUCUACAUUUGAUGGAGUUUGCUUAUAACAACAGUUUCCAGGCUACCAUCGGUAUGGCACCAUUUGAGGCUUUGUAUGGCAAAUGUUGUAGAACCCCUGUUUGUUGGAGUGAGGUUGGUGAACAUAGGUUGAUGGGACCUGAAUUAGUUCGGUCUACUAAUGAGGCUAUUCAAAAGAUUAGAGCACGUAUGCAAACAGCGCAGAGUAGACAGAAGAGCUAUGCAGAUGUACGAUGAAAAGACCUUAAGUUCGAUGUGGGAGAAAAAGUAUUCUUGAAGGUAGCACCUAUGAAGGGUGUUAUGCGUUUUGAAAAGAAAGGGAAGUUAAGUCCUCGUUUUGUUGGACCAUUUGAGAUCUUAGAGAGGGUUGGUGUUGUGGCGUAUCGCUUGGCAUUACCACCAUCACUCUCUGCAGUUCAUAAUGUUUUCCAUGUUUCGAUGUUGAGAAAGUAUGUGGCCGAUACGUCUCAUGUAGUGGACUACGAACCUUUGGAGAUUGAUGAGCAUUUGAGCUAUGUAGAACAACCUGUGGAGAUUCUGGCUAGAGAGGUAAAGAUGCUUCGUAAUAGAAGCAUUCCAUUAGUAAAGGUUUUGUGGCGGAAUCAUCGAAUUGAAGAGGCGACAUGGGAGCGAGAGGAAGAGAUGAGGACUCGUUAUCCAGAGUUAUUUCAGGAUUAAAACUUUCGAGGACGAAAGUUUCUUAAGGAGGGAAGAAUGUAAUGCCCCAAAGGUAUAUAUAUAUAUUUUGUUUUUAUUUUAUAUAUAUAUUUUUUAAUAUUUAAUUUAAAUAAAAAGAAAAGAAAAAGAAAAUUUCUUUAUUUUUUUUUCCUUUUUCUUUUCUUUUCUUUCUCUCUUUUUCUUCCUCCCGUGCGCCGCGACCCCCAUCCGUUCUCUUCUCCUUCCGUUCGCAGCAACCGCCGCCUUAUCCGUUCUCUUCUCCUUCCCGUUCGCAGCAACCGCCGCCCCAUCCGUUCUCUUCUCCUUCCCGUUCGCAGCAACAACCGCCGACCAUCCCUCUCUUUUCUUUCCGCCGCAGCCAGCAACCGCCGCCCUAUUCUUCUUUCCGCUGUCUUCUCGGCCCGCCGCUGACCUCUGCCAGCGCCGUGUGACCCUCUGCCCAGUCCCGCCGCGCAACAUCUGUCUCCGUCGAAGCCAAGCCAGUCGCCGUCCAUUCCUCUCCUUUCUCCUCUGUUUUCAGCCAGCCGCCGCCGAUUCCUUCUCCUCUGUUGUCUGCAAUGCCGCGCGACUCUCCGUCGUCUGUAUACGGUCUUUCCGUCACACGUCGUCUCUUCGCAAAGCUACUGCUCGACUUCUUCCGCGAAUAACAUCUGCCGUGAACCGAACUAAAGACCCCAGAUCCAACUUUCUACGCGUCGAGUUCCUUCUUCGUCCUGCCAGGAUUGGGUCGUUAGCUGUCGUUCCUGCUUUGCCACGAGUCAUUAAAUUCUGAUUGGUAAGAUUGAAGUUAUGAAAUUCGUAACUGUUUCUAAAAUAAACUGAAGUAAUAUUACAGGACUAAUUGGUUGGAGAAAUCGUUUACUGUUCGAUUAUAGGUUGAAGGUAACGUUCGAAUUCCUUGGGUUCGCAGCAAACAAUUGAUUCUAGUUAGAACUAGUUUCGCGAAGAUUUGGGUAAGUUGUAAAAAAAAAAUUCACAUUGGGUUGAAUUUAAAUGAUUGAUGCGUUGAAGAGAAUUAUUGAGAAAUUGUCUUAAUGUUUAGGUUCGUUCUUCGUAGACUUCAACGUGGUUAAGGAGCUUAACUAACUUGAAAGUAAGGGAUUUUCUACUGGACUCACUUAUGAUUGUGAAUUGUAUGUGUUGAAUGUAUACUGUGGAUUGACUGAAAAUAUAUAUAUGCAUAUGAAUUGAAGUAGACUUAAUGUUGAAUGCAUAUUGUGAUUGUCAUGGAAUAUAUAUAUAUGUGUGUGGACGUGGACAGGACGAAAAAUUGUAGAUUGUGUUUGUAUGAGAUGCAGAUGUGAACUUGUGAUUGUCGUUUAGAUUGGGUGUACGUUACGCUAAAGUAUGACUGUGUGCUGGUGAACUGAGGGGUGUAUUGACUGUAUAGUUUGAUUGACUGACGUAUUAGUAUAUUAUUGACAGACAUAUGACUAAAGUGAGAUAAGUUGACUGUUAGGACGUUGAGAGAGAGAACUUUAUGUUUUGAAGUAACUGAAAGAUGGAUUGAAUGGAAUGAGGGGAAAAUUGUUAGCUUUUAUUGGGAUGUGUGCCUUGUAGGUGUCCACGGGAUCACCAAUUUAUUUUGCACCUUCGGGAGCAUUAGACUAAUAUGUGUUUCUGCAGAACACUAGACUGAUAUGUACGUCCCUCGGGGCGUUAGACUGAGAUGUGCAUCCUACGGGAUCACAAGACUGCGACUGUACAGGGUGUCCCAAUAGAACGUUAACAAUCUAUUUUCCCCUGACGGGACCAGUAGAGGGUCUCUUACUGAGUAUUGUUAUACUCACCCUUCUUAUGUUUAAUUUUCAGGUAAAGGUAAUAAAGGUGGCAAACCGGCGAGGGGCAGGAAGGAAGCGUGAUUGCCAUAGGAAACGUGUCAUUUUGCUUCCGCUUAUGGUUUCUUUUGAGGUUUAAGAUGUAUUAAAACUUAGUUUACAAACUUUUAUUUGUAAAUAGUAUUAUUUUUAAGUUUUCUUGAAUAUUUGAAAAAUCAGGCCUGACAUAAAUUUGUUUUUCAAUUGACUUACGUUUCAUUUUGUAUCAACCAAAGUCUUUUGUUAAAAAUUAAUGACCUCGACUUACCUAGAAAAGUUGGGUCGUUACAUCUUUCCCUUUGCAAAACAGACCAAUAUAUAAUCAAUCAUUGGCUCCUUAUGGGAAAAUACAGAAGCCCUAUACAUGUCUGUUUCAAGCCUGUGUUGAACAACUUUUAAUUCCCUAAGAUAAGGAGAUUUAUCUGAAGGUUCAAGAAUAAUGACAUGUCCUAAACUAACCCACCAGUUCGCAACAGUGAACCAGUUUGAUCGUUAGGGGCAACUUUUGAUAAUAAGCGCACAACCAUGCCCCAAUUCCAAUGUUGCCCAAAAGUAAAGGCCUUUCUUCACAAUGCUCCAUAAAGAAAAGUUCGACUUUCACAUAAAGAUCUUAUUUCUUUUUUAUUGCUCCAAGAGAUCUAAUAGAUCUAUUUUCACCACAAAUCCCUUUUGUUAUCAUGGAAAAUGUGUUGGUUGUGCUCAAACCAAAUCUCUGCUAGCAACACUUUUAUCAAAUUAACCAUAUUUUUUUUAAAAAAAAAGAGGAUAUGAGUUUCACUAUUAUUAAUAUUGAAAAAUGAAGAGACAAAGCUCAAUGUCAUGAGGAUUAUACAAAGAGCAAUAGGAUAGAGGAUCAACAGACGCACCUGGACAUCUCAACUAGGUUGACACCCCUUAGCGCCUCAUCACAUCCAAAAGCGACAACACAAGAUCAAAACCAAAAGCCACAAAUAGAAGGCUUUUUUUGUGUUUGUUUUGCCUUUGGACAUUACUCCUUUGUUAUGGGUUUUAGCUUGGUUGGAUAUGAUGAGGGUGCUAUGGGGUGUCAACCUAGUUGAGAUGCCAAGGUGCCCCCUGAUCCAUGGUUACAUAUUCAUUGUAUAACUCUCUUGUACUAUGAGCUUUUGUCUAAUUAUUAUUAUUAUUUUAAUAUUAAUAAAGAGGUUGUCUCCUUUUCAAAAAAAAAAAAACAAAACAAAAAAAAAAAAAGCCACAAAUAUAAAACCAAACAAAAUCAUAAAAUAAUAUGUCAAAAAAAAAUCAUAAAUCAUAGGUAGCAGGUCGAGAACAAAGAAGAAUAAGCCUUGAUUGAGCAAAAAAUCCCAACAAAUAUUGAAUGUUUGGAGAAGAUGGAACCAACAUUUCGAUAUAAAGACAUAGUCAAUUAAAAGGUGCUAAAUAUUUUUCAUGUUAUCAACACAAAUGGGGCAGACAUGAGGUGAGAGGACAUGGGAGGGAAGUUUUCUUUGAAGUACUAAAGCACAGUUUAAUUUUCCAAACAACGUAAUCCAUAUGGGGAUAUUUAUCCAAAGAGUGAGCUAAAUAGCCCAAUGAGUGAUUGUUUUAUAAAACAUCGUUUUGAAAUAAUAAGUAUUUAACAAUUAACUCUUACAUAAAUGAAAUCAAACUCAAACAACUUAUCUCAAACUUUCCCUUUCAGUUGCUAUACCUAGAAUCGUCGAGACGAAAAACAAUAAACUAGGCAUAGAAGCCCUAUCCGUGAUACGAUACUUACGAGAUGAAACUCUAGGGAUCAAUUGUGCCUUAUCUCGUUAUAACUACAAUGAGAUGGAAAACUAGGCAUUCGUACAGGCUCUUGUCCCUUGAGAUGGGAAACUAAGCAUCUUUAGAAGUCUUAAUCUCUUAUCUAAUACCAAUGAUGGAAAGCUAGGUAUUUACUGAAUAUUCAAAUCAAAUGACCUCUAUGCACAAGAAAAUCUCUCUCGAAGGGUUGCUAUAUAUCUUAGAAUAUUUUAGGUAUAGACUAAAACAUGCUAAUAUUAUUUUCAAGCUUAAACAUUUUGAAAACUUAGCACAAUCAUAAUUGCUUAUAAUUUUCAUUAGUAAAUUCAUCAAUAAAAACAUGUUUACCAAAAUGUUUCUAAAUUCAUGUUUGGAAAUACUUUAUAUGUCAGUAUCCUCAAAUAUUCAAACAUCAAAGCAUGCUUGAAACAUUUGAUAGUAAAUUCAUGUUUAGAAAUCAACUUUAAACUCAUUUUUGUCACUUAUAGAGAGUAGCUUGGACCCUUGUCUUAUAAACUUGUUCGAUCUCCUUCAUAUCUAAAAUAAUGUAAAAUAAUGGGAAAUAAUUCCAUUUAAUUCCGUUGAUCAUAAAAAUAUCAAAACUUUGCUUAAAAUUUCCAAAAACCACAAAAACAGCCAAAGACAUUAGCUUGCGUACAAAAUUUGUGGCAAAAGUUGGCAGGCGCGCGUAGGGCUUACCUUGCCAUGUCUCAUUCUAACCUCAUGUGCAGCGUGUCACACUCACAACUUUUCAAACACGGAACAGACUAUUGUGCGGCACUUGUUGUAACUCGAUGAACACUUAGUUGUAUGAAAUUCGAUACGAUGUAGCCUCCCUACAGGUUUUAAGAGAAAUUGGUUUUAUUAAACAUGAGAGAGAAAGGAAAACAUUGGAAACAUCGUUAAAAAAAACUUUGAAGACUGUCCAUUGCAAAGAGAGCUUAAAUUGCAAAGAGUACCUCUGUGAUGAGAUUGGUUUGUGGAACUAAUUGGGAUGGGAAAAGUUUAGAGAUAUUUGAGAGAAACUCUUUUCUUUUGCAAAGCAAUAGCGUUAGCCUUAUUUUUUCUUUUUUAUUAAUUCAUUUUUUUAAGAAAAUUGUUUUCUUCUAGAUAUUUAACUCUCUUUCCUUUUAGAAAUAUAAAAUGAAGUAGAAGAGAACCAUGAGAUUCUAUUAAUUUACAAAUAAUUAAAUUAAUAUAUAUUUCAAAUCUACUGAUUAAUUAAACAUUAAUCAAUUAGUUAAUAAUUAAUGAAAUCGAAUUUAAUUAAAUAAUAUUAAACCAAACUAUUAAUUAAUUCUCCAAUUAACUAAUAACACUAAAUUAUUUAUCUUAUAUUUAACUUAAAUUAAUUUUAUCAAUCAUAUUAUAAUAUUUUCUCUCAAUAAUUUUAAUAUGAAUCCAAUUCACAUUAAAUUAAUAUUUGAACUCAUUCAAAUAUUUUAUCUCUCAUAAAUUAAUUUUGAAUCCUCCCCAAAGUUAAAUUUAUAUAGUAAAGUUUGAUAAACUUUAUAUUAAAUGUAUCACUAUACAUUAUACUAAUUCCCAAGUUAAAUUUAAACAUUUUAAAUUACAACCAAUAUAAAUAAAUCUCAUCACCCUAUACGAGCUAGGAAAGGACCUAAAGGACCUACAGAUUAGAAGCUACAACGAUCUAAGAUUAAUCGGCUAAACUCAUUAACCACAUUAAUCAAUAUUCGUUAGUUUGUGUACACUCCACUAAAGACUCACAACUGAACUCUUCUCACUAAAAUAUAUUUCUGUGUCCACGAAUAUAGACCAAUAAUAGUAAGUUAGUCAUUCACGAGUGUUUGUAACACCAGUUGGAUCAAUUUACCGCUUUACCCUAUGUUACCUCUAAUCCUUAAAAACCAGUGCUCCUCUAAUGAACAACUUCACUACUACAAAAACUGGCUCUCUUGACGUUUUAAAACUGUCAAGAAUCACUAUUCUUGACGGUUUUAAAACAGUCGUUGAAGCUAGUGUCAAGAAAGUGAAAGUUCUUGAAGGUUAAUAAAAACGUCAAGAAUAGUGAAAGUUGACGUUUUAUAAUGUCAAGUAUACAAAUUUUCAUGACAGUUAAAAACCGUCAAGGGUGUGAGUGUUCAUGACAGUUUCAAAACCGUCAGAAUAUGAAUGUUCAUGACAUUUAAUAACCAUCAAGAAAUUGAUUGUUUAUGACAUUUUACAACCGUCAAGCAUGUUUCAUAGUUUUUUUUUUUAAAUAAUAAUUUAAUUGUAUUUUUGUUUGUGCUCCCAUAAUUCUGUACAGUGGUCUAACAAUAGUUUCAUAUAUAUAAAUGGACGAUAUUCAUCAAAUAUAGUUUCAAAACUUCAACAUAUAUAAAUAAAACGCUUCACCAUAUUUAUAUAUAAUCAUUUCCAAAACAAUACAUAUAUGAAUAUUUCUUAUCCUUUGCAAAAAUAAUAUAAACAAUUCAUUAGAUUGUCAUAAGUUCAACUCAACUUCUUAACUAACUUAUCUAAAACUAUCCAAAAACUUUCCAAUAGCAGUUUGAAAAAAGCUCCAAGUCGCGACGAAAAAGCUCUAAGUCAUCGAUUCUCGCAGCCUAAAAUUUUUUUUUGAUGAUAAUUAAUAUAACAUAGCAUAAUAGAAAUCCAUCCAUCACUAUUCAACUCAUCAUAGUAGAUUUUGUGUUUGCACAUUUAUUCAUUCACUUCAGCUUGUGUAAUUGUUUAGCGAUAGACCAUAAAUAAAUUAACUAGAAUUUCAAUGAAGUUAUUAGUAAGCCAGAAAAUACUAAUAAUGCACACAUGAGGGGAAAGUAAGUACAUUGUAUAAUUAAACAAACACCACAUGUUUUUCUACACACUUAUAAUUAUAAUGCACGGAAGAGUAAGACAUAAUGAAAUUGCAAAUCUAAGGUGGCCAAGCCUCUAACACUUUGAACUAUAACUUUCUUUCAACACAAUCAAACAAAAAGCCAAUACAAAUAAAAAUAUGCAUAAAUCACAACUGGAUAUCCAACCAUUGUUGUUUUAAGUUCUAAAAAAAUAAAUUUCUUGUUACCUAUUUUCGAAACUAUAGUUAAUAUGAAAGUGUAACACAAAAAAAAUUAAACAAUAUUGAAAGUGCAAACAUGGUUAAAAAAUUAAACAAUAUUACUCACACAUUCAUAUCAAUAAUAGCUGAAGCAAUAUAUACAAAAAUUCAAUUAUAAAUCACAACGAGCAUCAUACACCCAAUUAAUAAUUAUUAAACCAACUGAUACCAAUAUGUGCAAGGAAGUAACAAAUCAAAACCAUCAUGAUCAUUAUCAAAGACCACAUGAACACCAUAAAAUUCAAUCCUAGACAAAGCAAGCAAUUCAUCAUCAAUUAAACAACAAUAUUUGAGCAAAAAUUCUACACAAAAUCCUAGGAGGAACCACGAUAUUGAUUUGUAGAUUCCAAAUUCGUCAUCAUUUGCCAGAAUUCAUACAUAACAAAAUCAUCCAAAUCCAUGAACGUGAUAUAAAAAAACAUCAAUGAAGGUAGCUAUUUACCAAGAAUCGCUUGGUAACCCAAAUGUCCUUGGCAACAUGGUUGGUGACCAGAGACAAUGGGUGGUGCAACUAUAUUUGAUAGAGAAAUUCCAGCUAAAAGAAUUAUGCAUAUAAAGACAUGUUAUAACAGAGCAAGCACUGAACAUUAGUUACAACAUUUACUCAAAAAAUUAAAUCUAGAACACACCAAAAAAACAGAAAAAACUAUAUUAUGCACGCAACUUAAAGCAUCAAAUAUUUUGCUAAUGAUCUGCCCCAAAAAGAGAAGUUAGACAAGAGUAGAAGACAGAACAACGCACCUUCAGUACUGUGGUCAAAGAAGAAAAUGGUUCGAUGUCCUGAGCUUGUAAUUAGACUACCUAAUAAAGUCAAGAUCAAAACAUAAUACGAGAUCUAAAUAAAGAAAUGAGUCGUUUAUUCCAGAGAAAUGAGUCUUAGGGAAAAUAGUUACAUUACUCACCUACUGUGUGACAGUAGGGAAAAUACGGUCCCGUAUAAGCCAUAUCUCCCUUUAUCAAUCUGUAUCUUCUCAUAUCAAUCAUCAACUCCAUUGGAUUUGUAAGGAGAACCCAAAGCACCAUGUGAUAUAUCGAUUUUAUAUUAAUCAACAACAUUUUAUGUGAAUCUUUUUACAACUUACCCAAAUCUUCGCGAAAGAAAUCGAGCAGUAGCUUUGCGAAGAGACAACGUGCGACGGAGAGACCGUAUACAGACGGCCGGAGAGUCGCGCGGCAGUGCAGACAACGGAGGAGAAGGGAUCGGGCGGCUGGCUUGGACGGCGGUUGUGAGCGGCGGACGUGGCGGUUACUGCUUCACACGGUGGCUCGGCUUCGACGGAGACAGAACAAGACGCGGAAACGGUUGCAGCGGCGUGAGGCUGUGCACGGCGACGCAAAUCUGGACCGGGCAGCGGCGGAAGGGCAACGGCGCGGUCUUGCGGUGCAGAUCUGGAAGGCGGCAGAUCUGGACGCGUACGGCUGCUUUGCGAACUGAAGAGAAGAGGAAAGGGUCGCGGCGCUCGGCUUCAGUAGGGGAGACGCGGCGGUUUGCGGCAGGGCUGCGACGGAAGAAGAAAAUGGAAGGGAAGGGAGGCGACGGUUUGCGGCGAGGCUGCGAACGGGAGGAAGAGGAAUGGAGGUCGGUCGGUGGCGGUUUUGCUUCGCGAACGGAGAGAAGGGGAAGGAUGGGGCGGCUGGGUGCGGCGGAAAGAAAGACGGAAGGGAAGGGCGGAAGGAAAAGAGAAAAGAGAAGGAAAGGAGAAGGGAAAGGAGAAGGAAAGGGGGGGUCGCGGCGCGCGAGGAGAGAGUGAGAGAGAUUUCUUUUCUUUUUAUUUAAUUAAAUAUAAAUAAUAAAUAUAUAUAUAUUUAUAUAAAAUAAAAAAAAACAAAAUAUAUAUAUAAUAAAUAUCAUUAUCAUUAUUAUUAUUACAACGGCGCGCGCGAGGGAGAGGUUCUUGACGUUUUAAAAACGUCAAGAAUUUUUAUAAAUUUCUUGACGUUUUAAAAACGUCAAGCAAUUUUUACAAUAGUCUUGACGUUUUAAAACCGUUAAGAAUAUUUUAUAAAUUUCUUGACGUUUUAAAAUGUCAAGGAUUUUUUUAUAAAUUUCUUGACGUUUUUCAAACGUCAAGAAUUUUUUUAUAAAUUUCUUGACGUUUUUAAAACGUCAAGUAAAAUUUUAAAUUCUUGACGUUUAAGAAACGUCAAGCAUGUCGAAUUCAUACGCUUCUUGACGUUUUAAGAACGUCAAAAAAUUAAUAGAUAUUUCUUGAUGUUUUAAAAACGUCAAGAAAAAAUUUAUUUUUUCUUGACGUUUAAUAAACGUCAAGAAUGAUGUUUCAGAAAAAUUCUUGACGUUUUUUUUAUUAAAAAUGAAAUCUUUCUUGACGUUUUCGAAAAAAACGUCAAGAAAGGAAGACAGCAACCGUCAAGAAAGCCUAUUUUUCUAGUAGUGCUUGUUUAUGGUUCUACUAAUAAACAAAAACCCUCUCAUGUCAUAGAGAGGGUACGUGCCCUUUGUUCAAGUUUUGGAGACACCAUUUAAGCUAACAUUCAUCUACUUACCCUAAAGUAGGAAAUGAGUGAAUUCCAUUUUGUGCAAUUAUAAUCCCAACUCCCCACUCAGUCUUGUCCCCAAAAUCACUACUACAAAAAUAGGCUCUCUUGACGGUUGUAGUUUUCCUUUCUUGAUGUUUUUGAGAAAAAACGUCAAGAAAGAUGUGAUUUCAAAUAAAAAAACGUCAAAAAUUUUUAUGAAAGGCCAAUUUUCAACUUUCUUGACGUUUUUCUUGACGUUUUUUAUGCAAUUAAACGUCAAGUAAGAUGUAUUUUUUCUUGACGUUUUUUAAACAUCAAGAAAUAUCUAAUAAUUUUUUGACGUUUAAAAAACGUCUAAGAAUGUUCAUGAAUUCAACAUAAACGUCAAUAAUAUAUAGUUUUCCUCGACGUUUAACAAAUUCUUAACAUUUUUAAAAUGUCGAGAUAAUUCUAAAAAGUUCUUGACAUUUUUAAAAACGUCAAGAAAUUUAUAUUCUUGACGUUUUUAAAACGUCAAGAUAAUUCUAAAAAAUCAUUGAGAGAAAUUUUAUUUUGUUUUUGACGUUUUAAAAACGUCAAGAAAUUUCUAAAAAAUUAUUGUGUUAAUAUUCUUUUACAAACACAACGUUUCAUUGAUCACUUCCCUUUUCUUAAUUAAACCUAAUUCGCCGCGACUUUGUCCUUCUCCACCCGAAAUCAAAAGCCGUCGUUCACCUAACCUUCCCUUCACGUUCAUCAUCUUGCAUUCAUCUGCGUUAUCGCCGAAAAAGACUUCCCUUCGCGUUCAUCAGCGUUCACUUCAUUCAUUUGCGAUUUCAUCGUCCGUCAACCGUCCGUCUGCUUUUCGUCUCCCUUCACCUUCGUCGAUUUGCGUCCGUCUGUUCACCGUUCGAAAUGCAGAAACACAUUCUCUGUUCAAAAAUGAGUAAACACGUUCACCGUCCUUCUGUCGCAUUCCACUUUCGCUAAACCUCUAUUCGUUUCCAAAUCCUUCAUGGUUACUCAUUCAUUUUUCUUCCCUUUCUAAAGGUAAUAAUUUUUCCUUUUUCCUUUGUGAUUAAAAUUUGUAAUUUGUAAUUUAAAAUUGGAAUGCAAAAUUAAAGAAGAGGAAAUAUGCCUUUAGAGAAUGGAAGAAAGGUUUUGCAUUUUAGGCUUGAAAAGGGGGGAUACAAGUUAUUAUAAUUGUAAUAUAUAAUUAUUUGAACAAGGCUACCAGCAUGAAUAUGAUUCAAUUGGUUAGUUUAGGGAUUGGAAAGAGAAGGAUUGUGGAGUUUGUGAUAAUAUUUUGGUACACUGGAGCUGGAAACAGAGAAUAUUAAAAAAACACAUACUGUUAUACACAGUAUUAUAAUAAUACGAAUCACUAGCUUUUCUUCUCCUUGAAUUUUUUUGGGUAUUAUAUUGAGUUUUGUGUUUUAGAUUGUGAAGUAUGGGGUAGCUAAACUCUUAACCUAGGGAUAGAUGUAGACAAAGUUUAUGAAUUAUUCUUUGUAAUGCAUCUGAUUAUUUGCUCUUAAUCUUUUCAUGUUUUUAUGUGAAUAACGUUCAUAAUAUCUUAAUCACAGAUUAAUUGUUGAUUGGCCAUUGAACCUUAAUCUUUGCAUGACUAGAGUGGUUAUGAACUUGGAUAGAGAUAAUUAAGGAUCCUUGAGGAGGUUGUUGAAAGAAGUGGACCUAAAAACUUUUGUUUGUUAAUAAAAAGAAAAAUGAACAGAGAUUCAUCUUCGUCAGGGUCUUGAUGUUUAAUUUAAUUUAAAUUGUGUAUGAAUUUUUAAUUACGAGAAUUUAAUAUGUUGCAAGAGCACUAUAGCCAAGGUAUAGAGUGAGGGAGAUAAGGUUUAUAUGUCUUAGAGAAUGGAAAGAUGGAAUUUGUGCUAAAAUCAUUAGUGUUCCAAAUACAAUUAUGAAUUGGGUAUAGUUGCAUUCCCCCUUCUGGAUUGCAUAGCACAUAAAUAUAUUCUCAUGGAUUGCAUAGCACAUAAAUAUAAUGUCAAAAACAAUAACAUAAAACACAAACUUGAUUUAGUUUCAUUCACACUUGUACACCAACAUGUUUCAAGGAAUGAUCAUAUAUUAAAAAUCAUUUUCAAAUUUGGUAAUAUAAAAUGGAAGAAGUGAGACCUUGAGGUUUUGACCACCAAUACUAUCUAACUGAUGAGUUUAUGAUUUUUGUUUCUACUGUGUUCUUUCCUUAAGCUUUAACUUGCUUUAGGGGCAAGAUGGUGAAGGUCUAGUCCACAACCUUUCCCAAGAAUUUAAUGAUGUUUGGGUUGACCCAAUUAUUGUUAUUGGACAGCGUUUUAUGGUAAUUGGUUGUUAUGGUUUUUAAGUGUGUUUUGAUAUCUUGUGUUAAAAAAUAAUUGCAAAAAGUCGGAAAAGUUUGUUAAAGAUUAGGUGUUUUUAAGUUUGUCAUUCCACUUUAAUUCUCACCAGUACUUGCUGAAUGGAAGCCUCUUGUCUAAGACAAUUCGAGUGGAAUAACUCUCGUGACUACCACAACAUUUGGGAACUCACCAAAUGUAAGACUAUUCCUUUAUCCUAGCAUUUGAUCUCUCUCUAUAAUUUGGUUUGCUAUCGUAAGUUUGAUUAAAAUAAAUGUUGAUAAUUCAACUCCAAUGUUCUUAUUUUCUUAACUCUCAUUCAGUCAGUUAGAAUCAGAACUCAUUUAUUUAUCUUGUCUCCAUAAUUUGGAUUCAAAGAUUCAUCACAAUAAUCUUCUCAACAACAUUCUUGAAAAGGUAUUGAAUUUUCAACUGUGUGACCUUUAUACACAAAUUUCUUCAAAGAAAUUUACAUUCUUUAGAGUUUAGAGCUUUGAAUUCUAGUACAACUUAUAAAGCUUUUGAUACUUGUUAGACUUUUUUGCUUGGUGCGGAUAAAACCUUAUUUACAUUCUUUCUUUCCUGCAUGUUCUCUUUUGAUAUUUGUUAGACUUUUUUGCUUGGUUGUCCUUAGUGUUUUCCUCUUUAGCUGAAAUUUCUCAAUCUUGAAAAAAAUAGAGCUUUAAAAUUCAACUUUAACUUUAUUUGAUACUAUCUUAGUCCAUACUUAUUUUGGUAUUUCUUUCCUUUCUCACAAACACAUCUAAGAGGUUGCCUUCACAAUAUGGCCAAAUUAACAAUAUGGCAACCCUUUUCAUUGCAAAACAUAUUAGACGUUGGUUACUUAGUUAGCCUUAUUGGGUAAAUAAUUGACAUUUAGGUACUUUUUAGUUUGUAUAUUUAUAGAUGCCAAAUCGAUAUGUGAAUUUUAAUUGUUGCUUAUUUGAAACAUUGCAACCAUUUGAUAAAAUGUUGCUAUGUGAAUCCAUCUUAACUUGAUAUAUUAUUUUAUUUUGGUUUAGGUUGUGGAAUCCAAGUUUGUAUUUGAAGUCAAAUUCAUCCAAGAUCAUUGAGUUCAUAAUACACUCAAGAUUAAGACUAAGUUAUCUAGGUCAUCCUAGUGAAAUAGAAACCUAACUAGUUAAUGUAGUAACACCAAGUGGUUACUAUUUCACAGUCUAGUCUAUUGCAAUCUCAUUGCAUAGGAUACCUUCACUCGCAUGUCAACUACAUGAACACAUUGGAUCAUUGUAUUUGUAUCAAAUACAAAGUGAGUCGUAUUCAUAAUGUUACCAGGAUAAAGGUACCCAGUCUUAUCCGUAUACUAUAGACCCUUUAAGCUGAUCUCGAACAUUGAUCCUUGUAUGUCUCUACAUACUAUUCAAUACUUAUUAAACAGUUUAGGAUGUUAGUUUAUUGAUUUGAGUUAUUAAGACAAAACUAAUAAUAUAAUCAAUAACAAUUAUUACAAUAAUAACACUUUAUUAACAAUGGUCAAUGGAUUAAAACUUGAUUCCAAGGCUACUCAUGUUUAUUCUCUUGGUGAAAAUGAAUUGUCAGGUGAUACUGGCUGAACCUAUCAAAAAUAAAUGAGUCAUAGUUUGUUUGAUCAUUCAUUUUCUAAUCUUUCUUCUUUAUAUUUAAUUAGUUGUUUAAUUUCUUAAAAAAGAAUUCUAGUUUAUUUAUAGUAUAUUUGGUAGUAUGCAUGCCUCAGCUCCUUUAAUGCAUGUCUCUUACAGUAUAUUUGGUAGUCUUUUAUAAUGUUACACCUUUUUUUUAAUUCCUAAAACCUUUUAACUUUCCAAAUUUUCAUUCAUUCUUUUAGAAAAUUAUUUUCAUUAUUUUUUUAUGGUUACAAAACCAUCCAUUAACUACAUUAAUUAGACAAUUCACUCCAAUAAUAAAUAAAUAACUUUUUUGGAUCUAAGGUCUUUUCUCAUUCUACAAAUUUAAUUUACUAUAUAAAGGUUAUUAUGCUAAUUGAAAAAUAUAUUUCUCUCAAGUAUGUAAUGACAGAAAAUUAGGUUAUAAAUAUAAAAAAAUAUAUUUUUAGGUAUUAUAAUUUUUUUUAAAAAAUUAUAUUUUAAAUUUUUAAUAAAACCUUGCAUUUGGGGAUUCACAUGUUGUUACUUGUCGAACCAAAAAAGAUAAAUUCGCGGUGAAAACUCUUUAAAACCCAAUUUGUGGAAGGAAAAAUUGAACUGUGGCGUUGAGUUAUUUUGUUGUUGAAGAAGAUCAGUAAAAAACCCACAACAUUAAAACUUCUUUUUGUUUCUUUAAGUAUAUUUUAGAUUGCAGCGUAUUUUCUAUUUGGGUUUAGUUAGGGUUUCUCUUGUUUAUUCCAAGAUAUGCAUGGAUAGUUCAUGUUCGACUAUUUGGAAAGAGGGAUUUAUGUAGCACGGGUAUUAUAUUCUGGUUUUGGAAGUGUCGAGAUAAAUUAAGGACUUUUUUAAUCUUCUUCAAACAAACCUAUACGAAGGCGAAGAAUAAUUUAUGCUUGUAUUUUAGUCGGAAUAAGAAGAAACAUGAAGAGAAUGCCCACGAGGAAAAUGACCACGAGAAAAAGUUGUGUAUUCCUCCAUCCUUAACUGAGCUCUCUAAUGUGUAUUCCUCCCUCCAUAACUGGCUUACUUUGGAUUGUUUGGAUAGAAAGAAACAAUAGAAUUUUUAAGGAUAAAUCAAGGUUUAUUGUUAACUUGUGGGAAGACAUAUGUAACUUGAUCGGAGUUUGGUCUAGGCGUCAUUCAUCUUGUAACCAAUAUGAUGUUACUACCAACUCUUAACUUUAAGCUUUGUUAGAUUAGGUUGCUUCGGCUUCCCUCUAGCCUUCAACCUUGUAACUUUAACUCUAUGUUAAUAGGUAAUGACUCUUAUCCUAGGUUUAUCCUAGUUUGAAGGAUUCGGUUUCUUCUUAAAACAAGUUGUAUUUCGACUACUAUUUUGGAGGAAAAUGUGCUUAACUAACUAAAAAUCUAAUGACACUUCCAAAACCAGUCAUUUCGAAAGAUGUUUCCUCAAUAAUAUAUUUAUAAUGCUCUUCCUUUAUAGAGUAAAACAGUAAAGCAACAAAACCAUUUUAAUUCAUUAUAUAUAUAUAUAUAUAUAUAUAUAUAUAUAUAUAUUUAUAUAUUAUAUAUAUAUAUAUAUUAUACGUAUGUCAUUACUACAAAAAAGGCCUUUCUUGACGUUUGUUGUUUUUCUUUCUUGACAUUUUUUUCAAAAAACGUCAAGAAAGGGUAGUUCCAAAGAUAAAACGUCAAGAAUUUUUACGAAAAGGCGUGGGUAGGUCAAUUUUCAGAUUUCUUGACGUUUAUUAAACAUCAACUAAUAUGUAUUUUUUCUUGACGUUUUAAAAAUGUCAAGAAAUAUCUAUAAAAAUUUUGACGUUUUUAAAACGUCAAGAAUGUUUAUAUAUUCAACAUUCUUCAAAAUUUUCAAACGUCAAGUAAUAUGUACUUUUACUUGACAUUUUAAAACCGUCAAGAAAUAUCUUAAAAAUUCUUUAUGUUUUAAAACGUCAAGAAUUUUUAUAAAAAGCCGGAGAAGAGUUAUUUUUAAAAUUUCUUGACGUUUUAAAAACGUCAAGUGUUAUUAAAUAUAUAUAUUUAUAUAUAUAUAUAUAUAAAAAAAUAUUGGGUUGAAUCCUUCGAAGCCCUAGACUUGUCUCUGCCGCAUUCGAAAAUGCCAAGUUCUCUGUGAGGAUCUCUCACUUCUGCCGUGUUCACCGUCCGUCCGUCCGCAUUCACCACGCCCUCUCCGAAAAUGCGUACUAGAUCCUUCGCUUUCAGUCGUUCACCAUCCACUGAGUACGAGAUCCCUAAGACUUCCGCCAUCUGCCAUCCCUAAUACUCUGAAAUCGUCAUUCGUUGUCCCUCAAAAUUGUCGUCCUUCUGUACGAAAAAGUCGUCCUUCUUUUGAGUCUUCAUUCCCCUUUAUGUCGUCCUUCUGUAUUUAGAGGUUAUACUUCAUUCCCCUAAAACUUCCACUGGUUUCCAUAUUUCAAGAAUUUGAAAUUUUUAUAGGAUAUUGCUAGUGGAAAUUAAGUCAAUUCUGUUUGCUCCCAAACUACCUCCUAAUUAUGCUGUCUGGUUGGGAGAAAUAAAGUCUUUGUCAUAUUUCAAGGUAGUGUAUGUUAACCAACACUUAGUGCAUUUUCGUGUUUAUGAGCUUAUUUUAGUUAAUAUGUUUUUGUAGGAAAAAUAUGAUGUCAAUAUGGCAUAUUAUACGAUGAAAUUGUAGUCGUUUAACACAAAAUUUUGAGGUUCUUUUUCAACUAAUUAUGCUUUAUCUAAUAUAUUUUUCCAAAUCUUAAAGAAGAACUUUUGAUUUCAUUGGAGUUUAUCAUUAGAGGCAUUACUAUAUUGGCUGCCUCUCAGUGGGCUAUAGGUUUUCCAAUGGUCAUUUGAGACUGGUUGAUAAUAGCAAAAGUUAGAGCUUGAGAAGAAGGAGCGAAGAAAGUAGUGAAGACAAAAGAAGAAAGAAAGCUGAGUGAAAAACGAAAAUUGACAAGGUAGAGAUGUGACAUGAAAAUGAUGAUGAGAAGUGAAGGAGGCACGACACAAUACUGGUACACAAUAACAAAGCCUUGAUAAUUAAAAAAAGGAUGGUGCCAAGAAAAUUUAAAUACAAAAAAAUGAAGGUUCUUGCAAGUGUAUUGAGUGAAUGGGAGAAAGAAAGGAUAAAAAAGGUAGAAAGAGAGAAAGAGAAGUCAAGGGUAGAGAUACAUAGCUUUGUAUAUAGAAACUUUAUGUUUAUACUCCAUUAUACGUUGUGGAGAAUAUAACAUCCUGAUAUGUCUGAUUCAAUUUGAAUGAUGCAAUUAUUUAUUUUUCUGCAAUAAUUCUACUUCUAGAACCUAAAUUUUGAAAGCCUACUAAUUUUUCAGAAUUAAUUCGAGACCCCACUUUUGCUCCUUCCUACCUACGGUUACUUUUUGCUUAAACUUUAAAAGUUGUUUGAAAAUUUUUGCUGAAACUUGUAAAAUUUGUUUGAAGUUCGUAUAUCUCUCACAUAUUGCAAGGUUUCUUAAUUAUUUUAUUGAAUUUCCUACAUAAAUGCAUUCAAACAUGAGUUGACAUUAUUGGAAAAGAUCCGUCAUCCUAAAGUAGUUCAGUUUUUUGGUGUCGUUACUCAGAAUUUGCCUAUGAUGAUUGUUUCUGAAUACCAUCCGAAGGUAUGGAUACAUUUUCUUACCCUUUAUUUUAUUCUAAUGAAAAUUAUUUCAUCAUGUUUCAUUCCAAGCAUUUCAUUACAUAUUUUGUUCAUAUAUGAUGAAUGGUGAUUAGUUUUUGUAUCAACUUAUUCCCUCUUUCAUGUAUAUUUCAUCUUCCAGGGUGAUAUAUAUCAAUUUAUUCCCUCUUCAAUUGAUUCUUGUUUUUACUCUUGGCUUAUAGGUUGCUACAUGAUCGUAUAUUAGGAGCAAAAUUGUGCAAUUAGUUUAUAGUUAGGGAGAUUUCAAUAGUAAAAAGCAAAGAGAGUAAAUGGUAACAAAAUCAUAUUGUUCACAUGAAAUGAUAAAAUAAUCAUUACACAUUUACAAGAACAAUAAAUAAAUUAUGUGAUUUUCGUGAGAAAAAUGAAGAAGAAAUAGCUUCUAACAAAAGUGAAUAUAAAUUAAAGGAGAAUAUAAAAUUGUUUAAAAUAUUUAUUUUCAAUAAUUCGGAAGUUCUUUGGCUAUAUAUAAUGGAAGAGAGCCUUUCCAAGGUGUGAUGUCUGGCGUCAACAACGACGCGCUUAGCACAGAUACGGAACCAGACACCAUCUUCUUGGUGUUUGUCUAUGCAAAAGCCUCGAGUGGCUAUGGUCUCUUCUUCUCUGUGAGGGAAAUGGUUGAAGUUGCUAGACUAUUUCAAUUACUAUGUGAGAGGUGGCUGAAUUUUAUUGGACCUCUCUUCUUGGGCUUACUUUUUACAAUUGUUUAACAAUCUCUCUCCGAAUAUACCUUCGUCCCCUUAGCUGCUUCCCACUUUGGUAAAAUCGCCAAAGCUUUAUGUGUAAAUUGCAAGAGACAGAGGAGCAAGGCAAAAUAAGGUUAUUGGAACAAGGCGAAAGUUAUCAUUGCUAGCUGCAACUUUCCUCAUUCUUCUCACUCCUUCAAACCAUAUUUUCUGCUAUGUAUGCAUUUCCUAGCUAGCCUUCCCCCGUAUAUUCUAUUUUAGCUUUUUUCCUCUCCAGUUUCUGUUAUGUAUUUUUACUGAAUAUUGAUCUCCUUUUUGCUAUCAAGAUAGUAUACCAUACAUGCAUGUGUAGGACUUUUAUCCCUUAUAUUUUAUAAUUUGUCUUACUACUGUUAUUGACUGAUAUACCAAUAUACAUGUGUAAAGUAUUGAUCAUAUAAUUAAUAUUAAAUUUAUUACAUUCACUCAUCAAUUUAAGUUUUUUAGUCAAUGUAUGUUCAUGAUUUAAAACAAAUAAUUCGAAGCUUUCAUCCCACUUGUGAACAACGACCGAAAAAAACCUUACUUCAUCCCACAUCGUCGUGUCUUUCUCUCUCGCAAAUGCUCUCUGGCGACGUUCCCCCCUCUCUAGCAAAUACUCUUCAUGACUUUUUCCUCUUAAAAUUAAGCUCUUCGCCCACCGUUUGAAGGAACUCACCAAAUUUGCAAGUAAUUGAAGAAUUUGUGGUCCAUGAGAUCGAUUAAGUCCAUUUAUGAGUUAGUUUGAUUAGAUUAUGUCACAUAUACAUGUAUUACAAUUAAGGACACUUGCGAAAAUGGCAAAAUAAGUUAUAAUAAUUAAGUCCAUAGAACACAUACUUUAUUAUUUGAGAAAGUGACAAAAACAAAGACCAGCUCACACAUCAAGAGGUAAAAUGUCACAAAUGCCCUCGUUAUUGAUGUACAUUUGAUACACCUUAUACACGUCUGAUACACCUAAUACCCCUUGAUACACUUGAUACUUUUUACUGAUACACUUGAUACAUUUGAUAGAUACAAUUCAUGCACUCGGUACUCAUUGAUACACUCGAUACUUUUUGAUACACACCUGAAACAUCUUCAUACACAUAAUACUUCUCGUUCUACAUAAUACUUCUCGUUCCACAUAAUACUUCUCGUUACACUUGAUUCUUCUUGAUACACUUGAUACCCCUGAGGCCUUGAUACACUUGAUUAGUUUGAUACACUUAAAGACUUCACUUAUAAGUUUGAUACACUUGAUACACCACUAAUAAACUUGUUAUACUUCAUUGGUACACUUAACAAAUUUGAUAUGUUUGAUGUACAUGCACUACAAGAAAUUUACCCUUUGUCGAUGACAAAUAUCGUCAGUAAAUCUUCAAAAACUAAUCGACUUUUCUUUUGCCAACGAAAUUAAGCUGUCAACACACACCGUCACAUAGGUCUGUCGGAAGAUCCUCUAUCGAUGGCAAAAAAUAAACUGUCAGCAAAAAUAGGAACUAUUGAUGAAAUUGAACCAUCAGUGUGCGUGUGUGUGUGCGCUCGCGUGUGCGCAUCCACGUGUGCUUGGGUGUGUGUAUGCGCACAUACAUGUGUACGUCAGUAGGUGUGUGCGUGUUUGCGUGUGCAUUUGUGUGCGUGUUGUUUGGUGUGUGUGUGUGCAUGUGUGCGUUUGUGUGUGUUGCGUACGUUCGUGUGUGUGUGCUUGUGUGCACGCGUGUGUGUGUGCGUGUAUGGUGCACGCGCGUGCAAGUGUAUGUAUGUGUGCGCGUGUGAUUGUGUGUGAAUAAGUUGAUAUUUUUUAAUGUUGAGUUUCUCCCAAUUUUAAAACAAUAAUUUAAUUAUCUUGAUAUUCAAGCCAUUAAUAUUAUUGUGAGAUAAAGAUAGUGAAUAAGUUGAUAUUUUUUAAUUUUGAAAUUCAAUUAAAGUUAUUUUGAUACAAAAUCUAUUGCUGAGAUUAUCAAAUUCUGAAAAAUAAUAAUUUUGUUAUUUUGAAAUUCAAUUUGGUUAUUUUGAAAUUCAAAUUCAAUUAGGUUAUUUUGAAAUUAGUAAGAUUAAAUAAAGUUAAAGUCUUGAAUCCAUUAGUUGAGUCCCGAGAUAUUAAGAAAAAAGUGCGAUAGAGUUUAUGUAUCUUUUCAGGUAAAAAAUAAUUAAAAGCUGAUAAAUGCAUAAUAUAAAUUAAAUACAACAUAGAAACAAAAUAAUUUUAGUUGGAGAAUGUGGAUAUUUUGGUAUUUUAUAAAAUAUUAUGCACGUGCAAAAAAUGUUAUUUGCUACAAUUAAAAAAAAAAUAGUUUUGCCAUUUUUCAAAAUGACCCAUAAAAAGGUUGCUAUAUCUCUUAUGACAGAGUGUAUAUCUACUGGUUCAUAUUCGAUCUGUUUGUUGCUAAUAGAAUUGGAUAAAAUCGCAUUGCAUUAUAUUGAAAUAAUUACACGAAUGACACUUUUAAGCCAAUAUUGAUAGAAAUUAUAGUUUAAUUAAUGUUAUUAAGUCAAAUGAACAUAGUUUAAAAGUCCUUCUAAACACAAUUAAUGUAGUUGUUUUUAAAUUUUAACUCAUUUAUACAUCUUUAUGCAUAUGUGCGUGUGUACGUGUGCGCGUGUAGGUAGGUGUGCGUAUGUGUAUGUGCAUGCGUUCGUGCGAGUGUCCGUGUCGCGUGUAGGUAGGUGUGCGUAUGUUUAUGUGCAUGCGUUCGUGCGAGUGUCCGUGUGCAUGUGUGUGUGGGUGUGUGCAUGUUUGUAUGUGUUUGUGCGUGCGUGUGUGUGCGGGCUAUUGCGUGUGUGCUUGGGUGUGUGGGUGUGCUCGGCGUGCAUGUUUGUGUGCGUGUGCGUAUGUGUUUACGUGUGUGCGUUUGUGCAUGUGUGUGUGCUUGGGCGCGUGUGGAUAGGUGUGUUUGUGUGCAUUUGUGCGCGUUUGUGCGUGUGCGUUUGAAAUUAGUAUGAUUGAAUAAAGUUAUUAAUAUGUUGAAUUAAUUAGUUAAGUCUCGAGAUAUUAAGAAAAAUAUUAUGAUAUGAGUUGAUGUAUCUAUUUCAAGUAAAAGAUAAUUAAAAGCUGAUAAAUGCAUAACAUAAAUUAAUUACAAUGUAGAAACGAAAUAACUACAGUUGAAGAAUGUUGAUAUUUUGGUAUUUUAUAAAAUACCAUGCACGUGCAAAAAAUGCUAGUUGCUAAAAUUCAAAGGAAAAAGUAGUUUUGUCAUUUUUCAAAAUGACCCCUAAAAACGUUGUUAUGUCUCUUAUGACAAAGAGUGUAGAUCUACUGAUCCAUAUUCGAUUUAUUUUUUGUUGGUAAAAUUGGAUAAUUACACGAAUGACACUUUUAAGCCAAUAUUGAUAGAAAUUAUAAUUUAAUCAAUGUUAUUAAGUCAAAUGAACAUGGUUUAAAACUCUUUCUAAACACAAUUAUUGUAGUUAUUUUUUAAUUUUAAUUCAUUUAUACAUCUUUGUGCAUAUGUGCGUGUGUGCGUGCGUGUGCGCGAGUGCGUACGUGUGUGCGUAUGCGCGUGUCCACGUGUGCAUGGUGUGUGUGUCUACGUGUGCGUGGGAGUGAGUGUUCACGUGUUCGCGUUUGUGCGUGUGUGUGUGGGUGUGUGUGCGUAUACACGCGUGUGCGUGUGUACCUGAGUGGGUGUGUGCGCUUUUUAUGCUUUUCUUCCAAUUUUAAAAUAAUAAUUUAAUUAUCUUGAUAUUCAGGUCAUUAAAAUUAUUUUGAGAGAAGAUUAUUUUGAUAUAAAAUCUAUCGUUGAGAUUCUCAAAUUCUAAAAAAUAAUAAUUUUGUAAUUUUGAAAUUCAAUUUGGUUAUUUUGAAAUUCAAAUUCAAUUAGGUUAUUUUGAAAUUAGUAAGAUUGAAUAAUGUUAUUAAAAUGUUGAAUCAAUUAGUUGAGUCCCGAGAUUUUAAGAGAAAAGUUAUGAUAUGAGUUGAUGUAUCUAUUUCAAGUAAAAAUUAAUUAAAAGUUGAUAAAUACAUAACAUAAAUUAAUUAUAACGUAAAAACAAAAUAAUUAUAGUUGGAGAAGGUGAAUAUUUUGGUAUUUUACAAAAUACCAUGCACGUGCAAAAAAUGUUGUUUGCUAAAAUUGAAAAGAAAAAGUAGUUUUGCCAUUUUUCAAAUUGACCCCUAAAAACGUUGGAUUUUUGUGUAUUCCCUUGGGCUUUCUUGUUCAAUAUUUAGUCAAAUUGCAGUAUACAUAAAAUUUAUGUUUGUUACGUCACAAGAUUUCAUUCACUAUUUGUGUCUGUAUUAUUUUAUAUUUUAUACAAGAGACUCCGUUUGAGUGUUGAGCUAGUAAUGGGAGGGACUACUGUUGACCCCAAAAUUACAAGGUUUCAUGUUGCUUACUGGAUCAUUAAUGAUUCGUCUCUAUCUUUGGCCUCAGCGCGAGUGGUGGAGUUGGAAGCCCCUGAAAGUGUAGAUUUAGACUUCUCUACCGUUGUCAAGAGCUGUUAAGUAUGCAAAAAUGGCCUUGAGAAAUCCUAUAAACUCUCUGAACAAGAGACAUUCUAGUGUAAGAAGAAAUGCUCAAGUCCUUGAAGAAAUUGAGGACACAACUCCAAUUCCUAGCAUGCUUUCUCCCUAAGACUAUGCUGGUCCUAGUCGGGGAGUGGCAUUUACAUCCCAGAAAGACACACAUGUAUCACCUCGUGUUGGCACUUCCAUUGCAAUGCACAACUCUGACAUAUAUAGUGCCGACAUUUCCUUCCUUAAGCUUGAAAAAAGGUGAUUUGAUGUCCAUAAAAAAUUAACUGAGCAGUUAGAUAUUUUCUAAUACGCAUCUCACGUAAUUUGGUGCUCAUUGAUACUGCAUUACUGUGUCAGGAACGUGUUGAUGUAAAAUCUUUCAGUUUUGAUGGAUCUUAUUACAAGAUUUCAACUCUUCUUAGCACGACUUCUGACAGAACAAAGGUUUUAUAUAUCUUUACACGAUCGCAUAUCACAUAUGAACGAUCGCAUAUCCCAUCUGAAAUAUCGAUCACCCCUGGUAAAACAACCGUUUAGAUAUUCUACACGAUUGUUUGCUUAAGGAUACACGAUCAUUUUGUAACUAUUUUUUUUAUUAUCCUUUUUUCUUUCUAAACUAGAAUCAGAAUCAAUUGUUUGAUGAUAUUAACAACAUGUAUGAUGAUCUUCGUGAUGAUUCUAGUCAUCACAAUCUGGACAAGAAUGAUGACCAUCAAAAUAACAAACAUGUGAUCAUCCAUGAGAAUUCAUCUGUUCAAGAGCCACAUCUUCAAGAAUCUACUGUAGAAACUCAACUGUUAGUGUUUAAUUCAUUAGUUACUGCUUUAUAUUGUUUAAAAUUGCUUAGAUUAUAAAUAAACAACAAUAAUUUUUUUUCUUUUCUGUGUAGGGAACAAAAAUGAACAACGCCUCAACAUCAAGAGCAGUCAGGCAGUGAUAUUAGCAUAUAUGGCAGAGAUGCACAUUUGAUAUUAGCUAUAAGUAAUAUAGCAGGAAAAUAUGGAAGGUCAUACUCAAACAGAAAAAGAGACUGCUAGAAAUGAUUGAAAAUCUUCCGUUGGUAAGCCAACCACUUCCACUUUGUGAGAUGCUACCAUUAACUACUGUCAAAGGUCUUGCAUUAGUUUAAUUGGUAUGUGUGCCCUAAAGGGAUAAAAGCUCUUGGCAGUAAAAGACUUUACAAAACCAUUCAUCAAUUUUAAUUUGAAAAUUCCAAAAUACAAGUACAUUGACAAUAUUUAGAAUCAAAGUUCUAAAUAAAGAACUAAAUAUGCUUUUAAAUUAAAAGAUACAUAGAACUUACUCUUGUUGACGUCUCUGAAUCUAUAAUCCACCGAAUUGGGACACCACCCGUUAGAGACCUUCCUAUCUUCGAAGAUGAGAUUGGUUUGUGGAAAACAAUUGGAAUGAAAAAAAAAAUUUAGAGAGAAACUAUGUAACACCCCCAAUAUCAAGGUAUUUCUCUCAAGCUAAAUUUUUUAAAUUUUAUUAAGAUUUUAAGGAAUUUGGUUGUGGUGUGGAUUUUAGCAGGAAGUGAAGGGGGCUUUUAUGAAAAAAUAUACUAAUACUAAAGGUUAAAUAAUAAUAAUAGAAUUAAUGUUAUUAUUAAUUUAAAAUAUCAAUUCUUUAUUGAUUCACGUGCAACCCCAUCUCUUUCUCCUUCACUCUUCCUCUUCCCCGUGCCCACUGCCGCUUGCCUCCCUUAGCCAUUUUAUAUUACUCUUGGACGUCAACCGGCCACGCCGUCACUGAUCGCUUCGUCUCCGUUGAAGCUGAAGCACCGUUUGUCGUGAGUUCGAACUCUCGGCAUCGCGUCUCACCUAUGUUUUCCAGCUAAGCUGUGAUUCAUUCGCGCGUAGCUCCUUCGACGUUCGCGCCACCACAUUCUGCUCCAGGUGAUGAGUAACGUCACCGAUUGACCUAUCAUCUCACCGGCGUUGUUACUUAGUUGAAGCAGCCGUCGACCAGACCUGAGCCCGUCGCGUCUGUUGAAGUGCCAUCGCGCGACUCUUCAUCUUCCAGCCAUGGGUUGUAAGCUGAAGUUUGUUUUUCGUUUGUUGAUUAGAUGUGAUCUAUUACACGCGUCGAUUCUAGUUAUUCGAAGUUGUUGCCCCCAUUUUACUCUAAUUUUUGGGAUUUUUGUGGUAAGUUGUAUUGGUGAGUGUGGUGGUUUUACAUUGUAAUUAUCCUUGGGUUGUAGUUUUGGAUAAUUAGUUCAAUUGUUAAUUGAUUCUUGAAGGUAGCAUUUGAGUUCUUUGGAUUCACAACUAAAUUGUAGAUUUGUUGGAGUUCAAUUCGCCAAAUACCUUUGGUAAAGUCUUAUGGUUAAAGGACGAAUCUAGUCUUAAAGUAAUAACUUCAUCUUAAUUCGAAAAAUUAGGUCGUUACAAUCUAUUUUGCAGAAAAGAAAAUCAUCGAUUUUAUUUUGGUUAAGAAAAACUGUUUUUCUUCUACAUAUUUAUAACUCUCUUUCUUUCAUUGAGUAGGAGACGGGGUAGGAGAAAAUCAUAGGAUUCUAUUAACUUAAAAAUUAUUACAUUAAUAGAAGUUUCAAAUCAACUAACUAAUUAACCAUUAAUCAAUUAGUUAAUAAUUAAUUAAAUCAUAUUUAAUUAAUAUUUCACUUAAAUCUUAUUGAAUGAAUAUCUCUCCAAUACCUUAUAGUUUUAUAUUAAUUUAAUUAAAUCAAAUUUAAUUAAAUAAUAUUAAACUAAACUAUUAAUUAAUUCUUCAAUUAAUUAAUAACUAAAUUAAAUAUUUUAUAUUUAACUUAAGUUAAAUUUGAAUCAUAUUCAAAUAUAACUUUAUCUCAUAAUUAAUAAUUUUAAUAUGAAAUAAAUCCACAUUAAAUUAAUAUUUGAACUCAUUCAAAUAUUUUAUCUCUCAUAAAUUAAUUUUGAACUUUAUCUAAAAUUAAAUUUAUAUAAUAAAGUUUCAUUAACAUAUAAACUUUAUAUUAUAAUGUAUCACUAUAUAUUAUACUAAUUAUACUAAUUUCGAAAGUAAAUUUGAAUAUUUCAAAUUAGAACCAAUAUAAAUAAAUCACAUUAUCAUUUUGUAUCAUCCAUUACUUUGUAUUCAGUCAUACUAAUUGGAUCAACCUAAUACAUAAAACAAAUAUAGAAAAAUUAAAAAAAAAAGCAUGCACAAAUAGAGACAAAUAGACAUUGAUGAUAGUUAUCUAUCUCUAUCUAUCUGAAACAAGCACACAUAAAUUGUUAUAUUUCUCUAUCGGAUGGACAAAAAUAGCAGUCUAUUUAUAUCUACCUGAGAUACAAACAUUAAAAAAAAAAAAAACCUUACCAAUAAAAUUCUUGACUUUUCAUGUUAUUCUAAAUGCAACGCGUUCUCAGCCCAAGAAGUCAAACAACUCUUCAUUGUAAAAGUAGCUUUACUUCUUUCAUCAAACCACUUUUGCAAUACAUCUCUAAUUGAACUAAGCAUGGUAGCUACAGGUGGUUCUCUAAGAUCUUUAAAAACUAAAUUUACACUGUCUACACAAUUUGAUGUCAUCAUUCUAUAUAUGAAACUCAUUAUACCUGAGAUAGAUUCAACCAAUUUAUCAAAAAACCUUGGAAUCAACAUGUAUGAUUUAACCAUGUCACCUUUUAAUAUCUUUACUAUGUGUUCUUUCGCCCUCCAAGCUUUCUGCUAACUUAUAUUAACUCCAAGAUUUGUACAUGCCUUAUGCACAAUUGCUUUUGGAAUGAAACGAUCAGUAGACAUGAACCUGAACUCAUCUAUCAAGCAACUGUCAAUUACUGUUGAAGAAGCUUGCAUGUGACAACUAGUAUUCAAUGAACAGUCAUGUUCAUAAAUGUAUUUUCAUAGCAUCCACAACUCGCUCUUCUUAUAACGAGAUGUCCUAAUAAACCAUUUGCACUCUUCUAGUAGACAUCUAAAUUCAAGAGACCUCAAAUUUGAUAUUGUAGUUCUAAAUUGAAAGUUGUUAUUCACUUCUAUUAUGCCAAAACACUUUGAAAGCAUCUCUUUACUUUCAAAUAAACUAUUUUCCUUCAAAUCACCAUGAUACGAGAUGUCUCUUAUAAUUUCAUCAUUUGAAACAUAAGAAGAAGAACCUACAUUCAAUGACAUAUCAACAUUCUAUCGUACACUACUAGAAGAAGAAGACCUUCUAAAAAAAUCAACAGUUACAUGGGCAACUAAUGGAUGUAUAUUAGUUGCAUCAUUAGCAAAAGAUAAAUACCAAGCCACAUCAUUGUCUUUUUUUACUGGCACCACAGUUGGACCUUGCUUUUACCAAAAUCAAGUAAAACAGAUAAUUCUAUUUAUCCAUCCAAUUGAAUAUGUUCACAUAUUAAAUCAACUAGAGAAUUAAAGCUCACUCGGACAUCUACCAAAAUUUCAGCAACUAAGUAAUUCUCAUAAAUAUUACAUCCAUUCCAUUGACCUCCAUAAAAAACAACAAUAGGAAAAGACAUUAUAAUCUGUAAAAAAAAAUAAUAAUAAAAUUAAGUAUUUAAUUGUGAUAGAAAGAAAUAGAUAGACAUAGAUAUACAUUUAUUACUGAAUAAAAUAAUAAAAUGUACAAAAUGAUAAUACUAAACACAAUGCAAGAAUAAGUAAACGAUCGUGCGAUGAAAUAAUAUACAUUAAACGAUCCUAUUAACCGUGAUAAACGACCAUUUAACAACGGUAAAUGAUAAUAUUGAUUAAAAAUAAAUUAUCGUGUUGACAUGGGUACACGAUCAUAUGAUAUUGGUGAUCGUAUUGAAUAGUGUAAACAAUCGUCUUGUUAUCGGUACACGAUCGUGUUAAUAUUUGUAAGUGAUAUUCUAUUGAUAGUGGUAACUGAUUGUGUAAUUCCAUGUAAAUUAUCGUCAAAAACUUUAAUAUUUGAAAAUAUGUUAUUUUAGAAAAACUACAAGUGUUUGACAACUCUUUGAAAGCUAUUGAAAUACUCUCAAAUUGUAUUUUAAGGAAUUUUAGUAAAAAGAAAGUCUACAUAAAAAAAUUACCCUUUUUAAAGGAACAUUUUUUCUCUAAUCACUCCAAUUGAACUCAAACACGUACAAGUUAAUUCUGGUAUCCAAGAAUCAGUCUCAUCUAACAUAAACAAGAACAUUCAACUUGAUAGAACUUCAUUACCUCAUUUUUAGAAUUCCCAAAGUUACUAAAUGAAGGACCAUUCCUAAAACAUACUUACAUCCAACUUUCUCCAUGAAUAAACUUAUCGUCUUUUAUGUACUGAUGAAUAUAGAGAUGGAGCGAUCAGAGUUUGUUUAUGUACCAAAUUAGAGUGAGUUGAGAAAAGAGUGGAUUUACACAAGGACGAAAUGGCUGGCUGCUGCUUGUUCAAAACUGAAAGUUAAGGUGACCUUGUUUCUCAUAGGGACUCAGCAAAUUGAAGGGCCUCCAAAUCUACUUCUUGUCUCAUUAUACAUGCCAUUAGCCAUUCAACGUUGAAAGUCCAUAUCCCUUUUUCUACGGCCACCAAGGCUUCCUCCACGUCUUCCUCACAAGCCACAAAGAUCGUCUUUCAUACAUUGUUUACUUUAUCUAGCUCAUGAAUCACCUAAAUUUUCAAGCAUAAUGAAUUUGCCAAAUGAGAGAAAAAAUUUUGUAUAUACUACAAGGAAAUUGCAAGAAUUCACC
Molecule: long non-coding RNA, 104254 nt
Filed under: Cucumis sativus (cucumber)
Lineage: Eukaryota; Viridiplantae; Streptophyta; Magnoliopsida; Cucurbitales; Cucurbitaceae
Description: long non-coding RNA (CSAT_LNC003137)
Source: RNAcentral